AAAAAAAACAAAGUUAAAUAAUAUUCAUUACAAAGAAAAAUAAUAAAUGAAGUUUUAAAGGUAAAUAAUGUUGAUUACAAAUUAAUAUAAAGAUGAUGGAGCUUGAGGAGGAGGAGGAGAUCCUGGCGGAGGCUGGUGGUUAUACGGCCAAAAAGGAUUAGGCGCACAUGUUCCGCUAUUUGACAAUUUCAUAAUCAUUUCGUAAAGCUGGUCAUAAGCCGCUUUUUGCUGUUCCUGAGCCGCUUCAUACUCCGCUUUUUGUUGUGCUUGAGACGCUUUGAAUUGCUCAGACUCCGCUCUUUGUUCCGCUCUUUGUUGUGCAUGAGACGCUUUGAGUUGUGCGUACUCCGCUUGUAGGUUAUCGUAUUUCUCGGUGAGUUGCUGCAAAGCCACGGACUCCUUAGAUUGGGAGCUCGAUAUUGAUUGGGAGCUCCCAACGGUUGAAAAACUACGGGUCGACCGCAAGUUGUCGGCCGUAGUGUUGGAGAGCCUGUAAACCCGAUUUUUAUCGGGUCCACCUGACGAGCCAACCUCCAUCCACAAAUCCGGAUCGAAUUCCGGAUGGGUCAAAGUAUCGUCCCCGUAUCUCUCCCUCAACCGAUUAUUGUAGGUCUCCUGAAAAAUAAAAAAAAGUAAUCAUCAUAUUCAAUACAAUAAACAUAAUAACUUACAUAAUAACUUACAAAAUAAAAUGGUUGAACAAACAUACCACGAAAUACUGAGCACGGUUAUCAACGAACUGUUGCGCCCCCUUCUGGCGAUCUUGACUCCGCACGUGCGUCUCCACAAACAGCUCCAUCGGGCUCGGCUCACGUCCAAGAGACGCAGCCUAUAAUGAAAAAAGAUAUAUUAACAACAACUGAAUUUAACGAUAUAUUUCAUUUAAAUUAAUCUUACCAUCCGUUUCGCAUGUGCAGCAAACGGAACGGAGCCGCCAGUGUGAGUUGUCACCCCGCCAUGAAUUGGCCGAUUCCGGUUGCCAGCACCGGACUGUGAGCGUCGUGUGAACCGCUCAGACGUCACGUGCUCAAGAUAGUGCGGCCAUAUAUCUUCCGGGAUGUAUAUCGGUUUGAAAUCCCUCCAAACCGCAACAUCGUUCCAGCCUUGGAAACCCCUAUCCCUCGCGGUUUUUUUUGCCUUUUUCUGUGCUUCAUACCAAAAAUCACGCAACCUGCUUCACGCAACCAAAAAUUACAUUUCGAAACAUAAAAUUUUGUCUAAAAAAUCCUGUAUUGUUUUCGAUCUUACCUAGUUGCCGCGUGAUUUUCCCACACCCUCCUCACAACAGCGUUAUGCUCAAUGUCCCAGCAGAAUUUGUGCUUUGUAUAAAUAAACAAGUUUAAAUAAAAAUAAUAAUUUAUUUACAAUUAUAUUAAUAAGCUGAAAAUUAUAAAUUAAUACCAACCUCAAACCUGUUAAACCAUGCAUUGAUUUGAGGCAUCCAUUCAGGAUGCUUGGAUAUCUGACUCCAUUGAAACAAUGGAAUCUCCAUCGACGAUUUAAACGCCGAUGAUAUUACUCGGGCGGCUUCAAUGUUUGUGAACCUGAAAAUAAAUGAAAUAAAUUCAAUAGUGAUUACUUGAUAAAUUAUGUUGUAAUUUUUUUUUAAAAAAAACUAAAACCUUAACAAACUUACAUUGAAAGGUCGUCCUUCCACUGUGCCUCGUACUUGCGGGUAAAUUGAUUCCGCUGCGAAGGCACGCCGCCUCUGCGCUGUGAAGUACCGCUGGAAGAGGCAGCAUCGAUUGACGGCGCAAGUGGUGUAGGUGCCUCUUCUUGAGAGGCACCUAAGGAAAUAUCAUCCUCGCUGCUAGACGAACUAGCUGUGACCGCACCUAAGCGACCAACUCUGGUUUUCGUUCUAUGCAUCUACACAAUUUGAUACAAAUAAUUAUAUAAUUAAAUUCAAAUGAAAAAAAAAAAUUCGACAGCACCUCCCCUAUAACGGAUACUACCCAAAACCACAAACCUGCACAUAUUAACAAUAGCCACAACCAAUUUACCCAAUCUAUACUAAUUAUUCCAACAUAUUCAAUUACUAAUUCUAAGGUAAAUUCAACAUUAAGAAUUACAAUUCAAGUAAUUAUUCAAUAAUUAUGCCAAUACAACAAAAUAAUAAAUAAAUAAAAAACUCUAGAAUAACAAUCAAAAUAAAUGGAAAAAAUUAAACACAAAGCAUGCAAUAAUAGAGUAAAACUAAUAAUUAUUCCAACAUAUUCAAUUACUAAUUCUACGGUAAAUUCAACAUUAAGAAUUACAAUUCAAGUAAUUAUUCAAUAAUUAUGCCAAUACAACAAAACAAUAAAUUAAAAAAAAAAACUCUAGAAUAACAAUCAAAAUAAAUGGAAAAAAUUAAACACAAAGCAUGCAAUAAUAGAGUAAAACUAAUAAUUAUUCCAACAUAUUCAAUUACUAAUUCUACGGUAAAUUCAACAUUAACAAUUACAAUUCAAGUAAUUAUUCAAUAAUUAUGCCAAUACAACAAAACAAAACAAUAAAUUAAAAAAAAAAACUCUAGAAUAACAAUCAAAAUAAAUGGAACAAAUUAAACACAAAUCAUGCAAUAAUAAAGUAAAAUUAAUAAUUAUUCCAACAUAUUCAAUUACUAAUUCUAUGAUAAAUUCAACAUUAACAAUAAAAAUUCAACAAAUUAACUAAUAAUAAUUAUGCCAAUACAACAAUAAAAAAUAUUCAAAAAAUUCAAAAAAAAAAUAUAUACUUUAGCAAUGAAUUAUGCAAAAAAAACUAUAGACUUUAUCUACAUUACAAAAAAUACACCAAAACAAAAAACAAUAACCAAAAAAAUAGCAAAAAAAAACUAUUAAAGUAAAAUGAAAUAGAGAAAACACUAACCUUUUAAACUGAUGAAGAUGAUGAAGAAAACUUACUAGAGAUUGGAGGUGAAAGCUUUGAAGAAUGGAGAGGAAAAAAAUCAAAAGCUUAAGGUGAGAAACGAAGGAGAAGAAAAAAUGAACUGAACGGGCGGUCACUUGAACUUAUAUGGCAGUUUUACCGACGGCUUCACCGACGGAUAUAAAAUUAAUUAUUAUUUUAAUUUAUUCCGUCGGUGAUGUGCUAAAAUCCGUCGGCAAAUUUUGAAUUUCGCACCAAAAUUUUUAAUGACCCUCCAUAUUUUUCGUAGUCCGUCGGUAAUUCCGUCGGCAAUAUUACGCGGUCAGAGGCGCAUUUAAUGCGCAACCCUUUGAAAUUCGCGCAGUCCGUCGGUAAUAUUGUCGGUAAAAGUAAACCGCCGACAACUUACCGACGUAUUUAAUUUCCGUCGGUGAGUCCGUCUGUAAUGGGGUGGCAUUUCAAGUAAUUAUUUUCGAACUCUCUGUGAAACACCGACGGAAUUAGUCCGUCGGUGUGGCCGUCUGUAAUGGGGUGGCAUUUCAAGUAAUUAUUUUCAAACUCUCUGUGAAACACCGACGGAAUUAUUCCGUCGGUGUGGCCGUCUGUAAUGGGGUGGCAUUUCAAGUAAUUAUGAAACACCGACGGACUUAAGGCCGUCGGUGUAGCCGUCGGUGAUAUGGUGGCAUUUCAAGUAAUUAUUUUCGAACUCUCUGUGAAAUGCCGACGGACUUAAGGCCGUCGGUGAUCUGGUGGCAUUUCAAGUAAUUAUUUCAUGUCACAAAAUAUAUUAUCCAUCAUAAUUGUGGCAUUUCAACUAAUUAUUUCAAGUGAUAAAUAUUUUGUGUUUCAAAAUAUAUAUAUCAUUCAUAAUCUAAAUUACAUGUAAAAAAGGGUUUUACAUAGGGCUUCAUUUUGGUAGUUAGUCAGAAUUUUCUUCUUCUUCGUCAUCAAUUGAAUUGUCAUCACCUUCAUCGCAAUCUUCAAUAUGAAUAUCAUCUUCUUCAUCGAUAUUUGGUUGUCCGCUAGAGCUCAAAACAAAAUUUAACUCAUCUGCGUCAACAUCAACAAGACUAUCAUUGAAAACACGAAAAUUUGAAUUUUCUUCCAAUUCAAUCGAAGGAGCAACUCGAUAUGGUUCAACCACCUCACUAACUUGAAAGACUUCAUCUCGCACACUUGUGUCUUCGUUCUCAUCCUGAACAACCUCGACACGACCCCGGGGUUUCGUUUUUAAAACGGACAACCAAUCCACUCUUGAUCGAUCCUUUCUAAAUGAAGGGGUGUAUGUGUAAUAAACUUGUUGACAUUGCUUUGCGAAAACAAAGACAUCGUUUAUGUUGCGGAGUCUAGCUUUUGAGUUGAUUUCGACCAGACCAUAGUGCGGAUCAACUCUGAUUCCUCUGUCAGUCGUGUCAUACCAAUAGCAUUUGAAUAAAAACACUAUAUUCUGCUCGUUAUGAUAUUGCAGUUCGACGACCUCUUCUAAUCUACCAUAGUAGUCAACUUCUAACUCACUACUAGUGGAUCCCUUAACACAAACACCGCUGUUGUAUGUCUUUCUUCCUUGCCCGUGUUCUUCAGUAUGGAAAACAUAUCCAUUGACAAAGUACCCGUUGUAGCACUUACAUUUUCUUUCAGGCCCCAGGCUUAGUAAAGACAAUGACUUAGGUGCACUCCUUCCCAUUUGAUAAACCUUGCAUGUAAUGUACAUCAAUAAACAGUAAAUGAACGAGAAUCUCGUAAUGACAUGCAUACGUACAGUAAUUUUGCAAGUUAUAAUGAGUUUGUGAUAGUGCUUACAUGUGUUCUGAACCACGUGGCAAACUUCUCAUCUUGUAAUUGAAAGAUCUGGGAUUCAGUCAGCUGUGAGUUAUUGGAGAGCAAAAAUUGACGAUGUUUCCUGCAAGUGAUAAUGAGUGUAUGAUAUUACAAUAUAUAAUUAACAGUAUAUUACUAACAAAGUUUAAUUAGUAUAAACUUACUGAAUAAAAGGUCUCAGCUCAUCACAGUUAAAUAGAACAUAGUUGUGUGCUUGUUUGAACUCUAUUUCCGACAAAUAUCUUCCUCUUACGGCAUUUUUAGGUGUGGGUCGUCCAGUAUUGGAGAAUAUUGACAAGUUCCCACUGGAAGGCACUUCACCGCCAUCAUCAUGCCGUGGAACGCGAUUGAUUCUCGUUCUCAGAUGAGGUUCGAAAUAGUACGAGAUAAAUGUUGAGAUCUCCUCAACAAUAUAGGCCUCACAUAUCGAAGCCUCAACAUGCGCCUUGUUCUUAACCUUUUUCUUGAGAUUAAACAAGUACCUGCAUUGAAAUAUUAAUCAAGUAUUUUCAAUUCAGAAAAACAUAUAAAAUACUUUAAUAUAUGAAUUACAUUGCAACUGUAAUAUCUAACCGUUCGAAUGGGUACAUCCAUCUAUAUUGGACCGGUCCUCCAGCUUUUGCCUCGAACGGUAGAUGUAUAGGGAGAUGCUCCAUUGAGUCAAAAAAUGAUGGAGGGAAUAUCAUCUCAAGUUUGCAUAGUGUCUCGACGAUAUUCGUUUGAAGCCUCUCAAUGUGAUCAACAUUCAACUUGCUGGAGCAUAUAUCUCUGAAGAAAUGACUGAUCUCCGUGAGUGCAUCCCAUAUUCCCUUUGGCAACAAAUCACGAAAAGCUAAUGGGAUGAGUGUUUGCAUAAACACGUGGCAGUCAUAACUCUUCAUUCCAUACAAUCUGCAGUCCUCUAUAUUAACCAGCCUUGAUAUGUUCGAUGCAUGUCCAUCCGGAAAACGCAGACUCUUAAGCCAUUUGUAGACUAGCAGUUGUGUGUUUUUCUCCAACACGAAGCUUGCUCUUGGUUUUGCAACCCGUGACUCAUCAUAAACCAACUCCAUAUUUUUUCGGUUACAGUAUAAAGCUAUAUCCAAUCUAGCCUUGAGGUUGUCCUUUGUCUUCCCCUUCACAUCCAUGACGGUGUUGAAAAUAUUCUCAAACAUGUUCUUUUCGAUGUGCAUGACGUCAAGGUUAUGGCGAAGCAGAUUGGUCUUCCAAUAAGGAAGCUCAAAAAAGAUACUUCGAUUUACCCAAUUAUAGGUCAAACCAAAACCAGGAAACUUUUGCUUUCCUGAUUGAAGGCCAAACACAAUGUCACCGUACUCUGAGACAACAUCAUGCAAUUCUUCACCAGAAAGACGCGUGGAUGCAACAUCUUUUUCAACUCUGCCAACAAAAAAAUCUUUUCUGUUCUUUCUGUACCUGUGAUGAAGUGGCAAGAAGCGACGGUGACAGUCAAAAAAAGAAGCUUUACCUCCAUUUGCUAGCGUGAAUGCCUUGUUGUUUUCCAUGCAGUAUGGACAUGCGAGUUUCCCAUGCGUGCUCCAACCAGAAAGCAUUCCAUAAGCUGGAAAAUCAUUGAUAGUCCACAUCAAUGCCGCCCUCAUAAGGAAAUUUUGUUUCCUCGAUAUAUCAUAAGUCAGAGCUCCGGAUGACCACAACUGCGCCAACUCAUCAAUCAACGGUUGAAGACAAACAUCUAUAUUCCGCCCCGGGCUUCUUGGACCGGGUAUGACAGUAGAUAAAAACAUGAACUCCGGCCUCAUACACAUUCCCGGUGGCAAGUUAUAAACUGUGAGUAUGACCGGCCAACAAGAAUAAGGAGCAGCAAAUGACCCAAAUGGGUUGAAUCCGUCUGUACACAACCCAAGACGCACAUUCCUUGCUUCAGCUGAAAAGUGAGGAUGAACACUGUUAAAGCGUUUCCACGCUUCGCCUUCAGAAGGAUGAACCAUCACUCCAUCAACCGCAUGGUGUGCUUGGUGCCAUGUCAUGUGCUCAGCAAUCCUUGGUGACAUGAAUAACCUCUGCAGUCUAGGUGUGAUCGGGAAGUAUCUAAGUUUUUUAUAUGCCACUAGAGUCUUUCCCCUGCCAGUUCUAGGUUUGUAACGGGAAUGCCCGCAUGUCAUGCACUCGGUCAUCUCAGCAUUAUCAAGGUAGUAUAACAUGCAGAAGUUAGGGCACAUGUCAAUUUUCUGGUAUCCUAAACCGAGGGGUUUCAUCAUGGACUUCGCAGCAUAGAAGUUCUCUUUCAGCCUGUUCCCUUCAGGUAAAAUGCUUCUUGCCCAUUCAAUAAUCUUGUCAUACCCGGCCUCACUCAACCCGUGAUCUGACUUGAUGGUGAACACCUGUGCUACGGCCGAUAAUUUACUGUGGUUCGUGCAGCCAUCCCAUAAUGGUUUGUCAGAAUCUUUCAACAAAUCAAAAAACCUAGCUGCAUCUACAUUAGGUUCUUCUUCUACGAUUGGACAUUGACUGCCAUUACCUUGAUUCAUUCUCAUUGCAUCCAUAACCAUAUUUCUGUAAGGAUUGGUGUUGUCAUUUGCCGUUUCAUGCACGUUGCUAGCACUAGAAGUAGACCCAACCACCGUUUCUUCCAUUCUCCUCUCACUCUCGCUAACAAAUACUUCUCCAUGUGCAUACCAACACUGAUAAUUCUCCAUAAACCCUUUGUGUAGAAGAUGCAUCAUUACAACAUCUGGAUGCAGAUACUUUUUAUUUUCACACUUCCUGCAUGGACACCUAAUACCGCCUCCAGUAAAAUUUCUGGGAAUAGAUGUUACGAAAUUAAUAAAACCCUGAACCCCAUUACAAUAAUCCAUCCUCCGCAAUCCUUGGGGUGAAUCUCGAUACAUCCAUGAACGAUCAUCCAUGACUUAUAUCGAACCUCUAUAAAAUUAUGAUGACAUCAUGUAUUAAUUAUCUAAGUUAGGUAAAUAAACUUGUACAAAUAUUACUUUAACUCGAGAUUAUCCAACAAACCAAUCACAACUUCUCAUAAAUAUUAAAUAUUCAUUAUCAUUUAUCAACGUUCAUACGAAUUAAAAAAUAUACAUUUACAGAAAUUACCACUCCGCAAUACCAUUGAUAGAACUUUAAACGGGCCCAUUAAGCAAGCUAUUAAUUAUUUCAAAAUAGCACAUGUAAUUCGGUAAUUCCACAAAGAAAUAACAAUUUACAAACAAAUACAAUCUUACAAAAUCUAAAACAAACCAUAACAGGUACAAAAUUAUGCAUUCAUAUACUACAAGUUUGUUUGAGAAAUAACAAUAAAACAUGUACAUCUACUAACAAAAUACAUAUACUUAAAAAACAAUAAAAUUGACAUUUAAUUAAAUGUUAAAAUUUAAAAAGAUAUAAUUACUUACAAAAAUUGAUCCGUCGGUAAAUCAGAACACGCGCGGAUGCUGUGACCACAAAACUUCAAGAAAUAUAACUUGUUGUGCUGAUAUGAGGAAGAUUUUUUUUUUGGGGGGGAGGGGGGCUGGUUGUUUGCAGAUGGGGAGAGUUGGGAUGAGGAAGAAAAAGGAGAAAUAGGGGAUGAGAGGGUCGGCAGAGCUGUCAUAUAUUAACUUUUGCCGACGGUUUUACCGACGGAAAAUCCGUCGGUUAUUACGCCGGUGAUUCUGACGGAAACAUAGACAUGUCACCGUACGGAUCUGCCAUUUCAAAUCCCUCGGUGAGUCCGUCGGCAAUUUAAACGGCGAACCGGUCACAUCACAUUACGGGCACUGUACGGGCAGUCGUUUUUCAAUCCGUCGGCGAUGCCGUCGGAAACAAAUAACCCGCCAAAACCUCCACGUCAGCGACCCGCCUUUUUUUAAAUUCGGAAACUUUUCCGUCCAUAAUUCAGUCGGUAAAAUACCGACGGAAAAUUUCCGUCGGUAUUGACCGACUGAAUUACGGACGGAAAAGUUUUCGUCGGUUUUUACCGACUGAAUUACGGACGGAAAAUAGCCGUCGGUAAUUUCGACCUCAAAAUACCGACAGAAAUUAUUCCGUCGGUAAAUCCGUUGGUAUUUAGCGAAUUUUUGGUAGUGAAAGAAUGAAAUUCUAUUAUUUUAAUCAAAAUAAUUGAUUUAAAUCGACUCGAUAACUUCUAAAUUAACUCAAUAACUCAAACUAUUUUUCAAGUCGGUCCUCAAAUUGGAUUGACAUAGUAAGAUCGUGACCCUUAUAUGUAGUCUUGCCUUAGAAAUAACAUGCAAAACAACAUUUGGAAUGAAACUAGUUAGGUGUCUUGUGAUUUGCUAUAGGCCAAACUAUUUUUUUUAACAUAACAAAAUAAAUGUGCAAGUGUUCCCAACAACAUGUUUUUUAAAAUGAAAAAUAUAAUUGCAAAUUAAAAGGAUAAUGCAUAUAUUUAAUUAAAUAAAUCGAGAAUCAUAUAUACUAAUAGAUAACAAAAAAAAAAUUGUUAGUGCUAAUUAAAAACUAAGUUAAAAAGUUGAGAAAUAAAUGCAAAUCAAGUUAUUUUAUCUCGCAAUACGAGUCAUAGAUCAAUUGUAUUUAAUAACUUUAUUUUUUAAAACUAAUUUUAUAUUUAGUUAAAUAAUAAUAAAAAUAAACACAUAUAAUAAAAUAAUUGAACAAAGUUAAAAGAAACAAAUAUAAUCUAGGAUGGGAAAAAAAAUGACUGCUAUCAUUGGAAAAGGAUAAUAUAUAUAUUUAAUUAAAUAAAUCGAGAAUCAUAUAUAAUAAUAGAUAACAAAAAAAUAAUUGUUAGUGCUAAUUAAAAACUAAGUUAAAAAGUUGAGAAAUAGAUGCAAAUCAAGUUAUUUUAUCUCGCAACACGAGUCAUAGAUCAAUUGUAUUUAAUAACUUUAUUUUUUAAAACUAAUUUUAUAUUUAGUUAAAUAAUAAUAAAAAUAAACACAUAUAAUAAAAUAAUUGAACAAAGUUAAAAGAAACAAAUAUCAUCUAGGAUGGGAAAAAAAUGACUGCUAUCAUCCCCCCCACCCACACACACACACUCAUAAAAUAAUUUUUUUUUUCAUAAUUUUUUGAUGAAUCUUUCUUUUAUUUCUCAAAUCAAUGAUUGAAAAGUAAAAAAUAAAAAUAAAGUUAUGGAUCAAAUUAUUAAACCUUCAAACUAAAAAAAUCAAAAAGGAUUUUUGCCAAAUUCUUUAGGCUGAAAAUGCUAUCAAGGCGCAUUUCAAAUAGCAGCCACAGAAGAAAAACCCUAUAUUCUUUCAUUUUGGUCAAAUUUAUCAAUCUUUUGUUUUUGCAAGCAAUAAAACAAAUUGUUUUUACAAAAUCAAGUUAAAACAGUUUUUUUAACACAAUAAUAAUUUCAUAAAAAACAAAUAAAAAUAAAUUAUGAAAUCAAAUUUCAAACUAAUAUAAUAUCAAAAAUGAAUUUUUUUUAAAAAAAUCAGUAAAUAAAAAAAUAUUAAUAAGAUAGACAAAAUCAUACUGUUAGAACCCACGAUACACUUAGUUUUGGUACCCGGAGAAGUGUACGAAGUUUUUAGGACGGGGCAUAGAAUUGAACUAAUUAAAUGGACACAUUUAUGACGGACUCUUUGCUGUGGGAUUAAAAAAUAUAUAUUUGGGCCGUAAAGACCGAUAAAAUUAAAUUGGGCCUUACAAGUAUUUCUAACCGAAUAUUAAAUUAUUCAAAAUCGAAAUAUUUCGUGUUCGAUAUAAAUUUCGAUUUACUGUAAAAAAAUGGUUAGGUUCGCUCAAGUAGUGAGCUCCCUAGACACAACACGAAAAUUCAACUCUACUAGUACUAGCUUGUUUGGUUACCGAGAAAAUCAAGUAUUCCCAGGAAAUAAAAGUCUCUUUAGUGAGCUCCCUAAGGUAAAUUUUCCUUCAUUCCUUCUUAAAUUCAAAAAUUUGAGAAACUUGUUUAGUUUCCAAGAAAAAAAAAAUCUUACUUUGAGCUCUCUCUCUGUUUUUUGCAGAAGUAAAUGAUGGGGGGGUUUUGAAGAAUUUGAACCCAUUUUUGAUGAACCCAGAAUAGAAUGGUCAAAUAAUUCUAAUCCGAGUUCGGGUUUGAUGGGCCAGUUCUUGAUGCGUAUAUUUGCUCCUGACUACAACCACCUCAAAAUUCAAGUAACUGAUUACCAUUCCAAUACUUUUGAGGAUGCUAAAUCGGUUAUGCAGCUUGAUGACUUGGUUAGUGUUUUUUUUUUUUAAUUAUUAUUAUUAUAAUCAUGGGUUUUUGAUUUUAUGAAAUUUGGGUUUUAAAGUUUGUAACUUUUUUUUUUUUUUUUAAUGGGGGCAAUGCAGAGGGAUUGCAUUGGAAUUGGAGGGUCUUGGACUGAGCUUGUCGAGUAACUUGCUGCUUCUUUUAAAUCUGACGAUGUAAAGCUUGUUCUUGAGAAACUUUCGGAUUCGGAUGGUGAUUCAUGUUGUUGAACUUUAAUGCAUUUUAAUUCUAAUUUCUAAAUACUAAAUGACGAUAUAUGGUGAAGUGAAGUGAUUUUUCAGCCAAGCAUUUCUUACAUGCUGCAGGGCAUCUUCUUCUUCUUCUUUGUGUGGUUUGCUUACUCCUUUAAGACUGCCCUCCCCUGCUUUACAACAGACAAACUAGAAGGACGAGAUCCUGCCUCAACGAAAGUUACUAAUCGUGUCGUGUCAGCAUUUCACAGGUACUUCAGCAUCAUUAGUGUCAUUCACCAUAUGAGCCUGUGUUUCCAAUAUCUAAACUUACAGUGUUUGAGCAGGGCAAAAGUGAGGGGUGCCUUACUCCAGGAUACAGAAGAUGACGAAAAUAACUAGAAGUCAUUUUGACAGUUUGUUUCACUGUGUUUUGGAAUUAAAGAUUACAGAUUAGAAUUAUGAUUCACAUAUAAUAUACCAAGCAAAGAAGUCGAUCAGUUUAAGUACAAGGAGUAAUAUCUUUGGGUUACUGAUCAGGUAACAACUGGAUGUCAGUUUUGUAUUUCUCAUUAGAAAAUGUAAUGCCUCCAUCAGAUUUGUAGCUUACUAUUUGGGGUGUGUGUAUUCUUUUAACCUCUUGUUUAUACAAAUGCUGCUAUGGGUUGAUGUGACCUUACACAUCGUCAAUAUGGCCUAUUCUGUUUCCAAGCAUGUGCUAUUAUCCUUUAGGUUAAGAAACAAAACUGUUGAAAUCAGAUGAAAUAUCAAAAAGCAUCUAAAGAACUAGAAGGCCAACCUUCUUGAGUAUAAUCUAUAAUAGGAGUGAUUUUACACGAAAGAGUGGCUCCUAUCUACAAGACUAUAAAGUAAGUUGUAAGAGAUAAAUUGAUAUCUGCAAAAGGCAAGACUCUGUUUUAAAUAUAUUCUCUAAAGAACCAUCCCAGAAUAAUUUCUCUUGCUUGUGUCAUUUCUUAUUCUAUGGCUCAUACUGAUACCAUUGCGAAAAUCUUCAGACGCGUCCUUUGAGUUUAGUACUUUUGCUUUUCUUAGUGCAGAAGAUAGGCCAGCAGCUUGGCAAGGCAUCCAUGUUGUCAUCAUACCUGCACAAUCCCAGUAAGAAAUUUAAAAUCUGAUUGUAGUACUCCAAUUUAACAGUCUGACGAAUUUCAGUAAUCAAGAAAGAAAAUCAGACGACAGAAUUCUCAAUACACGGAAAUAGAUCCUGCAAAGAUGAAUUUUCCAUUGCAGAUCAUUCAAAUGUUAAAAUUUAACAGAACCCAAGAAAUACCUGCUUGGGCUGCUGUUCCUGCUGCUAGUGCUUGUGCUGCUGUUCCGGCUGCUGCUCCCACUUUUCCUACACACUUUUGUAAACAAAAUCCUGUUGACCCACCACUCCUUGUCUGCGCGGUUAUCAGUUAGUUCCAUCGAUGACCUUGGAGGAACUUCUGUGUCAUUUCUCGUGUUGUCUGAUCUGAUCUUGAAACUGAGAGAAGUUGGAAUCAACAUCUUGAUCAAGAAAGUUUCCUUUUCCAUACUUCCAUUUCUUGAAAUAUCACCUGUCUUGCUAAAACUCUUCGUCUUCUUCGUCUUUUGUUUUGUGAUGAUUUGAGCCUCAAUCUUUAAAUCAGAACUUGUUCUUUGUAUCGCCAUCUCCUCCCGUGCCUCUUCUGAAAUCUGCUGCACAUCAACAAUAUCCUUCAACGAUAGUUCAUAACUACACUCUGGCAUGCUAUGAACCAUCUCCAUGAGCUUCUUCCUACCUUCUGCCAUCACUUGUAACCGUGACCUUGGCGAAAUACUACUGUUAUGAUGGCUACGGGGGGAUAAAGGGGAGGAUUCAUUUCUAACAUUUAUUGACACAUCAGUUUCUCUCAAGGGUGAUGAGUAAUCAACAAAGUCUUCUUCAAACUGUGCUUGAAACCCUACGUCACUACAUCCUCUAUCACCAUAAUAUUGUGUUUCACUUGCACCCCAGAAAACAAAGUCUGCGUCUCCGUUGUCAUUGCCGUGCAUUUUGUACUCAGGAUUCAAAGAAGGGAGAUGAUUGCAGUGAUCAAGCAUGGCCUUGAUCAGGAGGAGUGUUGAGAGAAGAACAAGUGAUGCUCAAUUAAGAGAAAAUAAAGAGAUUUUAUGGGAAGGAUAAUAGUCUUAUUUUCUACACAGUUUACAUAGGGGCUAAAAGUCUUGCCGUCUCAAAUGGGAUGAGAUGUGACUGGUCUAAGCUUCCUAUUUUUCUACACAUGUCUUGUUCAAGAUUUUCUUAAGAAAAUUUACAAUGAGUAAACACCUAUCUUGGUUUUGUCAUUUUCUAAUUUUAAGUUGUAAUUUAUUAGGUGAAUAUGUGAAUGAUAAUUAUUUUAUAUUGAAAAAGAAUGAAAAAAAAGUGAUAUUUAUAUAUAAAAUAAAUCCAUGACCCAACCAUCUAUAUUUUGAGAUAAAAGUGAUGUCCAUCCUUGUACGUAAAACUAUCGUGUGCGUAGGUCUAAUACGGACAUGGAGAUUCAUGCAUCUGUCCAAACACAAAAAGCUCCCUAACAAAAUAACACAAGAGUCUACGGUUCGGAUGAUAAUUAGGGUCUCGUGGCUUUGUUUGUUUUCCCAUAUAUACACACCCUAGCUCGUUCGCACGAGUCCCCGAACAAACUAAAAUUAUUAACGAAUUUCUUCUGGUUCAGAAUAAUAUAAAUUAUAUCUUAAAAUUUUAUUUAAUAGCUUAAAUUUUUAAAUUGAGAUAGUUUUUUAACAUGAUAUCAAAGCCUUAAUGACCAAACGGUCACGAGUUCGAAUAUCACCAUCUUCAUUUAUUUGAUAAAAAUUAAGCACAAGGUAAUAUGAACUUGUGCAAGUUUCAAGUCCAAAGAGCUUUCAUUUGAGGGGGUGUGUUAGAGAAUAAUAUAAAUCAUAUCUUAAAAUCUUAUCUAACAGUUUAAACUAUUGAGUUGAGAUGAUUCUUUGAUAAUGAGAUAGACAAUUACUAACCUACGUUUACUCGUGUAAUAGUAAAUAAGUUUACUCUUUAUAUAUAUUAUCAUCCAAGCUGAAGAAUAUAUAUAUAUUUUUUAUGAAUAUAGAGUCGGGUGUGGGUUUUAAGACAGGAAAAUAAUAUAGUAUUGACUUGUGGAAUCUUGAGUGACAUGAAUAUAAAAUGUUUUUUUUGGGUAAGAUAAAAUUCCAUUUUCCAAGUUGUAGGGGCCCUGUUGGAUGUGUUGCUUUUCUAGAUAUUCAACUCGGUGCGUGUGCUGAGGAGCUGAGGAGCUAGGGGCAGGUGAUCAACAGCACAUCACGAUCCUGGAAUGGAAGACAACCUUUGCAUGAUCCACGUUAUCUUUCUCGAAGGUGUCCAAAAUCUUUGUUAACAUGGCUUGAUUAGAGGUCAUUUAUUGACUCUUAUUUUUGUGGCUGUCCUUGUUCUUAUUCAUGAAUUCAAAGGAAGAUUACCCUAAUGACUUCGAGGAAAGAAACAAAACGAGGGCCGAGAAUGAAUUACUUAAUUUCUUAACAAAGAAAUAUUUGUUUUUUUUUAAAUAAUAUAUGAUUUGAAUUCAAUGCCACAUAUUUCCAGGAAACAGAGAAGAAGUUUAAAACUAUUUUCGAUAACUAAUAAGUCAUUUAUUUAGGCCCACAUAAAUACUGAUAACAAUAAUAUCUCCACAUAAAUCUUACAUUUCUAUUUUUCAAAAACAAAAUAAAAAAGAACCCAUGGAAUAUUUACUUAAUUAGGCCCGAAUUAAUGGAUCCUUAUACUAUGAAAUGACUCAUGGCAUUACUUGGGGUUGUAAGACGAACCAUGCUCUAUAUAUAUAUAGUUCUUGUUUAGAAAAUUAUUAAAAUACCCAUUUUUUAAAAUUUAAAGUUAAAAAAAAAAAGAUACUUUCGAUCAGAUUAACUAUUUAAAGUUUCUAAAACUUGACUUUGAAUGAGAAUUUAAUUACAUCAAGCAUGCCUUCGAGCAAUAUAUAAUGAUAACAUAUAGUAUAUGUUCUUUGCAAGAGUCUAUGAAGCUCGAUCUAAUCAAGUCAAACCAAGUUUCCGGGUUAGCUUCAGUCCAACCCUAAUUAAUCAUCACCAACAACGUAGCUGACUGGUUGGCUUGCUUGAGCAAUAUAUAUAGCACUGUUGAAAUAUUAGACUAACAGUACUGCUAUGGUGGCCAUCAUUGAAUCCAUCGUCUCUGUUAAUUAGGUUAAAAGAAAUAGGCGACCUCUACGAAAAGAAAGAAAGAAAAACGUAUACUGUGUAAAUUAACUAUCUAAGGUUCAUGUAUUUAUAUAAUAUAUACGAACAUAUGUUGCAUAAUAAAUGAAAACAAAAUUAAAUUAAUUAUAAUAUUAAAGUUUUCAACUCUUAAUACCAGCUUACUAGAUUUAAUUUCACUUAGAUUAUUAUGUUGUUAUAGAUUAGGUUUUUUUUAUAAAGCAUUGAAAACACCUAAAUAAAAUUACUGCUCAUCAUAUGACCAUUUAUAUUUUUGUACUUUUAUUUUUAUAAAUAAAGAUUUUCAUCAUCAAAAGAAUGAACAACUUCUAAAAUUCCAUUGAUUGAAUAAUUCAGAAAGAUAUGUUCUUGCACUUAAAUUAUUUUUGUAACAUACAAUAAUUAAUGAUGGAGUUGAUUUUUUAUUAAUAAAAAACUAAAAGAGAAGGGAAAGUUACUAUAUCUCUUCUCACAAAAUAUUAUUCACUGUAAUAGUAUUUUUUCUAUUUUUUAUAAACUAUAUAUGUUGUUUUUUUCAUUUUCAAUUUCAAUUUCAUCAUUCAAAGUGAGGUUUAUUGGGAAUUAAACUUUUAUAAUUUUUUUCAAUUUAAUUUUAAUGAGGUUAUCCCAAACCCAUGAUUUGAGUCGUGGGUUUGAUAGGUUAACUCGAUUGACUCAAGUUUUUUUUUUUUAAAUUGAUUUUUUUUUCAAUUUCAUCCUUUAACAUUGUAUUGAUUGGAAAAUAGACUUCAUGAUUUGUAUUAGUUUACUUUCGAUGAGGUUAUCCCCGUCUUAUAACUUGGUUCAUAUGUUUGACAAGUUAACCCUAAUUAACUCGAGUCAUUUUUUUGUGUCAUUUUUUAAUCAAUAUUUUUUUUUCAAUUUUAUCUUUCAACACUAAGUUAAUUAAGAAUUAAGUUUCACAAUUUGUUUUAAAUUUUUUCUUGUUGGGUUAUCCUAAUCUCAUGACCUGGAUUGUGGGUUUGACAGGUUGACUAAGAUUAUUUUUUGGUUCAUUUUGUAAUUGAUUUUUUUUCCUAUUUCAUCCUUCAACAUUGUAUACUUUUUAAAAUUGAGCUUCAUAAUUUGUUUUGAUUUGUUUUCUAUGGGGUUAUCAUGGUCUCGUGACUCGAUAUGCGGAUUGAUAAGGUAACUUGAGUUGACUUGAAUUGAUUCAAUAUGUUAUCGUCUCAAUGUUUACAUAAAAAAUCUCAUCUUAAAUAUUUAUUCUAAGUCAAACUAAAAUUGAUUCAAUAUACAAUCGGUUAUCCGGGUUGCUUUUGGACCCGUCAAAUAGGCUAAUUCAUAACAGAUUAAUCCUCAUACAAUUUAAAUUUUUUUUCUACUAGAAAAAACAUUAGCAACUCUUAGAUAUAUUUUUACAUUAAAAAAAUUAAUUUGACCUAUAGUAUAGCGUGAGCCAAUGAUAUGAUAACUUAAUAUUUUGAAUAAGAGACAAUUAAAAAUAAAAUGCAUGAGAAUAUUUUUGAAAUAAAGAGAAUAAUAAUAAUAUUUUUAAAUGGACCAUAUAAAAUUAUUUAGCUCAUUGAAUGACUUGGUUCAUGAAAAAUAGUGGUGAGUAGGCUUGCCUGUAAAAUCUCUUUAUAAAUAAGGGUACUUGACAAUUUUAAUUUACAAACCAAUAAUUACAAUUUCAUUAACAUUAACCAAAAAAAAAAAGAAUUGAAAGAGAAAGGGAAUUUAUUAAAUUGUAAUUCACAAAAUACUAUUUACUAUAAUAGUGUUUUUUUAAUCAUUUAUGUUUUUUUUUCUAGCUUCAAUUUCAUCUUUUAACAUUAAGUUUAUUGGAGAUUGAGCUUUCAUGAUUUUUUUUUCCAUUUAUUUUUAAUGAAGUUAUUUGAGGCUCAUGACUUGAAUUACAAGUUUGACGAGUUAACUUAGUUGAUUUGACUUUUCUUUUUUUAAUUGAUUUUUUUUUCUCAUUUUCAAUAUUGGGUUGAUUAAGAAUCAGGCUUCAUGAUUUUGUCUUGCUUUGCUUUUUAUAAGGUUAUCCCCGUCUAAUGACUUGAGUCACGAGUUUGACGGGUUAAUCCUGGUUGGUUCAAGUCAUUUUUUGUGUUCUUUUUUAAUCGAUUUUUCUUUUCAAUUUCAUCUUUCAAUACUAGGUUGAUUAGGAAUUUGGCUUUGUAAUUUAUUUUAGUUUGCUUUCUAUUGUGUUAUUUCGAUCCUAUGACCUAGGUUGUGAGUUUGGUAGGUUAACCUAGGUUGACUCGGGUCAUUUUUGCAGGGCCUUUUUUUAUUGAUCCUUUUUCUUUAAUUCCAUUUUUAAUAUUUGAUUUAUUGGAAAUUGAGCUUUGUAAUUUAUUUUGAUUUUAUUUUUAUAGGGUUAUCAUAGUCUCAUGAUUCAGUAUACAGAUUAGCAAGUUAAUCCGGGUUGAACCAAAUCGAUCUAAUAUGUUGUCAUCUCAAUAUUCACAAAAAAAUCUCAUUUGAAAUAUUUAUUUUGAGUUAAAUUAUAUUUUUAUCUGUUAAUGAGGUUGUUUUUAGAUCCGUAAAAAAAACCAAGUCACGUCAAAUUAAUUUACAUAUGUUUUUCUUUCAUUGGCAAAUCUUAAACUUGUUUUAAAUUAAAAAAAAAAAUCUAACAAGCGGCGUAACACAAGCGAAGAAUCUAAUUUAUUUAAUUGAGUACUCCAUGGAUGCAUAUUCUUCAGUGAACUAGCAGUGAGGGUGGUCGUGCAGUGGCAUUAAUGGCCACCUUCAUUCCCAUUUGACAUUGAUUAAGUGGCCAACUGCAUAUGAAGUAAUUAGCUCCAAAUUGAAGUUGGAUUUUAUCAUCUCCUGACCUGUAAAACACUGACGAGUCUGAGACUGAGCAAUCAUCAUGAUCUUUUUUCUCCACCACAACGACGUUGGCGUCUUCAGUAUCAUACUUGAAUUCUGCAAAAUAAAAUAAAAUAUACAGCCACAAAAAUAAAUAACAAAUAUAUUGGUGUAUGAACAAGCGUUAAGAGCAUCAACAAGUCUCAAAGUCUGCACUAAAUUAAUUUCUUAUGUAAAAACAGACAUGGAUACAAUUAUGCUUAAGAUCGGGUUUGGAACGCGGUGCGAACCAUAUUUUCUUAAAAUUUAUUUAUUUUUACUUAAAAUGAAUUGUUUUUUAAUAUUUUUAUAUCGUUUUGAUGUGCCGAUAUCAAAAAUAAUUUUUAAAAAAUAAAAAAAAUAUUAUUUUAAUAUAUUUUUAAAUAAAAAACACUUUAAAUUAUAAACACCAUCACAUUCCCAAACACAUCGGACAUACCCAGUGGCGGAGCCAGAGUUUUUUAAAUGAGGGGGCAAAUUAUUAACAAAUACUAUAUUAUAUAGACAUGCAUUAUAAAUCAAUUCAAAACAUAUAUAUUAAUUCAUAUCAAGUAAAAUUAAUUUAAAAAUAUUUUUAAAAUAAAAAAACUUACAUUAUAAUUGUUCUCUUUGAGUUUUCAUAUUUUGAAACCGCUUCAUAAUAACUGCAUUAUCAAUCUUAUCGAAAAUAUCUUUAAUAUGAAUACUUGUCUGGUGAUAUGUUAAUUUAAUAUGAUUGACUCUUCAUCCUCAAGGGAUUUACGCUUGAAAUAUUUGUCUAGUGACAUGUUAAUUUAAUAUGAACCUGCUGAAUUUUUUUUAUCAUCAUUAGUGUCUACGUAAUAAUUAACACAAUUACACAAUAAUUCACUGUUAAACAAAAGUCAGUUGAGUUACACAAUAAUUCUAAAUCUUCCAUGUGAAAUUAAUAGCAAAAUACACGUCAAUUCAUCAAAAUCAAAACCUAUUUCAAUUCAUAUCUAUAUGCAUAUAAUAAGUAUAUUGAUUAAAUUAUACUUAAUCAUUUCUAGACAUUUAAUUAAAGAACAGUGCCUAGUGUAUGUGUAAGAGGAACAAUGCUUGAAAAACAUACUUUCUACUUGAUAGUUUACUUACAAACAAAUCAUGUGAAAAUAUUAAAUUUCAAUAAAUUACUCUGUCAAUGCAAAAGAUGUCAAGAAUAAUAGUUUUGCAUGAAUAUUAAUUUAUUUCUCUAUAAUAAGAAAAGAAACAUUUAAUUGAUUAAAUUAACAUAUUUAAAUAUUUAUUUUGAAUAUAUUCAUAACAAAACCCUUAAAGUAUCAUAAACUCUAAUAUUUUAAAUAACUAAUUAUAAAAAAAUAAAACUAAAAUUAGAUAAUGAAACAAAUAGAAAAGAUAAAGAAAAUUUACCUAAAAGCAUAAAGCAAAAGGUAAAAAAGAUUAAUAAAUGAGAAAUUUGCAUAUAGGAGACCUUCUUGUUUUGUUAGACAAGGGAAGAUAAAAAUACAAAAGUGAAAGGGAGAAAAAUUGAGGAGUUGUAAUUAUAUAUAUAUAUGAGUCAAGUUAGUCAACAAUAAUAAAAGAUUAAAACUUUCAGAGCAACAAUUCACAUUUCACACCCACUAAUAUAUUAAUAUUUUAAUAAAAAAAAAAUAAAGGGGCAAUUGCCCCCUUUUGACCCAUUGUGGCUCCGUCACUGGACAUACCUAAUAUGUCUCCAGCAUAAAAUUUCUUCCCUCCAGUCCACGACUCCGGGUAACCAUCCAGAGUCCAGCCCAAAUCAUCUCCAACAAUGUAGGUGACUGGUCCCUUUGCUCGAGCAAUAUAGCAUUGUUGAAAUAUUAGACUCAACAGUGUAGCUAUGGUGGCGAUGAUUGCAUUCAUCUUGUUUGUUAAUCAGGAGGGGAAAAGAACAGUAUAUUGUUUAAUUUAACUUUUUAUGGUUCAUAUAUAUAUAUAUAUAUACACAAACAGGAAAACACCAGUACAAAGAUAUACGUACGGAAAGAAAAUUUAAUUACAGUUAUAAUAUCAAUUAUUUCCAUUUCUCACACAAAAAUAUAUAGCAAGCAUAUCGAAAUUUUCCUAAUACUAUAUAUUACAAGAGAUUUUACCUCCUACCAUAAGGACUCAUCCAAUUUGAAUACCUCAUCAUCUUCUGAUUACUUCAUAUUAACAAUUACAUGUAUGGCAUAAUUUUUUAUGCAAUUAUUUUUAUUAAUAACAAUUGUUAAGAUUUUAUAAGAUUUUUUUUUAAUUUAAAAAUUCUAAUACUAGUUGGAUUCUAUAUUAAUUCUUAAUAAAAAUUUAUUUUUCUAGAAGGAUUUAGGUGUUUAACUAAUACAAUAUAUACAAACAUGCAGUCACACACUAAUACAAAAAUAUAUGAAAGGAAAAAGUAAUUAUAAUUAUAAUAUUAAAUAUUUUCGUUUCCCACACAAAAAAUAUAGAAAAUAUAUCAAAAUAUUUCUAAUAAUAUUACAAGAGAUUUUACCUACUAUAAUAGGAACUCAUCCAACCUGGAUACCCAACUUAGAUCUUGAUCCUUUAGUUAUUUCAUAUUAACAAGGACACAUGUCAAAUAAUUUUUUAUAUAAUUAUUUUUAUUAAUAGCAAUUGUUAAUAUUUUUAUAAGAUUUUUUUUUAAAAUUUUAGAAUCCUAGUGCUGGUUGGAUUUUAUAUAAUUCUUAAUAAGAAUUCAUUUUUCUAUAAGGUUUUAGGUCUAUAACUAGUAUGAUAUAUACAAAUAGUCACACACUAAUACAAAUAUAUAUAAUUAAGAAAAAUAAUAAUUACAGUUAUAAUAUCAAAUAUUUUCAUUUCCCACACAAAAAUAUAGAAAAUAUGUCAAAAGUUUCCUAAUAAUAUUACUAGAGAUUUUACCAAUUACAAUAAAGACUCAUCCAACUUGUAUACAUCACUUAGAUCAUGAUCUUCAAGUAACUUUAUAUUGACAAGGACACGUAUCGUAUAAUUUUUUAUAUAAUUAUUUUUAUUAAUAGUAAUUGUUAAGAUUUUAUGAGAUUUUUUCUAAUUUAAAAAUCAUAAUGAUAGUUAUAUUCUAUAUUAAUUCUUAAUAAGAAUUCAUUUUUGUAGAAGGAUUUAGGCUUAUAAUUGACAUGAUAUAUACAAAUAGUCAUACAUUAAUGUUGUUCAAGGAAUAAGGUAACUUAAUACCUAAAAGGGGGUGAAUUAAGUAUAUUGCUAAUUUCGACAAUUAAUGCAAAUUACUCUUAAUAAAUACAAUAACCAACAAUAUAAUUAAAGUACUUAAAGUAAAGAGACAAUUGAGAGAAUUUGCAAACUCGUUUUUAACAUGGUUUGACAAGCCUACAUCCACACCUCAAGUACCAAACCGUACUUGAAUAUUGUAUUCUUUCACUAGUCCAAGUUUAAGAGUGCAAUAUCCAUUUGAUGAAUCCAUACCAAGCUUUUUACACCACUUGAAGAAACUUCUUCAAGACUUUUUCCACUUGAAGAUAUGUCAUCUUCAAGAUUUUUCGUGUGGUGAAAUUCCUUCACAAAUUCUAAGAGUUUUUAUCUAACUCUCAAAGGUUUACAAGAAUGAUUUUGUUUUUAAACAAACUCUCUUAUUAAAGUGGAUAAUACAAUUGAAGUUCUAAUAUCUCUAUAACUCACUAGAUAACAUUUAUAGGAUUUAAAGGUGUUUAAGUAUAGUGAAAAUGUGAUUGAAUACUUUUAUGUUAGAAUAUGAAGAUUUAAUAGCACAAAUUAGAGUAUGAUUAAUGAUCGAUGAUUUUAUAGUUGUUUUGCUCUUAGAAUAACUUGUAUAUGAUACAUGUUCGGAUUUUGUACUUAAUUCUGCAAUUAUACAAGCUACACAUAUAUUUCUAAAAAAAACUAGUCGUUUAUAGCCGGUAUUAUUGCUCUAACAGCUAAAACAGUAGACCGGUUCAGAUUGAUCAAGCAAAUUAGUCGACCUGUUCCUACAAAAUUCUUAGGUGUUCAUCACUGAUGAAUAAUUAGUCGACCAGUUUAUUUGGUAACACUAAAUGAUCGACCGGUUUAUGCAGUAUUCUUGGUUUAUCAUAUUAACUUAGAUAAAAUCUUAGAACCGUCUAUUUAAAUUUUAUUAUCAGUCUUUCAAUGUAUGCAGAGUGAAGUGUGUAAAAUCAUUUUAAUUGUGCUAUCAAGUAAGAUAUAAAGAUUUAUAUUCAAGCACUAAAAUAAACAUUUAUUCCAAGUCUUCACUUUGCUUUCUUCUUAGACUUUCUAAUUGAUUUAGUCAUGAAUUCCAUCAUGCUUGUUAAUGUUUUCUUCAUAUAAAACAUCUUUAAAGUUUAUUCUCGACCAAUCAUAUUAUUAGUUUAUUUUACAUUUUAUUUUUAUCAUUAAAAAAUAUAAAAACAUGAAUGUAUGACACUAAAGAUCAACAAUAAUACGAGUAUAUAUGAAAUAAAAAAAUUCAAUUACAAUUAUAAUAUCAAAUAUUUCCAUUCCUCACACAAAAAUAUAGAAAAAUAUGUCAAAACUUUCCUAAUAAUAUUACUGAGAUUUUACCUGCUACAAUAAUGACUCAUUCAACUUGUAAACCCAACUUAAAUCUUACUAAAACUAUUUAUUUGGGCUGGCCAGUACUCAGGUUCAAAUGGAGAUGCUAUGGGCCCAAGUCUUCUGUUUGGUCCAAUGUCACUACUUCUUUGACCUUGUAAGUUGUAACCAUCUUGAAAACCCAGGAGUGGAGCCGAAAUUUGAAACCCAACAAAAAUUCAAAAAUCUUUGCCAUAAAAAAUACAACAGCCAAUUGAGAAACCAAUAACCCAUGAAUCGACUUCAUCUAUGGUGAUAAUGGAAUGGCAAGACAUGGGUUGGUCAAGCAAAUCAUUGGCAGUGCUGGUGGUGGUGGCAUCUUUUUUACUGACUCGUCACCAUUUGCAAAACUCUUGGAUUUAUGCGUCAAACUCAGGUCCUCUAGGGAUGCUCGUAGCGUACAUGGACGUCUUAUCCAAACCCCAUUUUGCGAAGAAGUUUUUAUACAGAAUAGGCUUAUUGAUGUUUAUGGAAAAUGUGGUUAUUUGGAUUAUGCACGCAAAGUGUUUGAUAGAAUGUCUGAGAGAAAUGUUUUUAGUUUUAAUUCGAUUAUUAGUACUUUAAUGAGAUGGGGUUUUGUUGAUGAGAGUGCAUGGUUGUUUUCAUUAAUGCCUGAGAAGGAUCAGUGCUCGUGGAAUUCGAUGAUUGCUGGGUUUGCGCAACAUGAUCGGUUUGAAGAAGCUUUGGAUUGGUUUGUUAGGAUGCAUAGGGAUGAUUUUGUGCUGAAUGAUUAUUCCUUUGGUAGUGGUCUUAGUGCAUGUUCGAGGUUAAAGGACUUGAAAUUGGGUGCUCAAAUUCAUGGUUUGAUAUCAAAAUCGAAGUACUCCUUGGAUGUUUUUAUGGGGUCUGGUCUUAUUGAUUUUUAUUCAAAAUGUGGUUUAGUGGGUUGCGCCCGAAGGGUUUUUGACGGGAUGGAGGAGAAGAAUGUUGUUUCCUGGAACUGCUUGAUUACUUGUUAUGAACAAAACGGUCCUGCAAUUGAAGCUCUGGAAGCUUUUGGAAGGAUGACAGAGCUUGGGUUCAAACCAGAUGAGGUUACGCUGGCUAGCGUCGUCAGUGCUUGUGCAACUUUGGCGGCAUUCAAAGAGGGUGUGCAAAUUCAUGCCCUUGUGGUGAAAUCUGAUAAAUUUAGGAAUGAUCUUAUCUUGGGCAAUGCAUUGGUUGAUAUGUAUGCAAAAUGUGGUAGAGUUAAUGAAGCGAGAUGUGUUUUUGAUAGGAUGCCUGUUAGGAAUGCGGUGUCUGAAACCACCAUGGUCAGUGGGUAUGCAAAGUCAGCAAGUGUGAAAGCCGCAAGAUCAAUGUUUGCUACAAUAAAGCAGAAGGAUAUAGUUUCUUGGAAUGCACUUAUUGCGGGAUACACACAGAAUGGGGAGAAUGAAGAGGCACUGGGACUCUUUCGAAUGCUAAAGAGGGAAUCUGUUUGUCCGACCCACUACACCUUUGGGAACCUGCUGAAUGCCUCUGCAAAUCUUGCUGAUCUGGAGCUUGGCAGGCAGGCACAUAGUCAUGUUGUUAAGCAUGGAUUUAGGUUCCAGUCUGGUGAAGAGCCUGAUAUUUUUGUGGGAAAUUCUCUCAUAGACAUGUAUAUGAAAUGUGGAUCUGUUGAAGAGGGACUUCGGGUUUUUGAAAACAUGGUGGAAAAGGAUCAUGUAUCAUGGAACACCAUGAUAAUAGGGUAUGCACAAAAUGGCUACGGAAUGGAGGCCCUCGAACUAUUUCAGAAAAUGCUGGAAUCUGGAGAGAAACCAGACCAUGUUACUAUGAUUGGUACUCUAUGUGCUUGUAGCCACGCAGGGCUUGUUGAAGAGGGACGGCGUUACUUUUUCUCAAUGACUAAGGAACAUGGUUUGCUACCAGUGAAGGACCAUUAUACAUGUAUGGUCGAUUUACUAGGCCGAGCUGGUUGCCUUGAGGAAGCAAAGGAUUUGAUAGAGUCAAUGCCUAAGCAGCCUGAUGCUGUUGUCUGGAGCUCUUUGCUUAGUGCUUGUAAAGUUCAUCGCAACAUUACUCUAGGGAAGUAUGUGGCAGAGAAGAUUUUUGAAAUUGACCCUACAAGCUCUGGACCAUAUGUUCUUCUUGCAAAUAUGUAUUCUGAGCUUGGCAGAUGGGGUGAUGCUGUAAGUGUAAGAAAACUGAUGAGGCGUCGCGGAGUAGUUAAACAGCCUGGUUGUAGCUGGAUUGACAUACAGAGCAAUGUGCAUGUUUUUAUGGUGAAAGACAAAAGGCAUCCUCAGAAGAAGGAAAUCUAUUCAAUCUUGAAACUUCUUACAAAGCACAUGAGGCAAGCUGGAUAUGUCCCUGAUGCCAGUGAUCAUGAGGCUUACGAGGAACCAAGCGAAUUAGAAUCAAGCUCUUGUUUCCAUAUGGAAAUGCAAGCAGAGGCUGCCGUCAUGUAAUUUUUUCGGAAUAUUAUAUUUAAACACUCAUUCUGUUACCAAAGCAUGAUCGAUUUUAUGGUUCAAUAGCACGAAUAAAAUUUCUCUAUUAUGUUGUCCUUGAAAAUGAUAUUCUUAAAACAAGCCCGCAAACUUCUACAAGGGCAGGUUUCUUUUUUUUUUUUUUUUUUUUUUGCUAUACACAUGAUCUAUAUGGCAUACAUCUUUCAAAAGAUAGGACCCCUCUGGAUUGGAAGUAGUGCCAAUGUUUUAUCAACGAGUUCUUAAUGAAAAACUAACCCCAGCACAGGGAGAACUACUUGCCAGCACAAACAGAACCAUUUCAUGACAGGUCAAACCAACUAUCUAGGUCUUAUAUUUUGAUAGACAAGGAAACAUAUUUAAACUCAUUUUGAUCUCCUUCAAGAUUCUUUUAGUUUGAUGAAGCCCAUUUGAUAUCCCCACAUGGAAACCAGUGACCAAAAUAGUUUGGUGAGAUUCAGAACACAUGCAGGGAUUUAAAACCUGUUACCAACAUACAAGUUUAACUAGUUCCAUCAAAAGAUUGUGUUUGGUUUCAAGGUAGUUUUCAUGGUUACAGGUAGAAAAAAAAAAGAUUAGAAAAAAAUAAUUUUAAAAUAUAUAUUUUAAAAAAUAUAUAUGCUUGGUUAAAAUUAUUGUGAAAUAGAUUUUUAUCUGUAAAAUAAAUAAAAAAUAAAUCUUCAUAAAUAAAAACUAGACUAUUUUAAUUUUUAUAAAAUCAAUAUUUAAAAUAAAAAUAUAUAUAAAAUUCAUGAUAAAAAAUAAAAAUUAUUUAGCUAACUAAAUGAUUUUUUUUUUAUGGUGUUGAUCGGAAAAAAAACACAAGUCUCGACAAUACAAAACUGUCUCCUCAGAAAUUGUAGACUUGAGGGAAUGAAGUGUAGAUUUACGUGCCCAUUAAACAAUAAAAAUGGAAAAAAGAUUGCCUAUUAUUGCCAAUAUCAAAUUUAAUCCCUGCUCUUUUAAUUUUCCAAUGCAACGAUGGAAAAUAUCCACGUUUGAGCAUUCAAUACCCCACAUGGAAACUUUAAAGCAAAAUGAAGUGUAGAAACAUGUAGCUAGGGAGAAAAGCAUCCAAGUUGUUAUACUGACAUCUUGAGAAGUGGGACAUGAAUCAGAAUAAUGAAUAAAAAUUAUUUAAUUUAAAUAAUAAAUAUGUUGAUAUUAAUUAAAAAUAAAUUUAAAAUAAAAAAAUUAUUUUAAAAAAUAAUAUUUAUCAUUAUCUCAAAUAUCCUAUAGAUGACAAUGAUGGAAGAAUAAGAUUCUAAGGGAGCACACAAAUUUACAAACAAGCUAGCAUACACCACCUUUAUAAUAUUGUUUUGAAAUAGAAAGGAAUUUUUUUUUAAAAAAAUUAUUUUUAUAUCUUCAUUUUAUUUAAACUUCUUUAAUAUAUAUAUUUUUUCUGUCAUAAGACAAUGAGAAAAUGCAACUAAUGGAGGUAAUUCUAACUCUAACUCGGCGUAAAAUUAAUUCAUAUACCAAUAUCUUACAGCUUCCUAGUUUCAUUUCCUAUUGAGAGGAUACUGUGCUGGGGAUUAUUACAUGCAUCAUGUCAACUAUUGAUAAGAAAAUCUAAACUAGGUAACUUGUUAAUUUGUCCUCGUAGGUUUACAGAGUUUGAAAAUAUGGUUGGAAUUGUAUUUUUUAAAAAUUUAAAUUUAUUUAUUUAAUUUUUUAGAUUGUUUUGAUGUAGUGAUAUAAAAAAUAAUUUUUUAAAAAUAAAAAAUAUUAUUUUAAUAUAUUUAAGAAACCUAAUCAAAACUUUAUUCCGUCACAAAACCAACACAAAAGUUGGAACCGAAAGAAAAUUGGUUUAUUCAACAAGCAUGUCUACUUGUCUGCUUUCUUAUCUGUAUCAUGCCUGCCUUUCAUCUCCCUCCAUCAAUCUCUCACGAGCUUCUCCACCUCGAUUCUGUCUAUAUUGUUAUCACUUGUCAACCUUCAUGCCAAUACCUCGUGCAGGUCUGGCACUCUAGCUAACUUUCCUCUUACAUGUUGUAAAAUAACAACCAGUCUAUGAACAGAACAAGUCCAAUUGGCAAAAGGGUCUAAUCCGUAAGGAAAAUGGCAAUGGAAAUGGGCCAACCUGAUCGACAAACAUUUCGAUUUACAUAACCUUCAUGGUUAUUCCAAUGGACACAAGGGUCUAUUACGUUUGGAAAAUUUAUCAAUCCACUAAACAGAAGAAAGACUAUGAAACUAUGACAGCAGACAGGCAACACUCUCACACAAGCAACAGCUUCUCCUGAAGUUUGCAAUUAUUCCAGUACACGCCUGGGUUCAAUACGAUGUGAACUAUUCAAUGACAUCAUUUUUUUUUGUAUUUUGUUUUUAGCUAUCACUGUGCUCAAAGAAAGUAAAAGAACAGGAAAUAAUGGCAGAAUAAGACAGAGACGACUCAUGAUGAUGAUACAAUUUGUUCUUUAUUAUUUUGAUAUUAAUUUCUUUGGCUGCUAUCUUUAGUAAAUUCCAAAAACAUGUGAAAUGUCUUGUUAACACUCGUGAGAGGGAGAGGGAGAGGGAGAUAGAAAGACAGAGAUUCAGCAGAAUCAUCAAACAAGUGAACCCUUGAAACUGCUGAUGCUAGGACAGUAUCUUAACCUAAGAAUAACAUAAGAAAUAAACCUGUAAACCAAGAUGAAACAUACCAUGAUCACCACAUUCCUCCACUUACCAUCCUCUCCAUAUCCUUCUUCUCUAAGCAAAUCUUCUGCACUAACCAUGCAUUUCCCAAACAUGUACUCCAAGCACUUCCCUGAAUUUGAGAACUCAUUUAUCAAAAACCCUUCAAAUGGAUACUUAAACAGCGAUAUAUAGUGCAUAAAAAUCCAAUAAUUUGGCAUUCCAUGCUUCGAUAUGAAGUAGCCAGAGAACAAGAAGAAUGAUCCCAUCACCCCUGAAAUCACCGAAUUUCCAACGAUGAAGUUAGGUACUAGAGCACUGAAACAUACCACAACCGAAUUCGCUGUGUAGAGAAUCAACCAGAUUAACAACAAGAAAUGCAUGAAUGCCAUGAAAUUUGGGUUCAGUCCCACUAGCCAAUAUAGUGGAAUUGUGAAUAGUAUGGCAAGGAUGAGUAGAAAUGGCAAGUAAACUAGUCCAUUGGCAAUGGCAUAUGAUGAGACUCUAUAGCUCCCACAAGAUGUCUCCUUCAUAAGAAUCUCCCUUUCUUGCAAGAAGAUCGGUAGAGCUUCUGUUGUGCAAGAUAACAAGAAAGUCAGUAUAAAAGCAAAUAGUCCUACCCUUUCUUCUGCUCCAGUCAAAUCAUCUUUAAGGUUGUAGAAGAUAGAACCCAAAACAAGUCCAGAAAUCAGCAUUUGAAUCGUUCGGCAUGCAAAAAGCUCCUUGGUUCUGAAAAUGUUCUUGGAGAACCUAUGAGUGAGAAUCAAAGUUUCUUGCAACCUUGAGUUAGCAAAACCAAGAGGAAAAUCAAACCCAAAAUCGAUACUUUCCUCAUCUACCACUUUAGACUGCUGAAAGAGUUGUUGAAGAGUGAACUUGCCACUUCUACUCUCGCCAACUUCUACUUUCUUCUGCCGAGAUUUUGUUGUAGAUGAUGAUAGCAGUUGUGGUUGAGUUUCUUGCUGCAAAACUUUCCUUUGUUGUUGAACGGUGUCAAUUGACUCUAAAGCAAAUUCAACAACAUUGGCAUGAAGAGGAAGCUGCAUUCCCAUUGUCCUCAAAUUAACACCAAGCUGAUCCACCGUGCCAUGAUGCAAGACUGAUCCAUUAGCCAUCAGAAGUACUGAAUUGAACAACUUCACAAUCCGAAAUCCGGGUUGAUGAAUGCUUAGUAUUAUAGUUCGGCCCCUUGUCUCUGCCAUGAGCUUCAGCAUAUCAAUAAUCUGCAAAGCAGAAGUGCUAUCAAGACCUGAAGUUGGUUCAUCAAGAAUUAGCACUUCAGGAUCAUGAAUGACAUCAACUCCUAUCGACACACGACGCCUUUCUCCGCCGGAUAUCCCACGAACCCGGUCGUCACCAACUCGAGUCAUGGCUACGUGAUCCAAGCCUAACUCAUGCAUUAAGAACUUAACCUCAGAGCUCAGUUGAUCUUGAGGAAGCCUUAGACGUAGCUUGGCGCUAAACAUGAGUGUUUCUUCAACUGUAAGGAGAGGAAAGAGGGUGUCUUUUUGGGUGACAUAGCCUGAAGCCUUCUUGAACUGAGCUUUGUUAAUAGGGUUUUGGUUGACAAAAAUGGAACCACUUUGUGGGGUGAGUUUCCCAGCUAGGACUUCAAGUAAGGAUGAUUUACCUGCUCCACUUGGACCAACAAUAGCGAGGAUUUCCCAUGGCUUUGCUUUGCAAUAAACAUCUUUCAAGACAUGCCUGGCUCCAAGGCUUGCUUCUUCAAGAUUUGUCACUUGUUGUUUCGGUUCUUGAUUUAUUUCUUGCUUUUUGGUGAAGAUUUUAAAAGGGUGCUCUCUUUUUUUGGUGGAGAUUUUGUAGGUGAUCCCUAUUGCUUCAAUCUCCCAGCCUUGUUUCUUCAUUGCACUCUUUUGCUCCAUUAUUCUGGUUUGGUUUCUCAAGACCGAACCAUCACCAGCUAAUAAGUACGUACGGCUAUUCUUUUUUUCUUUAUUCUUUUUUCCUGUAGAACAAUGGAAGGGUGCAGUGACAAUUGCAACCUAGAAAUUGUUAAACGCUUCACGUGAAAUUGUUCUUGAUAUUUCUUUGUAUUUAUAUAUUUUCUUAUGGAAGAUUUGGAUAGCUCACGUGUUCUGCUACUUGUAAUCUUAUAGUUUCUCGUUGUAUAGUUUUGGUCUUUAAUUUGCACUCUAAUAAUUUGUAUUUUUAUUUGGGUUAUUAAUUAAAAAAGAAAUUAAAAGAGUUCAGUCUUUCAGUAAAAUGAUCAACGGGUUGAUCAACUUUUCACUAAUGAAAACAAGGGUUAAGAGCUCAUAUCACAAGUUAAUUAUCUUUUAUCUUUAGAUAUAAUUAAAUUAAGUUCUUAAUCUAUAUUUCUAGAAACAUUAUAUAUAUUAGGCCAAACUAUCAUAAUUAAUUACAUAAUUUAUGUACAAAUUAUACCCUUACAAAUUAACUAGACAAACAGAAAGCAUUCAUGUGCAAAAUAUCACACAACUAAUUUUAACAGUAUAAAUAGAAAAUCUUGACAGAAUGAUAGGUUAGGAAUUUAAUGUAUAUUUAGAGAUAAAAUUAGCUUAGUUAAAUAUAUAAGAAUAUAUUAAAAAAAUUGCUCUAUUAUACAAGGAUAAAUUAAAAUUGUUAAACUAGAAAACAAAAUAAGAUAUAUUUGUUUUGCUUACGAAUCACGAAUUUUAUUUCAAGAAUAAUCAGCUAGGGAGCCUUAGUAAACUAUAUCUAAUUAAUAGUAUUAAUUGAAAACUAUAUGCAUUUUUCCGGCCAAACAAAAAGUUUUGGAACUGCAGAAAACAAUUGGCUAGGUUUCUUGUACAUGUAAUAUGAGUGCCUGGAGUCGGCCCCGAAUGGAAAAAAACAUAAAUUAAUAAUUAACCAUUUUGGAAGCAUAUGCAGGCAGCAAGCCACCAAACAUAGGGGUGAGGACGGAAAACCAUGGUCCCAAUGGGUCCUCGAAUUUGUGGCUGAAAUCACAUUAAAUCAUAAUGGCUAUUAACCUAUGAAAUCUCUUUUAUUAAUAGGAUAGAGCACUAUAUAUAUAUAUAUAUUGGGUUGUUGAAAAUGGCUGUGAAAUUAUAGGGAAAGGAAAUUGUUAAAUUUAUCGGUAAAUCUGUUGUUAAUGAAUUUUUUGAUAGCUUUAUAGAUAGAUAAUGUGUAUAAAAAAAUUAAUUACUUGUUUUAAUCCGUCAAUAAAUUUUUUGGUAUUAUUUAACAUAUCACCAACAGGAUAACCAUAUAUAAUUUUAUCGGUGAGUUGUAAUGAAAUAUGCAUUAAUUUAUUUUUAACUCUCUAUAAUAUACCGACGGAUUUAUUAUGUGUGAAUAUUCCCAUUGCGAUUCCCUCCGUAUAUACUAUGAAAAUAUUCCCAUUGAUGUUUACUGAUAGAUUUAGCGAUGAGAAAAUUUGAUUGGUAAAUAUCACUGCAAUAUAUCGAUGAAAAAAUUUCAUUAAUAUUUCUGUUUAUAUUUAUUAAUUUUCUGGUAAUAUAAUUUAUUAAUUACCGUUGCAAAGCUUAAAAUUUUGUAAACAAAGCUAAAACUUUAAUGUUUUAUAUAAGUUAGAUACAUACGAUUAUUUAUGAUUUAUGAGACAGUUGGAUUUUUAAUAAAAAAUAAAUACUAAAAGGAUUCAUUGAAUAUAAGAAUAUAUAUAAAAAUAUGUACUAAUGAAAAAUAUUCACAGAAAUAAUGAUGAGAAGUAUCAUUGUUACUAACUCUCUUAUAUAUGAUUUAUGUUAUUUUUUAAUAAAAUUUUUGGGUUUGGAACUUAUAAGAACUUGUAAAAACUCAUACUAACUUGUACUAUUAAUUAGAUUUCAACUAAAAUAAUAAUAAUAAAAAAAUUCUAAAUCAUAAUUGUUUAGUUAUUAAAACUUUAAUAUUAUAUAUAAAAAAAUCAUUUAAAUUUAAGUUGUCGUGAGAUUGAAGUUAUGAAUUAUAUUAUUAAAAAAAAGAAAGAAAUUACAAUGACAGGAGAACAAAUCAUUUUAUGUGGCUGAGAACUUGCGAUGAUCAAGAGACCAAAGAUCUUCAAGGAGGGAGGGUGUGGGCCAAAAUGCUUUGUAGUCUUACUUUUGUCACUUUUUUCAAACUUGAAAUAUUGCUAGCCCUCCUUGAGAUUGAAAUAAAAAAAUGUUCUUGUGGUGUGGAUGUUUUCCAGAUAUUUAUUAAUGUUUAUACAAAUGUAGCAGUAAGCACCCGUGAACCGAUCCCCUUCCUGACCUGGCCAUUUCUGUGGUCAAUCAGCCACUCUGGUGGUCUCCACCUCAUUGCCCCACCGUUCAUCGCCAUCUCCUCCGUCCACUUUGGUUAAAGAAAUUGCAGCCAGCCCCGCCCGUGAAUCCUUUCCUUUUCUACCACCUUUCAAUUAUUUAUUCAUCAUUUUUUUUUAAUAAUUCUUCAACCCUUUUGGCCAUCGAUAAUACUUAUAACAAGCUUAUUGCGUCAAAUAGAUUAAUUGCUUGCGUUUUGCUUAAGGUAAUGUAUAUAUAAGAGUAAAACUCAAAUACAAAAAAAAUCAUUUUAAUUUUUUUAAAAUAAAUUGUUAACUGAAAUAUUAAAAAUAAUUUAUAUUGAUUAUAUAACAAGAAAAAAAAAUUAACCCAGUUUUGUACGAGGCCAGGUAAAUUAUCAGCUAGGCUAGUUAUCAAAAUCGUAUUAUGAUGUAUGAUAUUUUUUUUAAAAAUAUAUUAAAAUAAUAUUUUUUUAUAUAUUUUUUAUUUUUAACAUCAAAAUCACAAAAAACAUUAAUUUAAUAUUUUAAAAAAACAAACAAACUUUUAAAAUACCUCUCAUAACACACUCCACUCCCAAACAUGUUCUUAGUUUGACUUUUUUGUGCUUCCAGUUUUGCUUAGCUCCUUAUCAUAUCAAAACAAAAUAUAGAUGGAAUCUUCAUUUAUAAUACAUCUCAUGUUUGUUGUUUCGAAGGAUUCCUGAAAACUAUAGACAUGGCUACGAGUAAAAUAAGAUCCAAUCCUCUAUCUUGAACCAUUACAGCACUGGUUUUGUCAAGUAAUUAGCUAGAGCACUGUUGUUAUUAGCUAAUGACGACAGGCAUGUUUUAUUUUCUAGUGAAAAAACUACUCUCAAGGAUUAAUUAAUCCCCUUGUCUUUAUGUCAGAUCAGUCAUAUAAGACCAAAUUGAUUAGUUGUAAUUAAGAUAUAUGGCAUGAAAUAUAUAUUAUAUGGUAAAUAAUAAAUAUUAUCAUGGUUGGAAUUACAUGGAAUCUUGACUUCAAGUACCCUGAAGAGUACACCAGCAUCUAUCGAUCACGAUGAACGGGGAGGGGAGGGAUUUGAGUCAAGUCUAUCUUAAAGGAGUUCUGUUCCAUGCACAAGAUAAUCAACUUUUUUUUUUUUACAGAACAUUUCACAAGAUAAUUAAUAUAUAAUAGUGCUAUAUAAUAAUAUAUUGCUUGUGUUUUUUCUCUGUUCUUGUGACUUGUGUAGAUGAUAUACAUCAAAACCCUAGCUAGCUGUUUUCAUGGGAAGAAAUUAAUCUAUUUUAAGUAGUGAGUACCCUAUUCCAGCAUUUUGCAUCUUUAUUCGGUAUGCAUAUCCGUGAUUCUUUUUUGUAUGAGAAAACAAUAGUUUCUUUUCAUUUUUAUAUUUUUUUGGUAAAAAGAAGAAGAAGAUAAGGUUAAGCUAUUUAACUACAUUCUUAUAGUGAUCCAUCGAACUUAAAUUGUCAGGUGAGCAUCAUGUAAUAAGAUAUAACUAGAUGUGUAUGCUAAGCUGUGAGGUUGAAUUUAUUUAUUUAUUUGUAAGAGAUGAUAUUUAUGUGUUGCAAAUAUUUUUUUUUAAAAAUAAAAAUUCAUGACUUGGGUCAUAGACUCGACUAGAUCAAAUAAAUUGUUUUUUUAUAGAAAAAUCAAUAUUGAAUAAUGAAAAUAAAAAAAAGAUACGUAAAAAAAUAAUAUCACAUUCAUUAACUUUUCAAACUCGUGAAUCGGAUCAUUAGACUGAAAACAUCAUAUCUAGAAAAACCACAAAGUUCAAUUCUCAGCCAAAUUAAAUAUUGAAGGCUGAAAUUGAAAAAACAAUUUUUAUUAUGCAAAAAGAUCCAAUAAAAAAAGGCGAUUAAAAAAAUAAAGAUAAAAAAUAAAAUAAAAUCUUCUUAUGAUGUGGAUGUUAUCCAUAAAGAUUUAUUUGCCAUCGAUUAAUUUAAAUUUAAUAAUGACUAAUAGAUUUUAUAAAUAGAUUUUAAUAUCUUUUAUAGACAAUUUAAUGAUUAUUUUACGAGAAUAACAAAAUAUCAUUACACUAUUACAGUAAAUAGUUUAUAUAAACAAUGUUUUUUCAAGAAAUUUUAGCUUUUGUUAAUAUAAAUAGUGAUGUAAUUAUUUAAUAUAAAUUACUUUCUAUGGUUUUAUUUUACCAUGUUGAAAUACAAUUAACAGAGGAUCAAUUAUAGAUUUAGUAUGAAUCUAGUUAAUUGAUGAUAGGGCUCGAAUUCAAGCUUAGAGAGGUUAGAGAAUAAUAUAAAUCAUAUCCUGGGACUUCACCUAACAGCUUAAGCUAUUGGGUUGAGAUGGUUCUUUGAUAUACCAUGUCAAAGAACCAUCUCAACCUAAUAGCUUAAGCUAUUAGGUGAGUUCUCAGAAUAUAAUUUAUAUUAUUGUCUAAAAAGAAAGGAAAAUGAACUUCUUAACUAUUGUGUCAAGAGGCUGUCGGCAUUUUCUUUCUGCACUGCUCCUGCUAUGUACCAUUAUCGAUAACAGACAUGUUCUUGAAGGACAGAAAAGAAAAGCAUAAAAAAAAAGAAGAAAAUAUCAACAUGAACGUUGUCUGUCUCCGAACUUCGCAUUUCAAGCAUGACACAAAUAAAUCAAACCACCUGCUUAAAACCCCCUCUCGUCUGUACCGAGUACAAGAAACACAGUACCAUGCUGUCUUUUAUACUUCAAGCAAUAUCUUAAUUGGUUCAAUUUUCGAGAACUGAACGAAUAAAACAAAUGAAGUUCAUGAGAUCAACUAUUGGAUCACGAAAAUUUAUAUCUUGUAAUGUUACUUCCAUUAAUAUUUUAAAUUAUUAUAUUUUAGUAAAGUUAAGAAUUUAUCAUUGUAUCAUAGAAAACAAUAUAAACCAUAUCCUAAGACUUUAUCUAACAACUUAAGUUAUUGAAUUGAGAUGAUUAUUUGUCAUGAUAUCAGAAUCUUGAUAACUAAGCGGUCACGAAUUUAAAUCUCACCAUCCUUAUUUAUUUGAUAAAAAUUAAGUACAGGAUAAUAUAAGCAUGUUCAAGUUUCACGUUUAAAAGACUUUUACUUGAGGGGGUGUGUUAAAAAAUAAUAUAAAUCAUAUCUUGAGACCUUAUCUAACAACUUAAGUUAUUGGAUUGAAAAGGUUUUUUAACAUUAUAUUUUUAAAAAAAUCAUAAUACUGUCUUUAAUCUUUAGUAAAAUCGACUACUUUUGUCUCAAAUGCCUACUAGAUUAUUUGGUAAUUACAUAAUAAUUUUUAAGGAGGCAUAUAUGGGAUUGAAUCCUAGAGGAUUAACAUAGAAGAGAGAAGAUUGUGUAGGCUAUAAUGUUUAAUAAAUCUUUUUAAUUAACUAAAAUAAGUCAAACUUUCAUCCUAUGGCCUCAUUGAUUUUGUCCUUAACUAAGAUUAAUAAGCUCCAAACAAUAUUAGGGGGUGUUUGAGAUGAGAACGUUCAAGAUUAUUCUGGGAAAGCAAUAAAUUGAUAAUUACAAAGAUGGGAAAUUGAGAUUUCAAGACAUCUCAUAUAUUUUAGGCAAUUAAUUCAAAUGUAUUUGUUAAAAAAAUGAUUUUGAAUACUUAAUAUGUGUGUAUCUUUUAACUUGAUUUCAAAACAAUUAAUAUAAUGUGUAUAUUAAUUACUCAAUUUAUUAUUAGAUAUAUGAUUUUAUAUGGUUGUUAUAAUUUUAUGAUUUUAAAUUUAUUCAUUGAAUUCAUUUCAUUUUCAUAGGUUUAAACAUAAGUAAUACAUGUGUUAAUAUUAAAAAAAAUAUAUAUCUUAUGUCCAAAUUAGAUACUUCAAUUUAAUUAUAAAGAUAACAUAGCAAAUUUACUUGCAUUUCUGGAGAUUUUUCAAUGAUAAACCGAACAUAAUAAUCACAAAAUUUUGGGAAAUUUCAUUUUCAAUUAAAUAGAAAUAUCACCUUUCUAACAAUUACAUUUUUGCAAGAUAUCUAAAAAUCUAAACACCAAACUCUCUAGAGAUGCACUGAGUGAAGCAUCUCAUGAUUCGGUUGCUUGAUUUCAAAAGUGAGUUAUGCUGAAAUUGUUUUAAAUUCAUGAUCAAAUGGAAUAGUGAAGUGACUCAUUUAAUUAAAAUGUUACUAGCUAUUGUAUCUUAUAUUGAGGGAGCUGUGAUUUCAUCUAUUUUCCAAAAUAUUUUUAUUUAAAAGGUUUAGAUGGAUUUUUUUAUGUAAUUUUUUAUUAUUUUAAUAUGUUGAUGUCAAAAAUAAAAAAAAUAUAUAAAAAUAUUAUUUUAAUAUAUUUUCAAUUAAAAAACAUUUUAAAAAUAUAUCGUACAUUGAAUUACCAAACUUACACACUUAAUAUUAGAGUUAUUGAGAUAAUUCAGUGCUACUUUGUGCUAUACUAUAUAUAUAUAUAUAUAUAUAUAUAUAUAUAUAUAUAUAUAUAUAUUAUUAACGUGAGUGUGCGGGUCAGCUUGCGCGUACCUCGACUAAUCUUACGAGUCCUGAAGUUAAAUAACCACGCAAUCCUCUAGUGACUUUAAGAUUUAUGGGAAUAGAACUGGUGAUCUUUAUGAAGCAAAUAAUUCUUUUUUAUUCUAUAACAUAUGGUAUUUUUAGGUUAGGUUUGUACAUCACAAUUAAAUUUAUCUCUCAUAUUGUUAGUAAAAUGUCACACACAUCAAAACUAGAGGGUUGAUUAUAAUUUAACUCAUAUUGGCUUGGUCUAAGGUUUUAAUUCUAACAAUAGCAAACCUCCUUAAAGUAGCUAGGAAUUAUUUGGGGAAGCAAACUGUGUUGCUUGAUAAAUUAUCGUAGCAUCCUGGAAAUUUCAAGAACAUGGAACGCUAUGGUGCCAUUAAUGGCCACUGGCCCAUUGCCCUUCUGCUUUCUCUUAUCCUCCUUAAAGAGAAUGUUGUCUGGCCCUUUUGCACCCAAAAAAAAUAAAUUAUAUAUAUAUAUUCCACGCCUCAGGCCCAUAAAAAAGAGCAAAUAAAAAGCAAAAUACAAAAAGACAUAAAAGAUAUAACAGGUUCGAACGCCACAAGCUCACACUUCCGCUUCAAACUUUCCGCCUACCAUCUUUUGAAGGUAACCCUUUUCUCCUCUCUCUCCUAUUUAUAUAGAGAUACUUACAAUUUAGUGGCUAUUCAAUGAAAGCAAGUUUCUUUACAAGAAAAAGAAAGUUUACUGAUUUUUAUAGCUGGUAGGCUGUAAACCAUUUAGCUGAAUUUGGAAUUUAUAAUGUUCAGAUUAAAAAAAUAAAUAUUAUUUCUAUGAUUUUUGCUUUUUUUUUUUUCAAUCUGGGUUUUGUGGUACUGCCUUUGUAUGUUUGUUUCAACUUGUUAUAUUAAAUUCUGGGGCAUUUGCGAACUUUGUUGUGAUUGAAUUAUGGAAGUUGGAAUAUACGAUUAUCUACUGUAACCGGGUUUUGCUUGUUGGUUUGUUCAAUUCUUGGAGUUUUUUAUUUUUAAAUGGUUGGUCAAAGUAAAUGUUUUUGUUGAAAGAAUGGUAAGAUUGAUCACUUAUUAUCAUGUUGUAUAAUUCAUUAGUAAGAUUAUUACAAGAUAAAAAUCUCUAUAAGCUAUCAUUUGAUGUCUUAUAGGCUAUAGUCUUGGAAGUACUUUUGCUAUUCAGGUGAAGUUAUUGUGACACUUGAUGUUUUCAUGCAUGCUAUUUUUCAACAAGAAAGAAAAAACUUGCUGUUUUUAUAAGGGAACAUUUUAUUUUUGGUACGGCAUCAUCUAUGGCAAGCAGAAGAGCUAUAGACACUUGGUUUUGGUGCUCAAUCUGCAGGAUGCCAACGUUUUCAGAGGCGUUUGAUUUUGCAAAGGCAGUUCUGCACAACGAGUAGUGGAGUUUCUAUUUCUUGCUCCAACUCCACCUAUUGAAAGGUUAAAGGAUGCACGAGUAAUAUAGAGUGUAGUUCCUGCCAUGGGUCAUAACCAGGAAUCUUCAGCUGAACUCUGCUUUCAUAGAUGGAUGUUCUAAUGUGUUAUGGAGUCUUUGCUCCUGUGAAGUAUUCAUUUCUGGGGCAUGCUUGUCUUGUUUUUGUGGUGGACAUCGGUUACAUGAAGUCUUGCUUUGGCUUGUGUUCUGAUCAUGUCAUUCUUUAGAAUAUUUUCUUUAUUCUAUCACAAAGUGAGAAAACCGAAGCUUACUUGAGGGGCUUUUCUCCAUCCUUUUAUCGUGCUCCUUUAGCAUACUUGGGCUCUGAAACUCAAAUUGGUUCGAUUGAGCUCAGUGUAUUUCCAUAUGUAUGUGCCAGUUGACUAAAUGCUGGACUUUUUAGAGGUUGAUUAUACAUGUUUUGGCUACCUAUUGAGGAACAUUUGAUUGUUUCUCAGUGUGUUGUUUCAAAUUACAAAUUCAAUUUUUGUCUUCAAUUAUAUAAGAGCAUACCUAAUCAGGAUAGGAUUGGAAGAUCUUGAAUUAGUACAAUUUAUGACAUUGGAAGAAAUGUCAACUGCAUGCCCCUUAAAAAGUUGGGAGUACUGUAUAGGGACUAACAAUUUGCAGCUGAGGGAGUAACUUCUUGAUUUACUAUGGUGUUGCUUCUUUGCAAUUCAUGCUUUGGUUAUCUUUGAAGGUGUGUGUGUGUGUGUUUUUUUUUUUUUACUUAGUUCAUGGAUCCCCCCCCCCCCCAUCAUUUAUUUUCACUUACAGGAGGCACAUCCAGAAUUCCAUCUUAGAGUUCCUGCAAUUGUGAGUGCUCUUGAAAAGAAAGAGGUCACUUCGAAGGUAGCAGUUGGAUAUUCUUACUAUUACAUUUUUUCCAUGUUGUAUAUAAUUAUUAUGCAAUGUCCCUUUCAUGAUUUUCAAUCAAUAGUCUUCUUAUAUUGUUAUUUGUAUCUUUUUUUUCCCUAAUAGAGCUAUAAAAAUUGCCAUUAUCAUCAUCCCCAAAAGUUAACAAAAUUGCCAUAAUAGCUAUGCUAUGUUGAAAAAAAAAUUAUGUACUUCUCCAAAAUCAUUGGUUUACUGUGAAUAUAAUUAAGGUUACUUCCAAAAUAGCUUGUCUACAAAAUUGAUGGAAGGAAUCAGCCUAUGAAUAUGCCUACAUUCUCCUUAAUUUAUUAAGAAAAUGUCAUUUUAUCUAAAUUAUAUAUAAAAUUUCCUUGCAUAAUAAGAAUUUGCUGGGGAGGAGCUAUACCCACCUAUAGUAUGUAAGCUUUUUCCUCGCAGAUUCUAUAUUUUAUUUUCAGAUCGUUUUCUUCCUUUUUUUCCCAGCAUUAAAACUUCUAUCAAUCUUUACUGGUUAACAAUAUUAAUUUUUAACUUCAGCAUCUAAGAACAGCCAGAAUCCACUUACAGGAUUUGCUUUGAUCAAGCCUCCAGGGCAUCAUGCUAUACCAAAAGGGCCCAUGAGCUUUUGUGUUUUUGGCAAUGUGACCAUUGCAGCUCAUCAUGCCCAAUCGUGUGCAUGGAUUAAAACGAGUCUCAAUCAUUGAUUUUGAUGUUCACCAUGGGAAUGGGACGAAUGAUGCAUUUUAUGAUGAUCCAAAUAUAUUCAAGUAAGCUAUAAUUUCUUUGCACUUGAUACAUUUUUCUCUUGCUAUUCACAUGCAAUUUUGGCAUCUUGCUAAAUUAUCUCAAUGUCUUCUUCCUAUCUUACCAAUUAUAAUGCCUCAUUUGGAGCAUGAAUUUUAUAUUUAAACACAGAUACAGAAGGUCAGAUGUUGCAAAGAAAAAAAUCGAGUCAACUGGAUAUCUCAAGCAAAUAUAUGAUCAGAAUAAGUUUUUGUUUCCUUGUUGAAGAACUGUAGAUAAUCAAACAAUUAUGAAAAUGAACUGUGUGCCAGUUUCUUCAACAAAAAUCCGAACUGUCAUAUUGGUUAUGUAUAGUAACCUCAGUAGGAAUUUUGAAUAGUGAUGAAUGCAUGUGUUAUUUCCCCAAAUUUUCAGCUCGUCCUUUUUUUCAAGAUAAAAGGUGCCCUAAAAUCUGAACUUACCAAGUAUGAAAUGUCAUUCUUUGUUGGUUGUUAGAGAUCGUUCAGGUUUGAAUUUCCUCUUCCCUGAAAAAAUUGAGGUUUGACUUUAUUUGCCACUAGGAAAACUGAUGUGAUAUAAAAAGCAUCUUCUUUUCCUUUGUUCUCCCUUUUCUCUUCUCUCAUUUGUGUGUGUUUUUCUUUUCCCUUGGGUAAUUAGCUUUGUGUUUGAGGUGGAAAAUUAAAGACUUGAAAGUAAUAAAAGCCAGCCAUCUUGUCUGUGCAGGAGGUCGUUUUAAUACUGCUCUGUUUACCAACUAAUGUUCUUUUACUCCCUAUGUCCUGACUUUCUAUCUGUCCAUUCUCAUACUACUUUGGGAUCACACAUUUCAUGCAUUCUUCUGUGUUUUAUCAUAAGAACAGUUUUGCUAAUUCACAGCUAUUUAUUGUUAAAAGUGAAAGAGAAAAUCAGGAGAAACAUUUUGUUCUAUCUCAAAUUGGUAAGGCAUGCAAGUAAUUCUAGGUCAAGGGAGUAAUAUGCAUGUCAAAACACAUGCUAAAAAGCGGAAAAUAUGUGAUGAACUGACCUAGAUUAUACUUAGCCUGCAGCAUGAUAUGUGUACUUGUGGCAUGUUCUUGCAGUUUGCGUGCCAAAUGCCAUUAUUCAAGUAGGAUUUCUGCUGCUGGAUACACACGUAUCUAAGUGUAAAUGCAUAAUGUGCCCACUAACCACUUAAAUCCUACUUUCCUCUUUAUGAGCACAGGAUGGAAGCUAUCCAGGUACUUGUAAAAUUGACGAGCUAGGUCAUGGAGAUGGUGAAGGUACAUUUUUAAAUCUGCCUCUACAAAGAGGCUCAGGUGAUAUUGCCAUUAGCACCGUAUUUGAAGAAGUCAUUGUACCAAGUGCUCAAAGGUUCAAGCCAGAUAUUUUUCUUGCUUCUGCUGGGUGAGUUGCCACCCUUCCCAUGGAAUUCAAUACAUCCUUGAAAGGAAAUAAUUUUGCAACACGUUUCCCUCUUUUACUGAAAACAAUUUGUUUCCCAAAAUGAUGCGACGUGGAAAUCUUAUGGGAAUAUUUUGCUCAUUUUUCCUUUCUAUGCUAUCCAAGAUAAAAUCAUCUUGGUGUUUUACUGCAAUUUAAAUGUGAUGCAUUGCUUGCACCUGCAUCAGUUCUUAGUGACUGUUUGUGAAGCCUUUCAACAGCCUUUUUGAACUCUAAAUAGCAAGUUUGGUUGAACUAAAUAGUUUUGACAAAGUAUUAACUUCUCAUACUGAGGUUUGAAACUGUGUUAUUGUGCUGCUAUUAAAACGAAUAGACUGAACAAAGCAUGCAUUGCGAAUAUUUUUUUUCCAGGUAUGAUGGUCCUGUUCUGGAUCCACUAGGAAGUCUUUGAUUUACAACAGGAACAUGCUGCAUGCUUGCCUCUAAUAUUAAACAACUGGCGAAAGAUCUGUGGUGGCCGUUGUGUGUUUUUCUUGGAGGGAGGAUACAACCUUGAUUCUGUUUCAUAUUCAGUGGCGGGCUACUUUCAUGCUUUCAUUGGGGAGAAGAGUUUGGCAUCUGAGUUUGAUAACCCUGCCAUCAACUAAUAUGAAGCAAGCGAUUCAGAGAAUUAAACACAUGCAUUCUCUUUGAAGAUGUGUAGGCAUUAAUUACAUGUCUGUCUAGAAGUAGCUUUGCCAGCAAGCUUGUUGGGCACCUAAAACACCAGCAGAGCUUUCCUUGGUUGAAUACUGCAAUCUCCAAGGUGGUUCUUUAGAUGUCUUAAAAGGAUAGUAAUUUUCCUGUAUAGUAUCGUUUAACACGUACAAGUAACACGCGUUAGCUAGUAAAGUUAUAUCCUGCAAAAGAAGAUUCUAGUUCAUAUUUAGCUGAAUGAUUUUUCCCAUCCCAUUUGUUUCUUUUUCUGGACAGAAUAGAAAGGUGAAUGGUUUCUUGCCCAUGAUUUAAAAUCAUCCAAGCAAAAGCAUUCCUUUCCACCCCAUGAACAUGGUAAACUAAAAAAAGAAGAAGAAAACCUAACGUUAAUAAUCACUUUCAUAAAGAAAGGAAAUCUAGCAAUGGGUCGUUACUUUUGCUGUGAAGUGACCGGGACAACACACCGCAGUACGAAGUUAGCUAUAUGUCUUCGAUCAGCAACAUGAAUGGCGUUAUCAAGCUCCUGGAGCCAUAUUAUCCUACUUUAUCCACCGACGUUAUACCGUUGUCACUUGACAUCAAACCCUUAAUCAAUAAAAAUUUGUUUUGGAUUGUUUUUGUUGAUUAUGAUAAGAUUACUCAUCUUCCGUCAACGAUAAGAUUACUCAUUUUAAGUAGUUUUACGAGGUCAUUGAGCCCUUGAUAUUUGCUGUGAUUAACAAAAAUUGAGAGAGGUUAUGAAUUCAUCGUUCACCGUUGUGGACACAGCUCUGGAAUACUGCUUUGGUUUUGUUUUUUUUUUUUUUUGACAUCAACUUUUUUAUUACACCAGCAUUUCGAACAAGUUGAACUUAGUUCCCAAUUAUGUUCUUCGAGAAGUCACAGUUUCCAAAUCAUUCUUCCAACAACAGGAGAAAAACACACGUACAAGACUAAAAAAGCAGAAAUCGUUUUCGCAUGUCAAGGCUUUGCACGAUAAAAGAAAUCAUGAACAAAUGUCACAUAAAAGAAACUUUGAGAUGACUAACGAGAGCAGCUGAUAGCGUAAUUUCUGCUGUAUUAGCUGUUGUUAUUUAAAAUAUGUUUUAUAAAAGAAAUAUAUUAAAAUAAUCUAAAAAUAAAAAAAAUAAAAAUAAAAUUUAUUUUUUAAAAAAAUGGUGCCAGGAAUCGAGAUUUAAAUUUCAUAUCUCAACAGUAUAUGUUAUCUCUAGGAUUGUGUUUUUGAAAGAUUUUAAAUAUUUUUAGUUUUAUUUUUUUUUUGUAUGUUUUAAUGUAAAGAUUCAAAAAUAAUUUAAAAUAUAUAAAAAUAUUAUUUUAAUACAUUAAAAAAAAAUUUAAAAAGUAAUUCACGAGAGAGAUAGCGAUAAUGAUAAAAUUUGCAUUUUAUGUAUGAUAUACAUAUAUGUGUUGGGAUAAUGCAUCCCCGGAGCAAGGUCAUGUCACUCCCCUGUAAUUGGUCAAGGAAGCAUUGGUCUACUACCGAAUUAAAGCUACUAUUUUCUACUUUUUUUUCGGUGAUGAAAGCCACACAAGCAAGCAGUAUCCCAUCAUGAUUAUUGCUCGAACAUAAUUAAUCAUUCUCAUCUCUAGCUUUUAUACGACAAAGAUAUACCAAACGAAUCAAACCUCGACUGCAUGCUUACCUCAUCCUACACUCAUCGUGUAUUAGAACACAUCUUUUACCACUGGGAAGCUUUUUACAGUGGCUAAUUGGUCUUAAAAAACCAAUAUCCAGCCAAAAGGAUCCUGAGUCUCGAGUUAAAUUAUGUAAGAAACAUGGCAAAGCAUGAUUAUUUCUUUCUUUCAGAAUAUUCAACUUAAAGGGUGACAGAAAACAUCAUUUCUCAAUUUAUAACAGUAGGAAUAAAAUUGUUUUUGGCUUAGUACUGUAUUAAGACAUGAAUUUCUUUUUGAUCCGAUUUUAUUCAUAAAAAAAAGAGGGGAAAUUUUGGUAUAUGUAAUUUUGUUUGAACUGGCCCUGAUCAUUCUUUCUGUUUCUUAAUUUUUUUUUUUUUUUAGGAAAUGAAAUUUGAGGUUUUUAUCAUGGAAAAUAAUCUUCUUCCGAGACAGAUAUAUACAUGACGUCCGGGUGUGGUUCAUCUAUCUUUAAUUUGUCAUAAAAAAAAACUCCCCUGAGUUAAUCUCUGCGAUUACAUCACAUUUUCGUCACAUGUUGCUCAUAUUUUUGGAUGCUAAAACAUUUGGAGAUGAACAAUUAAUAAUUAAUAAAUAUCCCCUGAAGUGAUCAAGUACAACGUGCAGUGCCUAAUCCAUUAAUUUCAUCACUUAAAUGCCUACAUUUGAUGAUGAAAAUGACCAAACAUACCGAACAACUCACUUUGGUUGCCCUUGAAAUUGAUUAUUUAAUGUAAAGGACUUGAAAUAAUCCAUUUGUAGCCGCCUUUCCACCCUUGGCCCAUAACUAAUUCUUGAGUCACAGUGCAGCAAUCAGUGUCUCUCUUCUCACUCAACACUAUUAUAUAGCUAGGUCUAGCCCUUGGGAUAUCUAGCCACAUGCACUGUCCCAGGUUCUAACUUCACCAAAAAAAAAAAACACCAAACUUAUUUGGCUUGUGUUUGUUUAGGCAUGGGAGAUCAUGGCUGCAGUGGUAACCUUCCUCCGGGAUUUGUUUUCAGCCCCACCGAUGAAGAACUUGUCCUUCACUUUCUUCAUCGCAAGGCCUCACUCUUACCUUGCAACCCUGACAUCAUUCCUGAUCUUGGUCUCUAUCCCCAUGAUCCCUGGCAACUUGAAGGUAAUUCCCUUUAUCUCUAUAUAUCUUGAUCUUGGUUUUUUCUUUUUUAAACCAACUUGGAUUUUUUAUUUUUUUUUAAUAAGAUGGGAAAUCAAAUGAAUUAUAUAUAGCUUCUAGCUCAAAUGAAAGUUAUUUCCCAUUGCCUAGAAAAAUGGGGAGAGGGGGGCAAGAAAGUUGCUAUGUUGGUUCAAAGAAAAAGCUAAGUUCCUGUUAUCUUUUUGAGUGAACAGGCAAGGCUUUGUCAAGUGGAAACCAGUGGUACUACUUUAGUCAAGUGAUGGAGAACCAAGUCACAGAAAAUGGGUUUUGGAAGUCAUUAGAUACUGAAGAACCUAUAUUUAGUAGUGCUGGUAAGAAGGUUGGAUUAAAGAAAUACCUUGUGUAUUGCAUUGGUGCUGAAGGUGUAGAAACAAGCUGGAUGAUGCAGGAAUAUCAUCUUUGCAACAGUAAAUUGAGCGGCACAUCUUACAAGAGAAAGCAAAAACUAGUAAGCAAAACCCUUAAUUUCUUUUAAUUAAGAUACAAUAUAAAUGCCAGAUUGAUGAAAUAAAAUAGUAAUCUCCGACUAAUAUAUCUUUAAUUGUUUGAUAUCUAUAGGAUUGCCAUCAAUGGAUCCUGUGUCGAGUCUAUGAAAGGGAGGGAAGCUGCAUCCAAAACGUCGGCAAUACCACUGAUGAUGAUGACGGGACUGAACUUUCAUGUCUAGAUGAGAUGUUCUUAUCAAUGGAUGAUGAUCUUGAUGAUAUAAGUUUUCCAAAUUAGUUUCAGUAUAUUGUUUCAACUUAUAUUAAUGAAUCAUGUGUAAACAAGUGAAUCUUUGUAUGUUUUUAAUUUAGAUAAAACAAUAUUAUUAUCUUUACUUAGAGAGAACUAUAUAUAUGGUGGAGUGCUUCGGUUCGUGGCAUUCUAGUUUAUUUUCAUUAUAAAAAUUCAGCAUUUCCGAUCAGUUUUAAAAUAGAACAAGUUAUUAUGAUCAUACUAAUUGAAAUUAAAUUUAUCCUUGAUAAGGUCUUAUGCAUACCCAAACUAGAACAUUGACGAGAAUUUCAUUCUUACAGCCAGCUCCGAAUGGAUUUGAGUCCAGGAUAUAUCAACUUAGGAGCUCAUCCUUUGCUACAUAAAAAAAAAUAAAAAAAAAAUUGAAAUUGAUCAUGAGAAAUUUCUUGCAUGUUGCCCGAGUGUCAUGUCUUUGCGAGAAACGGAAGGAUAAAAGUUGAAAAGGGGAGGUGCCCAGCUGCUUCCACAAUAUUUAUUGUCUUGCAUGGCUUACUUUGCCCCACCAUUUUCUGCUUUUUGUAUUUGUUGUCCGAACGUCUUUGCCUGAGUUUUGCUUAGUCUAGCAUUUUGUCAUGCAUGAUGUGUGUGUCUAUAUAUAUACUUUGAAGGAUGUAAAAGUUGCAAUCAACUUUUGAUUUUAGCUCAAGUGGAAAUUGCUUUAUCAUCUUUUAAACUAUUUGUAUGCAUACGAUAUUUAUGUUAGAGUUCCACACUAUUAAAGGAAACGGAAUGAGUGGGAUAGCAUAAGGAAGCUUUGCAUACAUGUAUCCUCACGCCAUUAAAACCCAUACCGACAUGACUGGUUAAUCUAAAACCUGGUCUAUUCAAGGCCGAAUCGGUCAGAUAAAAUAAAAAAGAAAAAAACUUGAUUGAUUUGGUUAAAAAUCUAGGUUAAUAUAAGACCUGGUCUAUUCAAGACUGAAUUAGUCAGAUAGAAUAAAAACUAAAAGAAGAAAAAACUUGACUGACUUGGUAAAAAAUCCAAGUUAACUUGCUGACCCAAUCAACCUGAAAUUGACCCUGUCAAAACUCAGCACUCAACCCAUGAACUUUUUUAUAUAAAAAAAAGGUCGAAAUAACAUUAUUUUCAUCUCUUUUUUCUUUUCAAAAAGGAAAAAUUGAGGUUGCCCCAAGCAUUCUCUCAUGUUAACCCCAGGUUAGGUUUUACAACUAUAUCAUACACUACUAUCUUAGGUAAGUUAUUAAUUUAUAGUAUUAAACUAGACUUGGGUCCGCGCUAUGUUACAAGUUUGUAUUUUCUAAUAAGAAAAAAUAUGUUUAGGCGACGCAAGCACGUUUCAUUGAGGAUCAAAGUGAAAAAAACAACACAUGGCAAAUAGGGUUGAAUGAUGAAAUUGACAAAAAAAAAAAAACUUUCUAAAGGGCCAAAGACAAAAGAAUAGAAACCAAAAGAAUAGGAACUAAAUCCAAAGGCAAAAUAAAUUGAGGGGCAGCUCUGAAAAUUUGAAGGGUUAGGCAUGAAAACCUAGGGGUGACAGAGAAGGAAAAAAAAAUUGUCGAUACCAAACUAAAUGUUCAUUCAGGACAUGAGUCGACCAGCCAUGGAGGGGAUGUCGAGAGGAAUCAAACAACACCCUAGAAGUUAUCUUUUGGCUACCGGGCGAUGUCACACGCGCAACCCAAAAACUAUGACAAUCAUUCAUGUAAUGUUGAUACGUUCAAUCCAUAUAUCAAUUUUGUUUGAAUAUUUAUUAAAUAUUAAAGUUCAAAUUUACGUCUAGUCCCUGUUCGAGAAUAAUAUAAAUCAUAUCUUAGGAUCUCACCUAAAAACUUAAGCUAUUGGGUUGAAAUGGUUCUUUGACAUGGUAUCAGAGCCUUGAUGACCAAGUGGUCACGAGUUCGAAUCUCAUCAUCCCCAUUUAUUUGAUAAAAAUUAAGCACAAGGUAAAAUAGACCUGUGCAAGUUUCAAGCCCAAAUGACUUUCACUUGAGGGGAUAUGUUAGAGAAUAAUAUAAAUCAUAUCUUAGGACCUCACCUAACAGCUUAAACUAUUGGGUUGAGAUGGUUCUUUGACAGUCCCACCUAAAAAUAACCCAAAAAAAAAAUAAUCAAGGCUAAGAUAAUGAAAAUGACCAUCGAUAAAAGCUUAUUUCUUGACCCCAUCAGUUAGACCAAAUUUUUAUAUCAUGAGGGGAUAAUUAUAGUAAAAAAUAAUGUUUUUACCCCUUCUUUUUUAAUUUAAUAAGGGAUCAAUUAAAAAAAAAAAGAGGUAGAUUAAAGAAAGAUAGCUUUUUUUAUGCUAAUUCGAUUCUACAUCAUUUUCAAAGCCCACGUCACUCAAAAGCCUAUUGAAUUUCAAGCAAUAUCAAUUUACAAAUGUGUUUCAAGUUUUUAUGUUUAGAAUUCGAUAAUACUACAAGAGAGAAAUAUUUAUAUUGCUAUAUCAAAGAUACUAUGAAUCAUCAUUAUUAGGGUUGUUCAAAAAAAUAAUUCAUGUGCAAUGUUUGUAUUAUUUGAUCUGACUUAAUAUAUACCCAUUAAAAUCAGAUAAUAUAAAUAUUACAGAUAAUAAUGGGUUAAAAAAUCUAAAAAAUAAAUAUUAUAGAUUAGAUGAUAGGUUAAAAUUUUUAAAAUUCAGAUAACUUGACUCAACCAGUAUAGUUUAACCCUCAACUGACUUCAUCCACCAAAUUAAAUUAGAUUAAUAGAAUAAACACAAGUUAAAAAAAAGUAGUUUAGUAAACUUAAUUCAGAAAAUUUAAGUUUAAUAUCUGUGAAUUGAAAUCCAUUAAUCAUAGUAUCCAAUAUUAAAUCUACUAUUGAUGUAACAUAUAAUUACUUAUGUCAUUUGCGACUUAUUUUAUAUUAGCAAUUUUGGGCUAAUUUAUUCAAUUAAUAUUUUAAUUCUAAUUAAGCUCAUUCAUUAAAAAAAAAAAAUACUAUUCAUAUUCAUAUUAAAAUUGACCUACAUGAUAUAUCCAAUCUGAUCAGAUAAAAAAAAUUAAAUAAGUAAAUUGAGUUGACAAUUCAUAAAAUAUUAAAAGUUGGAUUAGAUUAUGGAUACAAUUCCAAUCCAACUAUACAUCCCCCAUGAACACCCAUAAAUUCAUCAUAAUAAUGAUGAUAAUAAAAUUAGUAUGAAUCAUAUAAAAUCUUAUUAAAUAGCUAAUAUACAACUUACAUAGUUCCUCAAUGCGGCCCAUAAUAAGCAGGCACAAGACAUUAAAUCCUAAAUGUAAUCAGUUAACUUAUUGCUAGUUUAUUUCUAAACGAGAGAAGGACGUAUUUUUAUGCUCAAAUAUAAGGAAUUACAACUAGAAACAAAUACAAAAGACAUAUUUUUAUACAAUUCUGAUUUAAAGAACAAAUAAGAAAUAAAUCUCAGUUCAUUCGCUAUCAUAGUUCGUCGUGGCCAGUUACUUUAAAUUGAGGAAAUAGCUAAUUAAGCUAAUUAUGAUGCAUAUGUCCAAGUAAUUACCACCGUUAAGAAUGCAAAACCCAUUUUGUUAAUGAUUCAACAAAUGAAAAGGUGAUCUGAUGCAUAUUACUUAUUGAUUGGAAAUCUAUGAUGAAUAUUGGGUCACAAAAACUAAACUAAAUUGUUUGUUUCUGUAUGUUUGGAUUCAGAUAAUAAUUAGAGAUGAAUUAAUACACUGUCGGGUCUAAAAGGGGACAAAACAAUUGCCACUUUGAAAUAAAUCAGUCCUUUAGCAUCUGUAAUAUUAUUGAUGAUGUACUCUUUACUUUUUCUACAGAACUUUAGCAUCCAUAUUUUCAACCGUUGAGAGCUGACAUCUUUCACCUUGUCAAUAAGGUAUAAGGACCCUUUCCUACGGCCGGUCAUAGACAUCGAUGGAUCAAAAUCCAAAGCAUCAUCGAUCUUUGGGGAAAUGUAGGGUGCUGAAUCUCUCCAUUUCAACAUCAAGCAUCACAAAUUUCAGCUUCAGAAUCGUAAACUAUAGACUGAAACAAAUCUGUGGUGCUUAUCCAAUGAAACACAUCAUUGAUCAUCUCACCAGACCAGACCCUACCAGUAUCUUGGAUGGAGUUUCUGUCAAGACCUUCCACGAACCCAAGGCAGCUGAUCCACCUUCCCUUAUGGUAAAUAUUUCGCACCCGAGCAUAUACUUUUCUAACGAGAGUUUAGAAAGAAAUGGCUAGUAUAUAUGUGCUCAUCCUUUGACGGAUUGUAUCCGAAACUGCACCAGUACUCCCAUGCUCAACAAAAAGUUUCCUUCAGUAAUGCCGAAGUUGGUGUGUGCUUGGAUUGGAUUACAUAUGUAGAAAUGAUUUUCCCGUGAAGACAAACCAAAUCAUGUCCUGAAGGAUACAUUGCGAAGGAAUGUUGUGCAAAGAAAGCCAGCCAAUCUUGCACUGCCAUUCCAUUUGAUAGGUGCGCACAUACGAGUAAUAAUUAUUCCACAUUAAAAGGGAAUGAAAACAAUAAGGUGAUUAUUUAUAAAAUGGACUCAUAACCUAAUAGUCUACAUUUUCAGGUUAAAGUACUAGUGUUCAAUCUCAUAUGUAAGCCCUCAUGUUUGCAGGUCCAAAUGACCCUUCAAUGCAUAAUUCCUCAACAAAUAGUCACGGAUCCAAUGAUUUGGCUAGGUACAAGUGGAUACUAUAGGUGUUUGCAUAGCCAAUAAUGUAGUAUUGGCUAGGACGAGCUUUUAUCCAGAAACCUAGAUUACUGGAUUAAAGCUCCAUCUUAUGUAUAAAGAAAAGUGUGGAUUAAAUUUCAAGAUUGGUGCCUUCAUGGUAAAAACUGAAGAUCUAGUUGGACUCUUGAACAAAGAGCAGAUGACUUGUGGAGUAGUAAGAUAUAUGCGGCUUAUAGAUUAGGAGCGAAUGGUGCGCGAUCUCCUAGCUAGAUGAUCAAGUUCUUCAAAGAGUGGUGAGUUUUUGAUGUUUAUAAUACUCUGAUAACAAUUAUCGCACUUGGAAUUGUUAAAUACUUCUGCUAGGAGAGAAGUUGUGAUGGAAUGAGUCAAGCUCACAUGCGAGAGUAAUAAUUAUCCCUCAUGGAAAAGGAAAUGGGUAAAGUGAGGUGUUUAUUACAUAAGAUGGAGCUUCAAUCCAGUAGUCUAGGUUUCUGGAUAAAAGUGAUGUUUUUUAGCCCUCAUGUACGCAGGUCUAGGUACAGGUCAAAGUGACUCCCCAAUGAAGAUCUCCACAACACCCUUUACAUCCAAUCAGAGUUGUUAGAUCCAUUUUGGCUUAGACAGAUUGAACCAAUGAUCUAUAUUAACUUGGAAUCUAGCCUGUUUGGUGGUCCUUUUCAAACCAAAAUGAACAUUGACGUGAUCAAAUUCAAGUGAUUUGACAUGCAAUUUCAUCAUCCCAUUAACUUGGUUGUGUCAAUUUUAAGAAUUUUUUUUUUAAUUUGUGUUUAAAAUAACCUUGUUUCAAAUUCUUUUAAAUUUUUUUUUAAAUGUUUGUUUUAAUAUUAAACCUGGUUGGUCUACGAAUGUAAAUUGACCUUGCAAACUUACCAUCCUGUCUUGAGCCGGGUGUAAUAACUUCGCAUCCAACAAGGAAACAUGAACUUUACUUUCUUUUCUCGGCACAAACUAGCUAGGGUCCUGCUGGAAAUUGACCAGAAUAGAGUCGCGCUUCAUAUAAAGGCACUAACACUUGUGAGAGUAGUCAGAAUGAAUGGAACUCGUUUUCUCCUCAGGUUCUUUGCAUAAUACAGCACAAAAACUAGUUAAAUCCUGUUGAAACACCGAGAGCUUUGUACUUGUUCGGACCAGUUAUAUGGUGUAAGCUUAUAAAGUAAAGAAUCGGAGAUCAAGAUGCACCAUUGUUUAGACACACACCUGAACCUGCAUAGAGUUUCACUUCUUACAGCUAGUCUUGACAGGAUAUUUAGGAUGACAUCUUCUGGUACAUUACGGCCAGCCAUAUUUUUCACCUGGGCAGCGUAAAACAAAUAGCUAUUUUACACUUACUCUUUUUAUCUGUUGUACAUAUAGCUUUUUGGCUUUGCUUAGACCGUGGAAAUAGAAAUUGGAUAGGACUAUAAAUUCCAAAAAGGAUUUGAUUAAUCUCUAAUACUUUUUACAUCUUAAUUAGUGUUGGUUUCAACAUUGAUUCUAAGGAAGAGCAUGGAAGUUUGUCCAGAUGACUAGAUUCCAAAAACAAGCGAACAGCGUUUAUAGUGGCAACUUCAAACGAAGUAAUCAAGAUUCAGAAUAGUGAGGGAUGUAGGCAGAUUCAGCUUCGAAGUAUAGCUCAAAGAACAAGCAUCAGCUGAGAGGCAUAAAUAACAGUAGCACAGAUUAUCUUGGAUAACGACAACAACGAUAUGAUUAAGAAGAAGAAAAAACUAUCAAGAACUUGCGGCCAUGUUGUAAAUCUUCUAACACAAGUAUUUAAUUAAUAAUUAGUACUUGUUUAGCGUUGAAUUGGAACAAGUUCGUAAGUAUAAAUGGUCAGAUUCAUGAUUUGAUUUCUGAGAAUCAACUUAGAGAAAUCCAGUAUUUCUUGUAUCAGAAUAAAUAGGAAUGGUCCGUCAGUUCGCGAUUCAUCUCUAAUAAUGGGCCAGGUCACACUAAGAUCAACUGAACCUAGCCAUAAAACCAUGUCUCAAAACCCCAGCAAAGGACGAGAGUAGAAUUGCUUGCGUAAAAAUUAAUAGUAGUAUAUUGGAACAAAAUGAAAAUACAAUUCUUUAAGAUUUUUGUGGUAAAGAUUUCAUCCAUCCUAUAGCUUAGACAAAAAGAGAUCAGACCUGCACCAAAACAAUAUUGCAAAAGGCAGCCUUUUUUAGCCAAGUUACAGCUAAACCUUAUUUUAGCAGAGCAGUCACUUGUCCAAGAUAACCUAGCUAUCCCGGCUGAUCAAUCAUCCUAAUUAAAGUUUAAUUCUGAUGCCUUGUUUUGAUCUCCCUUCCUUUCUGCUUGUAUUCAGCUGGCGGUGUUCUUGGUGGUUGGAUCACUGCCCUGGUUUGAGGUUUUCGACAGGGCUUCAGUUUUCUUAGCAGGAAUUGAUCAGGUUUUUUCUGUCAUUCUGGCUUUUCGAUCCACACAUCUCAUGUUUCCUUGUAACUGGACGAUUGGUUGAUUAUAUUAUCUUUCAAAUCCUUCUCAGCCAUCUGACCCGCCUUCCGGCCUUAUGCUGAACUUUUCAUAUCUGAACCCACAAUAAUCUGAUAAUUUAAAGGUUAUGAAUUAAAAAAAAAAAAAACUAAUCAUAAGCAUAAUAUCCAUGAGAAAGUUUGUCUAAGAAAAAGUGUGUUAAUAAAUUUUAUAGGGUUAUACAUGAGUUUAAUACCAUGAUAAUUUAUGAUAAAAUAUUUUGAUGAAAAAAUACGAAACCACUUUGAAUUUUAAUUUCAAUUAUUUAGUUUAUUUUUAUAUUUUUAAUUUAGAAAACAUAUUUUGAAUUAAGGAAGAACUUUUGUUGAUUUUUCAACUCUUCUAACUACAUGUAACAAAUUGAAAAAAAUAUAAAAGAUAUUGAUUUUUCUAAUAUACAUUAAUUGAUUUGUUUCAAUUUAACAUAUUAAUAUUUAUAUAAUUUUGAUGUUGAUUUAUUUCACUAUUAAAGAAACUUAUAUAAUUAUUUGAUUAGAUCAUUUGCAAUAUAUACCCCAAGACAUGAAAUAGUAAAUAUAAUAAAACAAAAUGUAAAUUUAGCUGCAACGAGUCGUCUAAGUUCAGCUACAACUAGAUAGGAUGAUGAUAGGGUUUUUUAAAAAGUAAAAAAAUUGGGACUAGGGUUAUUGUUUUGAAUAGAUUUAAUAAGCUUGAUUAAUUUAUUAAUAUAAUUAUAAAAUAAAAAGGUUAACAAAACACGUAGUUUCCAAAAACAAAUUGUAAUUAUAUUCAAUUUAGUCCUUAAAUGUUUUAUUUAUGCAAUUUGAACCCUUCAUAUAAAAUAACAAGUUUAUAGUUAUUUUUAUUUCAGUCCAUUAACUUCUAAUUUAUUCAACAUACUCCCCACAUGUUAAGUUCAUUUGUGAUAUUCAUUUUAGAUUACAAACUCUAAACCCAUUCAAUAUAGUCAUUGUGUAUAAAUAAUACAAGAUAUUAAUUAAACAAAUUGAUGGGUGAGACAACAGGACUCGUCCAUAAAAAAAUUAAAAGAUUUAUAUGAUUAUAUUCUUUGAAUGAAGAAAAAAGAGUUUCAAUCAAAAUUGACUUGUGUGAUUAUAUGUUUUGAGUGAAAAAAUAAAGGUUUAUGUCAAUUUCUCAUUUUUCUAAAAACACGUAUAACAAAUUAAAUAAUUAAAAAUUAACACUUCAUACUACAGAUUCUCUAAUGCAUGAUUUAUCAAUUCAAUAUACAAUUUAUUGAUACUAUAAAUAUUUUUCAAACUUGAUCUUGAUAUAUUUGAAAUUUUAUUAGAACUAUUAUAAUGCUAGUCAAUUCUAAAGAAGGGGGAUCAUUUUGUCAAGGCCUAAAGAUUAUUGACAAAUAUAAGGGAACCAAAACCUUGGAUUUUUGCAGCUUAGCAGAAUGACACUACUAUUAUGCAUCGGAUAAUACAUUUGAAUUCACAAGUUGCAAGAGUUUCAUGCUCAACAUACAUUGAGCAAACAUAGAGUGGAAAAUUCAAGUCACGUAAAACUGAUUUGAGUUGCUAACAAACUUAGCAAAGGAAAUGACUUCAUUCAUCAGUAAAGAAUCACAAUGAUGAAGCUUUCUCCUCUAUGGAUUCUCUAACUGCCUUCAAAAGUAAUGGCAUCAGUUUCUGAUUCGUAACAAUGAUGCCUGUGUCAAGAUCCAGGUAUCUUCCUCUUGAAAAAUCUAAGGGGUUCCCCGCAACAUCUGUGACCAGUCCCCCAGCUUCUGGCAGAGUAAUUUGACAACACAUUAUGUUAACAAGAUGUUCAUUCAAAAACUCCAGCACUAAAGGCCUAUAAUAAUGUUAAGUGUCUGCAAAUAUUAGAGCAUAUAGAAUUGAGGAAAGCAAUUAUUCUAAAGCUCUACGAGUUACAGGCUACAUCAGUCCUUAACCUGACUUUAGUGUAUGUGAGCCCAAGAAAUAUAGGCAAAACGAAUAUUUUCUAUACCUGAUACAACUAUGCAUCCAGCAGCAUGAUCCCAUAUUUUUUCACGGUAACCUUUAUGUGGAAAUCGCAAGUAUAUGACCCCAUCUCCUCUAGACAGAGCGCCAUACUUUGCUUGGCUAUCAAUUCUAACUGGUGGUGCUUUGACACCAAGUUUCUGUCCAAAAAUUAAAUGUUUAGAGUAUUGCAACUAAAAUCUUUGUUUUUUAAAGGGAGUGGGGUGGGGGAGUGAUCAUACUUUGACAAUUGAACUAGAUAGAUCAUGCAUGGAGUGUGCUGCUUCAUAUGAUUCAAAGAGUGAUGCUUCUUCAGGAUUGUCAGUAGCGUUGACUUGCACCUGUACAGUAACAAGAAGACAUUUUAUACAAAUCACAGACAACCAGGAGAAUAAAUGUCAUCUGGAAAUAAUCCAUUAGGUGCGCUGACCUUCACUGCUGAAGAGCUAUCCAGUGGCUGCAUGUAAGUUCCACCGCCAACUACAGAAAAGAAAAGGCAACCAACUUCGCCAGGCAAAGAAUGCUGAGAGCCACCAGCAAUGGAAGGUAACGGAAGAUUGGGACAAGCCAAGACGCCCAACACUACUGUCCCUUCAUCUAGCAAUGCUAAAGCUAUUGCAUAUUGAUCUCCUCUUAAAAACCUAUAUUAAAUCCCAUUAGCAAGAUUUAACUUUCCAGUCAGUUCAUGCAAAUAAAAAAGGAAAAGAAUACCCUUGCAGAAAACCACUUUUCUAACAUCAGCUACUAUUUGAUUGCCCAACUCAGCCAAUUCUGGAGGAGCUAGACCUCGUUUCAAGCCAGAGACAUGUAGCUCAAGUUCAACUCAUUUUCAUCUUUCUCUGGCUCUCAGCAUGAAUUUGACUUGUUUCACUUAAAUGUGAACCAAGUCUGAGCUCUACUUGUUUAUCAGGAUAAACAAGCCGAGCUAAGCUUGGCUCUUGCAAUGGAAUUCAAAAUUAAAAGAAAAAAAAAAUCUCGAGCUCAUGUCUUACUCAAAAUAAGUUGCACAUUCAACCAAAAGCAUGCAUGUUGUAGUUAAGAAGAACUCCAACCUAUUACAGUGUCCAAGAUGCAACUUCUCACAUUGCAAAAAUCAUGGUACGAAACAGCUUCAUAGCACAAAUAUUCAUGCCAAAACCCAAGUUUCAAAACUCACCCUUUAGUGCCAUCUAUUGGGUCCAGAACCCAGUGUCUGCCUCGAGAACCACCUUCAGAUUUUCCACAGUCAAUGGCCUUGACAAUAUCUUCAGUGGAUAAAGUAGAAUCACUAUAUGAUCCAUCGGUAGCUAGAAUAUCGUUAACAAGUUUUGUGAUUCGCUCUAGUGUUUCCUGGCCACCAUCCUUGAGGAGAUCUUCUGAAUCCUAGAAAUAUUCCCCAAAGGAUAUGUUGGUGAAUUUGAUAUAUCAACAAUAAAAAGGAAAAGGCUUGCACAUCUCAGAAUAAUUCUGAAUUUUCACCCAUCUACCUCCUCCGCCACUAAGGAGAAUAGUUCAGAAGGAAGCUCCCGCUGCAGAGCAUAACUAACUAGUGCUUGAGAGCCUAGAAUCAAACGAAAGUGCCAAAAAGGGUUAUUAGCUAAGUUGCUUUUGUACCAACCCUAAAAGCUGAAAGAAGUAUAUUCAGAAAAUAAAUAGUCUAAAGCCUAGAAAAAGGCUUUGUUCCAAGCACUGAAACAAUGAAGAAUUCAACUAAAACCCAACAGCUUUGGGACUGCAGAAGCAAGACAUUCACAUGUUCACAAGAAGAAUCAUUACAGUUAAUGUGGCUCUCAUUUAUAAUACAAUUUUUAAGCAGAUAAGAACUAGCAUAUGCCAAGAUGACAAACCACUCAUAUACUCGUAUAGAAUAGAUAGGGCAGCACUAUCACCCAUAAUACUCAAGUGGGUUUACACAAACGGAUACAUCCCAGCUCCUAAACUUGCACAUGAAAAUAGAAAAUAAACUUGAUCACAGCUUGUCAGGUGCUUUUUGAAAUUAUAUACAUAAUUUUAAGAAAACAACAUCCUAUGAUAAAACAUAGCCAAAAGUAUCAAAUCAUCAGGCUAUUGACUAAACAGUAACUUCAAAUCAUCUGAACAAAAUUUAACAGUCUGUCAGCGAAAAGGAAAAAUAAAGGGUUUUGCACAUAAUCAACAAGAAUACAUAGGAAUGUUUAGCAACAAACCAUAAUCAGCAACAGUGACGGGACUUUUAUCUGAUUUUGAUUGGACAUCUGAUUGCAAGAUAGCUUUUUGCAUCUUCUGAGGAAAAACAAAAAUACAUGAAAUCAGCUUAAGAUAACAAGAAAAGGUACACGCAUGCAAACUAUCUAAAACAUUUGUGCCAGGAUGCAAAAUGUCAAAUCACCUGUUCUAAAAAAGGAUAACGUCAUGUUAAUCAGAUAUAGGAUAUAUAAUGAAACAGUUAAUCACAAGGGGACCAACACAAGCCAUGAAAAUCAGCUUCAUUGGUCUGAAAGGGGAAGAAAUUAUAUAGAACGCACACCAGAAACAGAGCGUAAAUAAGCAAAUAAAAUACAUGAGAAUCAGUUUCCCCGCAAAAGCUAUACUAAAAGGCAUCACAAUAGCUAACUCCCCUGAUGCUAGCAUUAUUUCCAUUCAACCAUUUCCAUUUCUUCCUCUCUUUUUUUUCCAUUUCAAUCAUCCAUUCAAACCCUCUUCCAAAAAAAAUCCAAUAAAGUCUCAAGAAACAAACUUUAAUCAGAAAAUGAAAAACCAAACAAAGUAAAAGCUUCAUACUCCAAAACCCACCACACAGUAAUAACAUAUGGGUCAUGCUGAAAUAAAGAUUUCACACUCUAAAACCAGCCAAUAAAAUCCUUCAACAACUAAAAACACAAUAUCUAAAAUCCAAACAGACCCAACUUCCGAAAAAGAAAUACAGGGAGAGGCAAAGAAAGGGACUUCACCUGGCAGAGGCGGGCAGCAAGAGAGACAGCUUUCUUGGCAGCAGCAAGUUCUUUAUUGUAAGACAUUGAAGAGGAUAAUACUCUUGGAAUUGAGGUUUUGCUUUUGGUUUUGUUAGAGAAAAAUAAAAGGGGAGAGGAAACAAGAAAAGGGUUUUUCGUGAUUGUGAUUUCGGGUUUUGCAAUAAUGCUAACAAGAUUCAUGGACGUCCUUCCAAUAAAUCAAAACUUAGAAAAACGGAGUAUAAUUCUUUUUUAUUUACUUAUUUCUUAUUCAAUUGGUUAUUCAACACAAUAAUUUAUACAUCAAUCCAAAAAAAAAAAAGUUCUAGAUAGUUUUACGUAUGUAUCUCUAUCUCGAUUUAAAAAAUUCCAAAGAAAUAAAAUUCUUUAAAAAUUAACGAAAUCUAUAAAACAUGAUGUCUUCACUUUAUUAUUUUAAUAUUCAUUAACUAAUUAGAAAGCUAUGCUUCAGGAAUUUAAUAGUCUUUUCUACAUGAUAAAUUAGUCAUUAUGAAAAUCAUUUGAGACAUAUUGGUUUUUGACUCUCUUUUUUUUUUUUUUCACAGCGUAAUGACUACAUCAUUUUUUAAUGCAAAAUUUUGAUAAAACUCUUUGCCUUCUCGAUUUUUUUAUUUUUUAAUUUUCAUAAUAAAAAUAUUAAAUUGCUCUUGGUAUAUAAUUUAUUUAAAUUUGCUUCAAGGACAUUUUUAUAUUUUUUUAUAAUUUUUUUGAUAUAUUCACAUUAAACUAGGAGUAUUUUUUUUAAAUAAAAAUAUAAUAUUAUUUAAAACAAAACAUGUCGAGGCACGUUUGGUUUCCAUGGUUGCUCGUAUUCACCAUCUAUGCUCUUUGAUUGGUGUGUGCCACCUCGUUUAGUGGUCAGAAUUAUAUUUUCACCAUGUCAUUGGAUAUGACAUCGCGUUUUUUUUCUCAAGCUAUGUAUUAUUUUUUUUAAUUUAAUUAUUAUUUUUUUGAUUUUUUUUUGUUGAAGUGAUUUUUAUUUUUAAUUUAACCUUCUAAUUGAAAUUUUUUUUAGUUGCCCUCUAAUUUAUUUUUUAUUUUAAUUUUCACCCUUAUUUUUUUAAUUAUCGUUUUUUAUUUUAAAUCUUUUUAUGUAAUUGAUUUUUUUUCCUGAUUUCAUCAUUCAAUGUUUGAUUUGUUAGGGAUUAAAAUUUAUUAUUUUUUCAUAUAUAUAUAGUGUUUCUAGUCUAAUGAUUUGAAUCACGAGUUUGAAAGUUAACAUAGAUCAACAUCUUUUGUUUUUUUUUGUUUUUUUUAUUUAUUGAAUUAUAUGUAUGCAUAAAUUUUUUUUUAUUUAGAAUUUUUUUUAAUGUAAAAUACACAUAGAAAAAGCUGAUAUAUUUAAUUUUUUUAUUAGAAAAAAGUAUCUAACUUGUAACGAAGCGCACAUCCCAAGUAUAUCAGAAAUUCAAUUUGAACCAUCUAGGUGGUGGCCCAGUGGUAAGAGUUUGGGACCAAGAGGUUUGCUCUCUCUGUGGUCUCAGGUUCGAGCCCUGUGGUUGCUUAUAUGAUGGCCACUGGAAACUUACAUGGUCGUUAACUUCAGGGCCCGUGGAAUUAGUCGAGGUGCGUGCAAGCUGAACCGGACACCCACGUUAAACUAAAAAAAAAAAGAAAUUCUCAAUGUGAAGUAUGCAAUGCAACAAUGUCUUUUGUCAAGAGAAUUUAACGUUUCUUGUAAGCAAAAUUUACAAUAAUUUAAGAAGUAAAGACUCAAUUUAAGAUUUUUGAAAGGAUGGUAACCCAAUUUUUAUAUAUAUAUAUAUAUAUAUAUAUAUAUAUAUAUAUAUAUAUAAACCAAUAGAUGAGGGACCAAUUAAUCGAGAAAAGGGUAAUACGUUUGAGACUAAUUCAAGGGAAGAAAACAACCAAGUAUUUGUAUAUCUUUGAGAUUCAACAAAGACGUUGGAAAAACUUCAACUAGUGGAAACAUCUUUAACGCAUCCAUGCCAUCUAUUCAUAAUUCAAGGGAGGAAUUUGACUUGUCUAGUUAGCUAAUUGCGACAUGGGAUUUACUUGCCUAAAAUAGACUUCUCUUCUACUUGGUUUAGCACCACAUAAAAGAGCUUCCAACUGGGGCGGGCAGCCACCAAAGUUAACCGAAUUACCUUCUCCUUCAGCCCUUUCCCUCCACCCCAUCUUCCACUCUUUCCUCAUUUUCACAGACAUAACCGAAGCAACAGGCGUUCGUUCUUCUUCUUCUUUUCACUUGCAUCUCUAUCAAAACCAAAAACAUCACUUUUCAUCUCAAAUCUCAUGUCUCGCAUGCUUGCUUAUGUACAAAAGAAGUAAUUACACAACAUUGAGGAUCGAUGCAUGAUAAACACACCCCAUAAUAGUGGUAGUGGUGGUUUAAAUAUUCAUACCUAUCAAAGAAAGGUAGUGGCAGUGGACUUGACUACAACAGGAAGCUUUGGAGGAAGUUGGAACAGGCAAAAUGGACAACCAGCUAAUGGCCACAGCCAACAAGACGGUGGAAACAAUAGUCUGCUAUGCACCAACCAUGAUAACUACGAAUGGUAUAUGGCAGGGUGAUAAUCCUUUAGAUUACUCUCUCCCUCUUUUCAUCUUGCAGUUAACUUUGGUCGUUGUCACCACUCGCUUGCUUGUUUACAUCCUCAAACCACUUCGACAACCUCGUGUUAUCUCGGAGAUCUUGGUGAGUUUUAUCUUCUAUGAUUCGUAUAAAAGGGUAAUUAACCUGUUUGCUUCAAUGACGAGAAAUUCCACCUGCUUCCGAAAACCUGCAAUGAACAUAACAGGGAAUAUGGUUUCAGUCCAUGUUUAUGCCGUCACCUAUCAAGCAUUAGUUAUAACAAGAUCAUGAGAUUACACCUUCGUCGUUUAUAUCAUGUUCCAAACACCAUGCAAUUUGCUUAGUUUUGUAGAGGAAGUUAUAGCAAGAACAUUUUAAUACGUAGGAAAUUUCUUGCCUCCGAUUCUAAUAACAGUGGCAGUACAGUUACAGCAACAAACUUCAUUCUAGAGAGUUUCUGUAUCUGGUUCUAUCUUAUGCAACGAUUUGUAGAAUGCAUGACAUAAUAACAAAGGACGCAAGUCAUCAAGCCACAGUUUAGGAUUUGUAGUUAACAACUGGAAAUCUUUUGCGGAAUCAUACUUGCCGUCAUUGUUUGUGAAAAAAGGGUCUAAGCUGGACAGUUGGGAAAAAACAAUAAUCUCAUCUUCAAACCUGAAUUCACUAGAAAAGAUAGUAUAAAAGGCAUGAAAAGGGCCAUUCUUUUGAUGUCAAAGCCUCUCUUUUGCACCCGCUCUGUAUUGUACCCUCACGUUCAUAUCAUGCAUCUGGCAUAUCAGAUUUCUCGAAGAGACCCAAGACACUUGGUAUGAUCCUUCAAAUGUAAGGUAAAGUGUAGAGAAAAUAGAAGGUAACUGUGUUUCAUGUGGGUACGAGUCUGGACCAAGUGGGAGCAUGAUAGCUAAAAGCUCAUGAAUUCUGUUACAAAUUUCCUUUAUUGUUGAUCGAUGUUUUGUCUACGUAUCUACUAAUAAUAUAGAUGUCCUGUAUAAUGUUCACAGGGAGGAGUGAUAUUGGGCCCAUCUGUACUUGGGCGCAGCAAAGCAUUUGCCAACACUAUAUUCCCUCUACGAAGUGUGAUGGUGCUAGAAACAAUGGCAAAUAUGGGUCUCCUCUACUUCCUCUUCCUGGUUGGAGUAGAGAUGGACAUUUCAGUAAUCAAAAGAACUGGGAAAAAAGCCAUAGCCAUAGCCAUUGGGGGAAUGAUCUUUCCCUUCUUUAUCGGCCUAGCGUUCUCUUUUGCUCUGCACAAGGAUUCACAAAGCUUGAACCAAGGAACUUUCGUACUUUUCCUUGGUGUUGCCCUCUCUGUCACUGCAUUCCCUGUACUUGCAAGAGUUCUGGCAGAGAUUAAACUCAUCAACACAGAGAUUGGUAGGAUUGCCAUGUCUGCAGCUCUUAUCAAUGACAUUUGUGCUUGGAUUCUGUUAGCUUUAGCUAUCACCUUGGCUGAGAAUAAAAGUACUUCCUUGGCUACCCUGUGGGUGAUACUUUCUAGUUUUACAUUUGUUCUUAUCUGUAUCUAUGUUAUUCGACCAGUCAUCUCAUGGAUGAUUAGUUCAACUCCGGAGGGAGAAACCAUCAGUGAGUUCUACAUUUGUCUCAUUCUCACUGGAGUAAUGAUCUCAGGAUUCAUUACAGAUGCCAUUGGAACACAUUCUGUCUUUGGAGCUUUUGUAUUUGGGCUGAUUAUUCCAAAUGGACCUCUUGGAGUUACUCUGAUAGAGAAGCUUGAAGACUUUGUUUCAGGGCUUCUGCUUCCUAUCUUUUUUGCUAUGAGUGGGCUCAAGACUGAUAUAGGGGCUAUUAAUGGAGUCGCAACAUGGUUAAUUCUAAUACUAGUCAUAAUUGUUGGAUUUGCUGGUAAAGUUGUCGGUACUGUGCUCGCUUCAAUGCUCUACCAAAUGCCUCUCCUUGAAGGGAUUACUCUUGGUUUUCUCAUGAACUCCAAAGGCCUUGUGGAAAUGAUUGUCCUCAAUGUUGGCAGAGAACAGAAGGUAACAACUUUCAAGAAUUUUUUUCCAUUCGUUCUUCAAGUGUUUCCUCCUCUAAUGUUCAUGUAGAAUCUACACGUGAUGGGAUUCACAUGAAUGUGAAAGAGGGAAGCACCGUACCAAUCUCUCUUCCGUGUUCACACAGGCACAUUACCACACUAAUCUCUCGUCUGUGUGAACACAGGCACAUUCACAUGAAUAUGGCACAUUGGAAGUGAUAUUGAUAAAACACAGAUGACUUGCAGGUCUUGGAUGAUGAGUCCUUUGCAAUGAUGGUGAUUGUAGCAGUGAUUAUGACCGCAAUCAUCAUCCCCUCUGUAACAGUCAUAUACAGGCCAGAGAAGAGGUUCCUGCCUUACACACGAAGAACAAUUCAGAGGUCAAAACGAGAUGCAGAGUUUAGGGCAUUAGCAUGCGUACACACUCCUCGCAACGUCCCAACAAUCAUUAACCUCUUGGAAGCCUCCCACCCAAAUAAAAGGUCCCCCAUGUGUGUCUACGUGGUCCACCUAGUUGAACUCACUGGUCGCGCCUCGGCCAUGCUUAUAGUUCAUAAUACUAGAAAAUCUGGCCACCCAGCCCUCAACCGCACCCAAGCUCAAUCUGAUCACAUCAUCAACGCAUUCGACAAUUAUGAACAAAAUGCAGUCUGUGUCUCUGUGCAACCCCUGACUGCCAUUUCCCCUUAUUCCACCAUGCAUGUAGACAUAUGUAACUUGGCUGAGGACAAACGAGUUGCUUUAAUUAUCCUCCCUUUCCACAAACAGCAAACAGUUGAUGGUGGAAUGGAGGCCACCAACCCAGCUAUCCGAAUGGUGAACCAAAAUGUAUUAGCCAGUGCACCCUGCUCAGUUGGGAUUCUCGUAGACAGAGGGCUAAGUGGGUCUACUCGUUUAGCCUCGAACCAGGCAGCUCACCAUGUAGCUGUACUAUACUUUGGGGGCCCAGAUGACAGAGAGGCGCUAUCAUAUGCAUGGAGGAUGUCUGAGCAUCCAACAAUUAACCUCACCGUGAUGAGGUUCGUUCCAGGAGAGGAUGCAAAAGCACUUGACAACCCUGGGAUGCUCAGUGUGGAAACAGAAAAUCUAAAAGAGAAGCAGCUUGAUGAAGACCAUGUUAACGAAUUCAGGACCCAGACUGCUCAUAAUGGUUCUAUAUUUUACAAUGAAAUAGUGGUCAGCAAUGGUGAGGAAACAGUGGCAGCAAUAAGGUCAAUGGACAAUCAUCACGACUUGUUCAUAGUGGGUAGAGGACAAGGGAUGAUAUCACCACUUACGGCAGGUCUUACUGAUUGGAGUGAAUGCCCAGAGCUUGGUGCGAUUGGGGAUUUGCUAGCAUCAUCAGAUUUUGCAGCAACAGUUUCAGUUCUGGUGUUACAACAGUAUGUGGGGUUAGAGCCAGAUGGGGAGGAGUUAGGAACACCUGAUAGCCCUGCUCAACCAGAGGAACCGUACAGCAUUGUACAGAUGGCAAAUAGGUCAAUGAGGCUCCCUGUGUUUAGCGCAUAACCCCAAACACCACCAUUCUUAGCAAUGCAUCACGGGUUUCUAAAUGAAAGAGUCAGAAAAUAUAAUCUGGAUUAUAGUUUGUGAAAACUCUGCCAGGUAUAGUUUGAAAGUCUCUUACUUAGCCUUGAAUUCAACUUUUAGCAAGUAUUUACUCCUUACAACAGGAUUUUUUCCUCUCAUCACAUCAGAAGUUUUCAAUUGCGAUUUCCAAAUCCAUAUGAACUGAUUCUAAAUUAAUCUUAAAGAAACACAUUAAGAGCAAAUCAUUACAGAAUGCGGAAGCAGGAAAACAAACAAAAGCUUAAAAUGAGUGCAGCACCGCGGUUAGGUCUAAUAUUUGAAAUUUAUAUGUACGCAUCCAUUGACUUUACACUAUAGUAGUCAUGUUGGCACUCAUGAAAUUAUUAGCACAGAGUUUGAUAAAGACCUUACAAUGAAGUUGUUUGCAGCACAAAAUUCUUCAGAGAGACUGUUCCGGAAAACAUCUCAGAAUUGCACCUACAAAGUGUGAAUGUUUGAGGUAGAUUUCAUCUCACAAUCACAAGUUUCAUAUAGCCCCACAUGGAUAUCAUCUCUUGAAGAACAGCUGUUGAUGGAAAAUCUUUCCCUAUUUUAAAUCCUUUGUAACAUCUCAAACAGAUUGGUUGUGUGAGGACCAUGAUUGAGAAUUGUUUGAUCAUCUAGGAAGCCGCGAAAAAUAAUCAACUUGAACUUGGGACAUCUAUUCGAAAUCUUAGUGAAGGACUGGUGAAAUAGGGACAUCUAUUCGAAAAAUAAUCAAGAUGUUCAGUUACAUUCCAAAUCAUUGAUUACGGUCUAAUAAUCAUCUAGCUUUUAGUAUCAAGCCGGUUGACCAAACUUUUACACUAAAAUAGCUUGGCUAGGAUAAUUUAUUCCAUCAAGAAACAACAUAGAAAAUAAACAGCUAAAGGAAAGACAAGAAUCUCUCUAAAAUGUAAUCUAAAGCUUCUUCCAUGCUAAGAAUUGCUCUUUUGUUGGACUGGAGUAUAAUAUCUACAGCUUCUUUACCACAGCAGUACAGUUGUUGCCUUCAGCCAACAAUUCUCCAUUGUUUUCAAUAUCUCAAUGGGCACUGAAUUGAGAUGAUAGGGAAUAGAAGAUCAAAAGACAAGCAAAUGCAUUCUUCAGAUAAAUAUUAUCAAACAUGUUGUCUGCAAUAAUGUCAAGAAGCCAGAAACAGAAUUACCGUGUGAGAUUUUGUUAGUAGUUUAAUCAUUAGUGUCUCCGGACAAGAAAUAAAGAAUUUUGGUUCUUUUGAAGGACUCUAAGAAUAUAGGCCUGUGAUGGGCUGAAUUUACUGGGCUCGGGCCCAUUUUUGAGAAAUCCAAUUUUUUGCUAGGAAAAUAUAAUAUUAGUUGAUGGAUAAUUUUCCAUACAUAUAAUUUUUUCUAUUCACACAAACUUUUUUUAUGCAGAAAAGAUACUUUUUUCUAUGUCAAUGGCGCUUCCCAUCACCAAUAUCUCCACCGAUGAUCACUAGCAAGCAUAACACAGUACCUGGUGACCCAAAUUCUUAUAAAAAUAUUUUUUUUAAAAAUUGAAAGUAUAAAUGCACUCAGUCACUAGGUAAGAGGGGGAACACACAAGCCCUAGCAAAAAAUCUUAAGUCUUGGAUUCCAUGCUCAACUAUUAACGAUGAGGCUUGUAAUCUCAUAUAUGAUCAUCAACCACUCAACAAUUCCAAUAACAAUUAUUAAUCAUUCAACAAUUCUAUGAAUCACAAUCUUUUAACAACUUCUAGAAUCACAAACAAACAUCCAAGAAUUCCAUGCACCACCGAGUACCAUUCAAUUUCUCCUUGAACCACAAACAACCACCUAGCAAUUUCUAGAACCAUAAAAAAUCAUCCAACUAUUUCUAGAACAUACGAUUUCUCUUACAUUCCCCUUGUAUUUUUUUCUUUUAUUUAUUGUAUUUUUUUCUCCUCCAACACUUUAUUAACUUAAUUAAGAAUAUGAGUGUUUCAUCCGUCUAUGAUGCUCUUAUAAGGCAUACAUUAGAUUAAAAAAAACGAUAAAUACAUGAAAUAUUAUUUACUAAACUACAAAGCAGCACUGAUCUUUCUUUUUAUCUGAUGGAUUAACAAUGACCUUUCACGUAAUUGGCAUUGAGCCAUCGCCUAACACCCCCUACCUCCACUAUAGCACCAUAGCUAGCCUUAAGUGAUCUAUGGUGACUUCUGUGACGAAUUUACCUAUCAACAUUAAUUUAUCAUUAAAUAAUGAUUAAUGAAAUUAAUGAAUAAUUAACUCUCACGUAGUGGCAUAAUAUCAAGCGCCACGUGGUUUAUUUAUUGCAGCUCUAAAACCACAAAUGGGAUGAUAUUAAUAGAUUGUUUUUUAAUAAAGGAAAAGGGUACGUCUCGUUAUUUUCAAUAUAUAUCUCUAGGUUAAAAUUCACUAUAUAUCAUGAUUAACUAAUAUUGCUGUCCUUGAUUUUUAUUCUUAUUUUUUUUCAAUCCAAAAUGAUGGAUAACACAAUACUUUGGAGGUUGACAUCUUCCCUUGUAAAAUAUUUUUCAAUUAAAAAUAAAAAAGUUAAUUUCUUUUUGGAAUACAAAUUAAUAUUAACUUCUAUAUCUUUUUAUAUAUUUUCUUACAAAAAUAAGAAUCACACGACCAUAUUGAGGUCCUGUAAUAUUGUAAUAAUCUAAAUAGGUAGGUUUGCACGGACAGACAUAAACCUGCAGGGCCUCAAAUCGAUUAAUUAAAAUUAAUGCCUACCAAUCUAGCCACCUCCUUCAAUGGUUCUUAAAUAAUGUUGUGAGAAUCAUUUCUAUAUAUAUAUAUACAGUUGAAAUCCUUUAACAAUCAAUAUAUAUAUAUAUAUACACACACACACACGCAUGUGAGUUGGUGGCCCAGCACAUGGCCUCUUUUUUUGAAGAUAUGAAAUAAGAAAUUAUAAUGUAUAUUAAAAAAAAUGCUUUUAAUAUUAAUUUAUAGAAGUUUUAUAAAGUUAUUUUUCUCGGUUUUCUUCUUAAAUUUAAUUUUUUAUGGUUUUUCUGUGUAAGUUUUCUAGUAUUGCAUGAUCGAUUACAUUGAAAACAAGCUCUAAGAAUUUUAAAAUAUUAUUCUUGCAUUAUAGAUGUCAAAAACAAAAUACUGUUGAUCAUCUUCUAGCUAUGGAUGAAAAAGAAAAUCUAAUCCUGAGAAGUGUAGCUUAAUGAUCAGGUCCUAAGUUUAUUUUUAGAGGUCAUCAGUUAGAGUCUCACAAAUCUUAGGGCCACAUGAGGCUUAUAUGGUCGUUAACUUCAGGGUCCAUGGGAUUAGUCGGGGUGCACACAAGCUGGUCCAAACACUCACGUUAAUCAAAAAAAAUCUUAAUCUUAAUAUAGGAAUAAUAUUCUGAUUAAUAAGAGGGAAAAAAUGGUUUACAUGUGGUUCUUAUCUACCUAUGAACACUUGGUUCCACGUCCUCUUUAACAUGUAAUAAUUUCAUGUAUGAUUUUGAAGAAGUUAUAUUUGACCAGCCUUUUUUUAUUAUAAAAGGAGGGCUCGAAGACGAGAUUUUGUGGGGAGGGAGACUCUAACUUAUUGGGACUUAACGAGCCAGCCUCUUCCUACUACACUAAACUAUCAUUUAUUUCAGGCAAGUAGUGGAGGUUGGAUUGUCAAGAUGGCAGACAAGCUAGUGUUCAAAGGCCAGAUUUUCUUCGUAUUAAUCUUUAGUUUUUAAGUUUCUUUUAAGACUUUUCUUUGUCUUAUUGCCCUUUGUCUCUUUCUUGCUCUCGCUCUAAUCCACAGUACAGGGCUACAGGCACGCACCCUUUCUUUUUCAUACCCUAUUUUGAGGGCAACAUUCAUUUUUAUUUUAUUUUCUUGCCUGGUAUUUAUGAUCACUUGAGAGAGAGAGGGAGAGAGAGGGACGGGAUAAUUAAUUAUGAGCUUAAUCACUAAAACAAGGGAAAGGAAGAGAUAGUUAAGAUUACUCAUAUUAUUUCUCUUCACUUUGUAUAAAUAUUUAUUAAUUCUUAGAAUGUCUAAACAAAUUAAAUUCUCCAUCGCUUCAAAUUAAACUGCAUUGACCAUUAGAUCGUGAUCGGACGGGAGAGGAAAUCUGGAUCCCACCAGCUGCUAUAAAUUGACAAAACAAAUCAAGUGGUGGCAUAUGAAAUGUUGGCAGGUCAAAAGGUCUUAGCCAAGAACCACUACAAAUAAAAAUGGAUUGAUUCUAUUUUUCCUGUAAGAAUUUUGUCCCCCCAGAAAUCUUUUUUAUAUUCACCAACAUAUAUCUUUGUGCCCACCUAUUUCAAAUUGGAAAAUCAGAUUCCUUGAGACAAAUCAUCAAGUGAAUUUGGUGUCUAUGUGUGUGUGUGUGUGUUUGAAUGCAAGUUGGCUAUCUUAAUUAGAAAUUUGACUCGCAUCUCUAGAAACCUGAUGCAAUUACUUGGGAAAAUUGGACUCAAGAUGGAGCAUCGAAAUGAUUUAAGAAAAGGAUUAGAGAAUCCUUAGUAAUAUAAUAUAUAUGUGCAUACUUUUUAGUCUUUCAUCAUCAAUUAUGGUGUUUGAAAUGAUGUAAAUUUCAGAGAAUCCAGCCAAAUUUUGGAAUAAUUAAAGUAAGGGAGAAUUCUUCAGCUCCUGUUUUGCUUAAAACCUGGUAGAUGUUGGGGGUAUUUGACUAGGUUUUGUUUUUUUUUUUUGUUAAUUUCUUUGCUUUUAACAUUUAGGGUAUAGUUUUUUCUAUAAUUUUCUCCCAGCUGAUAGAGAUUUUUUUCCCCUUUUCAAUUGGUUCUAGUUGAACCAUUCACACUAGCUCCAAUUAAAUAUAUUUAUUUUAUGUAGUUUCUUCUUCUUUAAUUCAAAUUUAAGAUGAUAGCAUGAGAUAGAUGUAGUCUAAUCUUUCAUUCCAAACUUAGCCAUUUAUGAUUUUAGGACACUUCACACUCACACUUUAGAAUAUUUGCUUGAUUUAUAGACACUAAAAAUGUUGAGAGAUGGAAUGAUUUAUUACAGGUUUCAAGGCAUAUAUAUGACAAUGUUGUUUCAAAUGAAUAUUUUUGGUUUUGAUCUUAAAAUCAAAAGGAAAAGAUCUUUAAAGUAGUUUAUAAUGUUUUUUAGCUAUCUGCUUUGGGUGCCUAAUAAUAAGGCGGCAAUCAAUGUCCUACCAGCCUCUCCAGAAGCUGGAAAUCAUGAAGGUCCCAUUAGCCCUAUUCUUUCCAACCUUGAUGAAAUAAUUCAGCAGAGAAAAACAAGCUAUGCAAGGCAGUUCUGUUUAUCAAUAUUUUUGGAUAGUAUUUUUAUUCCAUUUGCUAGUGCUUUCCCAUAUUAUUGCCACUCUCAUGAAUCCUGUGGCCAACAUAUUACACACCUCUCCCUCUCUCUUACAAGAACACAGUUUCAUUUUCAACUAUUGUGGGGGUGGAUUCAAACUUCAAAGAUGAACAGUAUUGUUAUUAUUUUUUUCUCUGGGUGGGUCAGUUUUGACUGAACUGAUAGAUAUAAAGAAAGGAUUGGGAACCAUUCCGUAUAAUUAAUCCAUAUUAUUGGUUGUGAUCGCUUACUCUUUCACUAAGAUAAGGCCCAUAAUAUUGUUUGGCCUACCUUGGUGUUUGUAUGCUGGUGUUAUCAUCUUAUUCCUCCAGCUAAGAUUGCACUUUUGCCUAUCCCUCUCCCUUUCUUCUCCCUAUAAAAAAGAAAAAAGACACUUCCCUUCGCCCUCUUGUAAAUCUCAGCUGCUGCUGAAGCUGCUGGCACUGUGGACUAGAGGUGGUAGCUUGUUUUCUCUUAUCUUUCCCAUCAUUUAUGUUCUUCUUCCUUUGUGUUUCUCUUGUGCCAUUGGUAACUUUGUCCCACUUCUCUAUCAACUGUCAUUUCUGUACUGAAAAGGAAAAGGAAAGAGAAACCCCACUCCCACUAUGUUUCUUGCAGUUUUUUAUUUCAUGAGUGCUGUUUAAGGUUCGUCUUUUUAACAUCUAGUUUUUUGCAUUGUAUAUUAUAUAGCAAUGUCUUCUUACUUCAUCCCACCAAUUCCUAUUAAUCAAGAACUUCAGCUACCGUCCAUUUGUUAGAUGCUGAAAUGGUUAACCAAUAGCAGCGCCCUCUAUUCACCACCAAUACUUUCUUUUGUUUUUUGUUCUUGAAUCUUCGGUUUUUUUCUCUUCUCCAUGAAAGAAGCAGAAAUGACUGUACCCCACUUUUUCAUGUGUCCAAUUAGUCUAGACUUGAUCAAAGAUCCAGUGACGCUAUGUACCGGCCAAACUUAUGACAGAUCAAGCAUAGAAAAAUGGCUUGCUGCUGGUAAUCUUACUUGCCCUGUCACAAUGCAGAAGCUUCAGGAUCCAUCUAUGGUUCCUAAUAACACUCUUCGUCAUUUGAUUGAUCAGUGGCUGCAAAUAGGCCCUCAGUUUGAUCCUGUUUAUUUGUCAACAAUUGAUUCUCUAGCUUCAUUGAAGAAAAUUCUUGAAUCAGGUGACGCUUCCUUGGAGUACAAGUGUCAAACACUCCAAAACAUCCAAGCUCUAACUGAAGAAUCACAAUCUGGAAAUUCUUGUUUGUUCCAGUUAGGCUUCUUUCCUUUAUUGUUGGAACUGCUUUUUGGAAAAGUGGAAUCCAGACUGUCUGAAGGAAGUGCUAAGUUUGCAGAACAAGCACUUUCUUGUGUCCUAAGAUUGCUGUCUCUUGGCGAAUAUGAGUGUUUAAAUAUGCUAAGAGAAGAGUCUAAAUUGGAAUCCUUUCAGUUUUUGUUUGAUCAAGGUACUAGCAAGAUCAAGAGGAGUCUGUGCCAAAUAAUAGAAGCAAUAUCAUCAUCUUUGGAGACAAGAGAACUCUGUGCUAAGCUUGGCAAAAACAGAAAACUCUUGAAAGGGCUGAUUCUUCUUGUUCACCAAACAUAUGGCGCAUCUGAGGCUGGAAUCAAAGCUAUAUCGGCACUAUGCUGCUUGGAAUCAAAUAGAGAGAAUAUGGUUCAAGAAGGUGGGAUAAAUGGACUCUUGACCUAUAUAUAUGACGCUCAAAGACAUGAAAGAAAUUUGGCACCUAAAGCAAUGGCAACCAUUGAGCUGCUUCUAGGACUAGAGAGUGCAAAAGAGGCUUUGAUCAAUGAUCCUAAUGGUAUUAAAGCUCUCAUUAAGAUGGUUUUUAGGGUUUCUGAUCACCAAGGAAGCGAAAGCGCUAUUCGAUCAUUAAUGAUUAUAUGCACAGAUUCUUUACAGGCACGAGAAGAAGCAAUUGGUGCUGGAGUUUUAACUCAAUUGCUUCUGCUGUUGCAGAGCCAGUGUAGUGGAAGAACUAAAACAAAAGCAAGAAUGCUACUCAAGCUGCUUGGGUCCAAGUGGGAUGAAGAACCAAAACAUUUGUAAACUACAAAAAAGUAUGGGAUGUUUUUAUGCCUAUGCGGGGUCUUGUUGGUGUAUUGGCUUCCCUGUGACAUAGUAUCUUUGUAAAGAUUACAGAAGUGUCCAUGUUUGUAUCUUAUCUGUCAUUAAACAUUCGUUAAUUACUGAAUAAACCCCCACCAAGCUGAGUGGAUUUAUGUUAUGCCUAAACCAAAUUUGAUUAGAUGGAUGGUUGUCCUGUGCCAAAUCCCAAACCCUUCUUCAUCUGGUAAUUUCUGUCCAUUUUAUGUUGUGUUGUUGAGAUACCAUUCUCCGAAGCAUCAAUUCAGAAAAUGAAAAUUGCUCCCCAUUAAAGCAAUGUCCAAGCAGUGAAAUUACAGCCUAACUGUCAAAUGAUAGAGUUCAUGCGCGUGAUCCACAUGGUUCAUCCAAAAAAAAACAAAGCAGCAUUGAUUCCAGUGGUUCAAAUUGCCAGAGAGAAAGCUGGCAUUGUCCCAAAUAUACCAUUAUGACAACGGACAGCAUCCUUUUAUCAUUACUGUUGAAAUUUGGAAACUGAAGUUGAUGGGACUGGAAGUUUCUGUCUGUGGAUAUUCCGUUCAUUUUAUUUGAUAUUUUUGUGUGGUGGGAUAGGAUGAUUUGCAAUUUGCAUAGCUUAGGUUACAAUAGGUCGCCGAAAGUUGUUGAAUUGUCUGCAUAUUGUUUCAUAGAAUACUGCUCCGUUGGGAUCACAUUUCUGGCCCAUAUAUCAAAACUUUUUCCCUUUUUUUUUCCUAGCUCAUUUCAAGUUUCAUUAGACCUUAAACUACACAACAGGACUAGCUUUCUCCUCUUUACAAUCCUGGGCAUUCCAAAGGUAAAUGGAACCGAAAUAUAAAUCGUAAACAGUCGGUGGCUUUACUGGCUAAACUAAGAUGUAGCCUUCCCUUUCUUAUUCAACUACGGCAUGUUUCAAAAUUUAGUAAGAGUCCAUCAGAUGAUUCACAUAUUACAAACAUCUUGGGGGAAAUUGACCAAUGUUUGUAAUCUCCAAUUCAUAUAUUACAAAAAAAAUCGAUCGAAGUUGGCCGCAUGUUGUACCCUGCGGUUGAACGCAAAGUCAAUGAAUAAUUUGCCCUCGUCUAAUCACUGCUAUUAGUGGUCUCACAGACACAUGGACUGCACCAACAGCUAGCUCGGAUCACUACAGUCACGCCUAGCAUCGGCCUUACUCCUAUGGCAUGCGAAAUGAACUGCAAAGAGUAAUCUUCUUGCCUUGAUCUAGAGGGCUGACCCACCAUAGAAAGAAUAUUUAUUUUACCCUUAUGAUGGUUAAAGCUGAAAGCAAACACUUUUAAUGAGCGUUGAAAAUGUUCCAAAAGAAAUAUACCAUUCGGUCUAAAUUUUCGGCGAGGAAGUAAGCAUGCAAGAGAUGGAGCACUUCUUUUUACCAAGAUUCUACAAGGUGAAAAGGAAGGGAUAUUGCACAGGCCUGCACACUAUACCUAUAGCUAUGCUACAAUGCCAGACAACCGUCCAAAAUUUUGGUUGAACGUCAAAAAGUUGGUGCCUUUCAUGAAUUCAACCACAGCAGCAUCAUGUAUAUUCAAGCAAACAGCAAGUUCCAACUAGAACUAAAUACUAAUCAAGUAAUGGCAGAAACCAUAUAAGGGUUUCCUCCAAGGUUUGUUAUAACGUGUGGAGGGGAUUUUUUUUUUUUUUUCUUCCUUAGUUCAAUGGCAGCAGGUUGGUCUUAUAACCUAACUAAAAAGACAAGAACAUGAAAGGUCUCACUUUCUGAUAACCAUGUGCUUAAGGAGUGCCAUUAAUGACUACGUUUACCAAGUAAAGCAGCAUCUAUAAAAGGUUUUCUUCAAAAUUUAAGUUCAAUGGCAGCAGGUUGGUUUAAGUAUGCGUCAAAGAAAAUUCCUGGAACGUGUGAGUUUGGUAAACAAUUUCGUGUGGCAAUUAAAUUAAAGAGACAAAAGCAAGAAAGACCUCACAUUCUGUAUAAGCACAGUUGAAUAUUGUCCUUGGAGUCUGUUUUCUAUACCUCACGAGGAGACUAUAGCACAUGGAAUUCUUCAUGAAGCUAUCCAAAUCAAGAACUCAUAGUCAUACUACAUGUUUUAGAAUUGCCACCAUUGGACGCAACCAAAAAUCUCCUCCCUUUGGUUAAUCUGCGUUGUGCAAUGUUUGAGUUGCGUAACACAGUUUUUUCCCAAUGUUUGAGUUGCGUAACACAGCUUUUUCACAAAAACUUGGUCUUCGGUGAACAUGGCCCCCAACAUAGGUUGCUUAAUGACUUUGCAAACUGGACGUAUUGAAAGGGUGCGUCUUUAGUGUCUUAGGUUCAAAACCAAAGACAUUGACUUGACUUUGUGUUCAACCAUGUAUUUAAAGACUCAGUGCCAACCAAAUCAACUUGGAACGGAUGAAUGCGACAUCCGGUUCAAGCAACAGUGGUCUGGUCCAAGUUGAACUGGUUAUCACUAAGUUUUUAAGCAUUUGCUUGGACACGAAGUUAAUGACUUUGUGUUUAAACAAGGUAUUGAAUAAUUUACAUAUCAACAGAAGUAGAACAACUACUUGUUUUUUACGGUACUGUAUUCUGCAAAGAUAGGGGGAUAGAACUCGGAUUUGAGUCCUACUUUUGCUACUUUGAGAGACAAAACAAUAGUUGUCUUAGCAUUACAUAUUUAAUUAUGAACUAGCAAAUUCAUGGAUGGAUCAUGGAUGAAGAUGGUGUUUGGAAGUGUAGUAAUGGUUGUUUUUCAAAGUGUUGUUUACUCGAAAAUACUUCAAAAUAAAAUUCAAAAACAUAAAAAAAAAAAAUUUAAUAAAAAAAAUUCUAAUUUUAUCCAAUCCCUGUUUGAAAUGCAAUACCAAACAGGAGCGAAGAGUGAUACGAUGAUAUCAUAUUUGUGUAUAACUUUGAUAUUUAUGAAAGUGUGAUGAACUGCUGCAAAGAACUGACCAAACUUGGAGGCCAAUGCUUAGUUUCUUUGGCAUGCUUGUCCGCAUAUAAGGCUGCUGCAAGAGCUGCAUGUAUUUCUGUCAAAUACCCCAACAAUUGGUCACCAUGAAAGAAUGUUAGAUUUAAAAAGGAGUAAAAGGAAACAAAAUUUCCAAAGGGGGGACAUUCAAGCUAGGACUUUCUACUUUCAUAUAGCCAAGAAAUGAAAAAUCUUGAGAAAAUACCUGGAUAUCCCUUCAAAGAUAUUGAGAUAUCUUCCAUUUCUGCAAUUGCUUCUUCUCUGUCCCCAACCUCGUAAAGAGACAAUGCUCUCCCAAACCUUCCAUAUUCUGAGAACGCAAAAUCUUUGUAAUUUUCAACCAUCUGCAAGAAAAUAUGGAAGUGACAUUCUAAGUAACAUCACAAUCAGAUUGUUCAUGAAGCAUGCAUUACAACAUCAAGACAACUUCAAUCUUGAAAUGGAGCCACUGAUAUCUUGUACUAUGUUAGAAACACGUAUUCUGGAGUUUCUUGUCUAAUGGAGUGACUAAAAUAAGUAGUUCAUUGUACUAUGUAGAACCAAUUCAAUCAUUUAUUUCUAAUACUUAGCUAUCUGGGAUGCAAAUCUUCUAGCAAGUUGUUCACCCAAAUUGCAACAAGGCGGAAGCAUUUCCUUUGUUUUUUCUUCUUUUAAUUUUAUCUUUUUUGAGGGGGGGCGUGAUAGAGCAGAAGCACAUCACUUCAGUUCCUUUCUUUUGGCAAAUGAAAAGGAAAGAGCUUAAGAUCAUAGUCAAUUCUUGGCACAACCAAAAAAAAUUAUGUCACGUAGGCGCUAGCAAUUUAAUUGGAGAAGAGGCAGAUUGCAGGCUUUAAAGCACAAACAUCUGAGAGAGCUCAUUAAUGUCUAGAAUCUGAAGAUAAGGAAAAAUUCACGGAUGCAGAACACUGUAUGAUUUACAAUGUUCUGAUACAAACAGAGGGCAAAUAAACAGAUGCACUCUAGCGGAUAGCACCUAGUAGUUGACAUGAAACUUCAAAGGAAAACAAUAGUUUAGUCUAUGUGGCUCUCUAACAAGAGCACAGGCAACUGCAAGGGUCUGUCCAACAUGGAAAAAAGGAAACUACAUAUCCCUAGUGCACGUCCCUUUGAAGUUUUUCAAAAUUUAUCAAUUACCACUAUAAAUCUUGAGGUCUUGGACAGAUUAAAUCUAGAAUGUACAUUCUAGUGUCUUCAAUCUAUAUGAUACAAUUAAAGGUCUUUGUCUAUCAUAACCAUGCCAAAAUGUUGCCUUCUGGUAAGCCCUGAGGUAUUACAGUUAUCAAUUGAUUGAUUAAAUUCUGUUAGACAAACAAAUGCUAAAGUAUUUUAGCUCUGGAAAUGCAGAAUUAUCUCAAAUCAGUUGACAGUAACCUCUGCAAAAGAAAUGUGCUGUCACAGGAAUUUCACACUUAAAUAGAGUGCCAAAUCCUAAUGAGGGUUUCAUAAAAACUAUUAAACAAUAUUACUUCCUUUAUUUCUUUUCUUUAUCAUUUUUUGGCAAGUUUCAGUUUUUCAAUAAGAUGAGUAUAGCAUUGCUAAAAACAAACUAAAAAAAAAAAAACUCAAUCUCCAUGCCCUUAUAAGGAGCUCUAACGAGGAAAAAACUUAAAUAACCCUCAACGAACAAGCAAACUACAACUUGUUAACCCCACAGCGUGAAAAUUAAAAAUAUAAACCCUAGCAAAUAACAAGCUUUCAAUUUUGACAUUCAAUCUGCAACUUCAACAAAAAAAAAAAGAUCCCUUCUUCAUCUCGCUACAUUUCCACAAAAGUGUCAGCUGUACUAGGGCUUUAUAAGUUCUAGCCUUAACCUCAAUACUUUCCUCUCACUUCACCCCAUGUGCUAACCACCUCAGAAUGAGAGACACCAUUUUCUUUUGGGUAGACACCAACUUAUCAUUCACGAUCUGUCUAAAUAUUGGAUGUUCGCUAGUUUACCAGCUAUACAUUCUUCCAGACUCCCAUCAUCUCCCAGAAACCUAUAGUUACUUUAAAUGGGAGUUUUAAAGCAAUUAGUUUCGCUCUGCCCCAAAUCCUCGCACUAACUGCAACUUAGGUGGCUUCCUCUAAUACUCAACCUUUUACUAGACUAAAUUCCACAGAUACAAUCAAAUAAAAAAAAUUCUUCAAUGGGAUUAUGUUUGGAAGCUCGGACUAUCGACUUGAACUUUCCUACAGAUCAAUGCAUCUCAAAUUCUGUCUAUAUCAUCUAUAACCUACUGGAAAAGAUUUUGCUCCAUGCUUUAACAAACCAAAAUCAGAACUCCAAGCUUGUAACUUAAUUAUACAGGUAGAACUCAAUCCUUCUUCAUCCACAGUUCAAAGAAAUUAUUUCAGAAGGCCACUGACAUAAUCUUCUAUCUAAUAAUAGAUAAAAAAAAAACCCAAAAUUUCCCCUAGACAAAGUUUUGCACCAAAAAUUUAUCCAUCCAAGCAACUUCUCCCAACAUUUACUCUCGGCAGUAAGUUCAUCAUCAGUCACAAGAACCUCCCCUAGCUCUCCUUGUCAAAGGCCAAACACACUACAUAACAUACCAUUUCUUUUUUGACCAUCAUACCUCACCAAGUUUAACUCGCCCAUUCAAAACUCACAUCUCCUGCUUCCAGAGCUCUAUGCUUAGUGUUUUUCAAACUUAGAGCUCAUUCCUUAACCUAAUAAUUAGUCAUGCCAACGAGCAAUAAGCCUAGAGGUACUUUCCCCUGCAAAGUAAAGGCGAUGAGAUUGGUCUCAAGUUCGAGUUUCAUCAUUACCACCAUAAGAACCGAAAUAAUAAACACAAGAAUACAAUUUUCUUGACUCCCAUAUCCCUUAGCAUUACAUCUCCAAAAAAAAUCCUAAACCAUCAACAUUCUCCAAAAAACUAUCUCCAAGACUAACAUUUGCAGCAAAUAACUAUUAUAUUUCAAUUGACCAGUAUAUGUAAAAUCAAAAGACAAGGACCAACUAAAAGUUAAGGCCCAAAAAAUAAAGGGAAGAUGUAACAAACCUUAGUGAAGUAGAGCAGUGCUUCAUUGAAGUCACCUUGAGCCUGCAAUUCCCUCCCUUCUCCAACAACUCUACAGCUUCUGUUACUCUCCUAGAUAUGGCAGCACUGGCUUCUUUCUCAGCUUGGCUUACUGGGUCAAAGCUUUCUGCUAGUGCCCAACAAGAGUUUAAGUUCAGUUGUAUAGUUGAAGCACUCGCAAAUUUAGCACCUGUAGUACUAAAAGGAAGAAGAUUAGCAGUAGUUGCUGUGGUGAAUAAAGGGAGGGAGAAUAGGAGAAGGCGCCUACUGGUUGCUCUUGCGUUUGGAGUUGGUGGUGGUGGUUGUGAAGGGAGGAGUUGAUUGGAAAUGGGCGCCUUACCUGCACCCAUUUGUUGGUGUUAGUUUUUUUUAUGGCAAAAUUUUGGUGUUCUAUAACUGAGUUUCUAGUUUUUGUUAGUUUACUUUCUUUUGUUUAUUUUGGCCCUUCAACUUGGUUGAUUUUUCAAUCCUUUGAAAUUCUGUUUGGUUAAUUAGAAAUCUUAUUGGUAGAAUCUAUAACUUAAAUUAUUAUUGAAUUCCAAAUCCAUAUUAUUGAAAAAUUAUUGUUUUGAAAUUAUAUUUUACUUUUAGGCAUCAUUGAUUUCUUUUUGAACAAAUGAACAAAUAAUAGAUCCAUACAAAUACUGUCACAAAAAAGUAGAUUCUUGGUUACCUUGAAAAUAUUACCACAUGGAGGAAAGGGGAAGAAUAAAAGCUAUUAAUUGCUUCUUCCUUUAUGUACAUCUAUAUCCAGAAAACCACAGUAAGAACAUAACAGCAAUCUGUUUCCAAACUUCAAUUUGUCAUCACUUAUCAGAAGUAGUUCAAUGUACCAAAAAGAGUGUAGAAAUCAAAUAAAAGCAUUCACAAGUCUACUAUAUUACAUGUGACUUUCAGUUCAUGUAGACAAAAACAAUAGUUGAAUAAAAACUAUUUCUUCAGGAUUUGGAGAGGGAUCACCAUCACCACUUUUGUUAGAGAUCUGGAAAUGAUGCAAAGAUAAACUAGACCAAAUCAGCAACAACUGCUAGUGGACGCAUCAGGUUGUGGACGCUUCUCAUUAAAGAUGUUCUUUUUCACACCUUUGGAGCCCUCAGCCAGUAGACUGGGUGUAUCUAAAACCUGCAAAGGAUAACCAUACCCAUCAUCAUGCAAGCUAUUAGUCACUGCAUUGUAGAAACAAUUUAACAAGGGACAAAAAAAAAAGGCUAAUUGGACAGGAAAUUUUGUUCUCGAUAUCAAAACAUAGGCAGCAAUAACAUCAGAGUAACAACAUAUAAAUAACAAAGUAAACAAGUAUUUAGCAUCUUCUGUUCUGUACCUUUAGAACAAGCUCUUCGAAACAUUGCUGUACAUUGACGCGAGUUUUAGCACUGCAUUCAAUAAAGAGGCAUCCAUAUUCCCUAGCAAAGUUUAUGCCCUCCUUUUUUGUUACCACCCGAUCACUUUCCUGAAUAGAGGAAAUCCAAGCAUGCAUGAAACUUCCAUAAAAGAUGAUAUCAUCUCAAAUUUCCAUGCCCAACAAAUAAAAAGAAGCACUACCACUAUAAAGUGUCGAGUAUCAUCUAAGCGUCUACCAUGCAAUAAGUGACAAAGGAUGUCCAAAUCAUCCACAUUCUUAUGUCCAAUUCAAUUAUAUGCCAUAAGAAUGUCAUACUAGCCUCAGAACUUUGGCAAUUCAGAGUGCUUGUUUCACAGAACAAAUGAGGGCAAAAGGUUAUUUUCCUCUAGGGCAAAAGGUUAUUUUUUCCUUAAAAGUGAUAUUUGGUCGAAAUUCCAAUUCAGCAUACAAGCAAACCACAAUUUACAGCUACCUAGAUCCAACUUCUAACAUCUAGGCUUCCAAUUUUCUAAAAGUAUUGUGUUCUGAACAAUUCGGAGAAAUAUUGGAGAAUGAACCUAUAACAAUAAAAUUUUAAAAAAAAAAUCACGUGUUUUUAUUUAAUACCUUGUAAAGUGUCCUUUUCCCUGUAGAAGCUUCUAACUAUCUAUAUUAGUUUUAGAAAUUUACACCCUUAAAUUAUAAGGAGAGAAGGGAGAGGGGGGGCAUAGACAAUUCAGCCUUUCUCUAUUCCUCAAAGCAUUAUUGCUUGUAUGGAACCCAUAAACAAGAACAUUUAGUUAAAAACAAAACAAUAAACGAUAUGUAAUAUAGAGAGGAGGGGGGGGCUAUAACACAAAAUUUAGAACUGUCCCUUUUCAACAACAAAAUUAAAGCCAAAUUUAAACUGUAUCUCACAAGACAAGUGGUAAGCCUCCAUCAAAUUACCUUGUCAACCUUGUUUCCAACAAGCAGCUUGAUGCAAUCUUGAUUUGUUGAAUAUAGAUCAAUUUCCUUGGCCCAUAUUUCAGAAAGAUUGGUAAAUGUGUCUCGUCGAGUUACAUCAUAGACUGUUGCAAUUAAAAUAAAAUAAAAAAUAUUUAACAAGUUGAUUGAUUAAAAACAUGACAAUAACACCGCAGAAAUACAACCUACAAUCUCAGAAUUUCAUUGUUUUUUAAAUGGAAAUACCAGAAAGUUUCAAAGCUAGCUGAAAUAAUAAAAACAAUAAUUCAUCAAAAAGAUGGAGACUUUAAUCAGUUAAAAUAAAGUCUAACUCUCUGAUGAUGUUUUCGCUCCAUUUUGUAAAGUUUGAAUUAAAGUUAUGAGAGAAAGACUCAAAUAAAAUCAUAGUUCCAACGGAUACGAAAGAAAAAUGGUAGCAAUCAAUUGGAUGGUUGGUGAAACGGAAACCAUGAAGCCACAUUUUUUUUCCAGUUUUUCUUGCCAGAAGUUUAGUGCCUAUUUAUCCAAGAAAUCCAAAUACAUGGUGAACAGAUUAAGUUCAAAAGAAUAUCAUCUGUUUCAUAAAUCUAUGUGACUAAAAAGAAGUAGAUAGUACAUUUUGCAUGUAAGCCAUCAUAUGCAGUUCAGGCAAAGCAAAUGGCCCAACACAAUUGAACUUCUAAAUUCAAGGAACACCAUCUUUAAAACUUUGCAGUGAGGUUUUGCAUUAUAACAACUAUUAACUAAGCGAUUGUAAAUGUCAUGAAAGAUAGGGGAAAUACCCAUAACGAUCCCUUGGGCCCCUCUGUAGUAUGAACUCGUCAAUGUUCUAAAUCUUUCCUGACCAGCUGCAUGAACAAACAUUGAGCAUCAGAAGGCAUCGUUUGGCCAACUAAAGCUUUCUCUAAGGAGAAAGAGGUAAGCCAAAACUGUCAAGACUUGGUAAAACAACAUAAACAGGUAACAAAACUGUCAAGUUACUAGUAACAUUGCCUGCAACUACAUAAGCAAUUAACAAAUUUCAUCCUGCUAUUGCUAGCAAUGAGACUGGAAAGUUAUUUCAUAAUACUAUGCUACAUAAUUUAUGAGAACAUUAAUGCCAACAUCUGAAUUAUAACCAAUAAGCCACAGAACAAUAAGAUAAUACUGAUAAAGACUAAAUGUUUAUAGCAUAAGCAUUACUUUUAAAAUUGAAGUGGAUUGCAUGAGACAUAACAUGCAGGUAAAGCAUAAACAUAAAGCAGGCAAUUAAGAAAAAAUGAAACCGCAGACUAAGUGACAAACAACAAACAUGGGAACACAGUUGAAGUUACCUGUAUCCCAUAUCGCAAGUUUCAGCUUUUUCCCUCCAAUAUUCACAAAUUUUACUUUAAAAUCAACACCUGUGCAGCGAAGGAAACAGAAAAUAAGCUAAAAUCUCAAGAAACAGGGACUUGCAAAAUCAUGGCUUCAAAAUUCAAUUUUGAUGGUCAAGAGAGCAAAAUGCUAUAAUCUUGCCCCCGAAGCAAACAAAUUAUAUCUUAAGGAUUUGAUGAACAACAUGACAUAAACAAUUAUUCAAAUAUUAGAUCCAUUAAGCAUUGUAUGCAUGACUGAUUAGCAAAAUUUCACCGAAAGAUGAGAAAUUUAUAAAUCUGAACUCAAACACCUUCCUAAUUAACCGUUAAGUAGCAAAAUCAACUUCCAUCGCCAAUAGAAAGAAAGCACAAUUUUGAUUUCUUGCAAAUAGUUAUAGCACAAGCAAACAAUUUGAGGUCCUGGAUCUUAAUUUUCAAUCCACAGAAAGAAGUCUAAAAGAAACACCAAUUUGUAAAAGAAUGCUAAUCGGCAAAUAACCAUAGCUUGGAAGUAAAAUCAAAGCAUGAAAUCCUAGUACACUAGCUAUAUUUUUCAAUUCCAUAAUACUAAAAGUAGAUUACAGCAACCUUAAAAUCAACCAGAACACAUACGCGGAUGAAUAUUUGCAGUGCCCGUGCCACUUACCAAUGGUGGGGGAGAGAUCUUCAAAGGUAUCAGAUGUGAAACUCAAAAGGAGACUACUUUUCCCAACACCAGAAUCUCCGAUCAUUAACAACUUGAACAAGUAAUCAAACUCCGGAGAACUCGAACUGGAAUCCAUUAAAAUAUUAUCUCAACUAAAACCAAUAAAAUCUCAGCUCCUCCAACACCACAAUGUGCCCUAGGUCACCCUAUCAAAACACAAACCAAAUCACGGAUUUUAAACAAUACCUAACAGAAACCAAAUAAAUUCAAAAAAGGAAAUAAAAGCACAUUAUUGUAGAAUUGAAAAGUGUGAUCAAAGCUGGAAUCUUUUUCACAAUACAACACAUAAAAUAAAAAACCAAAAAAACAGCAGAUGCAGAAAUUCAGAAAAGAAGAUAUUUGAUACCAAAAAUAGAAAUCCCAAUUCAAAGCUAAGAAUUUCCAAAUCAUUAGAUUAAACAAAACAAAGCCAUCAGUACCCAAAAGCACAAAUCAAGAUUUGUGUGUGUGCGCGUUAUGCAUCAACAGAAAAGGAGAUUUGAAUGUACCUGAAAGGUAAUGGCUUCUGAAAAAAUUGUUAAAAUUCUGGCGGUGGGUUUGCAGAGAAGGAUAGAGAGAGAGAGAGAGUGCUCUGAGAAUUAUGUAAAGGAAUGUGAAAGAGAAGGGGAAUCCACAGUUAAAAGAUGAUGGAGAACCAAAAUAUAAUGUAGAUAUUUUUUUAAGCUAAACACGACUGUAGAAAUAAAAAAAAAAUCUACGAAUCAAAUUUUGCCAUACAACGACCUUAAAGGAUUUUUCUUUUACUAAGAAAAUUAAUUAUUUUAGUUUUUCCUUUCUUUUUUACCAUUAUAAUAAUGCUACAAGUAAAAUGCAUAGUGACAAGGGUUAUUUGGCUAUAUGAUCAAUGUACUAGAUCACGUGUUACAUUGCAGGCCGGUUUAAAAAAAAUUAGCACAAAAAAAAUAUUAAACAAUGACAAUAUUUUUAAAUAAACAAGAAAAAAUUGAUACUUAAUAAUUUAAUUGGAGCCAAUUAGUUGGAUAGUUUAAUGUAUUGAUUUAAAUUAUAGGUAAUGAUAAUAGAUAAACCAUAAAAAAAAUAUUUAGCAACAAUUCAUCGAUAUUAUACCUAGAAAAAAUAAAAAAAAUUGUUAGAAACUUAUUAUUACUUCAUUGUGGACAUCGUACAUCACAAAAAUAGUUUAUUAAGUCAAUUCAAACCUAAUUGUAAAAAUCUAGACGAAAACAUCAGAAGAAACUAUUUGGGUCUCUAAAACAACAUCCUAAAAAACCAAACUAAACAAAACAAAAUGAAAUGAGAAUUCGUCUAUAUUCAAUCAGUCAAUUCUAUUUUAUUAAAGAAUAAAAUUUACUUAAAAAUAAAUUUAAUAAAAAAACAACAAAUAAAAAAAUUUGAAGUACACAAUUAAAUAAAAAAUGAUAAAACCAAGGUCAUAAAAAGCAUGAAAAAAAUAGAGCUUAAUCUCUAAUUAAAUAAAUAUUAAAAGAUAAAAUCAAAAAAAUAUUAACUUGAAAAAAAUGUAAAAAUGGUCGCAUUGGAAAGACAAUCAUACCCUCAACCAUUAGCCUACACUCUCUUUUUUAAGGGCAAGAUGGUGAAUUCACUAUUCCCGUUUAUAGUGUAAUAAAUCUAGGGGAGCAGUAAAUUCAUCACCUCUUUUAAUUUUUUUUAAUAUCAAUUAUGGAUAUUAACUAUAUUUUGAUCAUGGGGAUAAUAAUAACAUCCUAUAUUUGACAAAUACGUUAUGCAAUCUAUAUUUAAUUUUGUAUCUUUGAUUUUCAUGUUUUUGUUCAAGUCAAUAAGGUCUUUCUACGAUCUUGUUUAUACCAUUUGAUAUAAAAAAAAUUGAACCAUUAGUCGAGAUUGGUCGAUAGAAUUCAAAAACAACAUUGUUUUUCUUAUUUGUUAGAUAUUUUACAUGAAAAUAAGAUUAAACUUGCUUUUAUUAAAUUAAAAUUUAAAACAAAAACUAAAAAGAAUCAAUAAAUAAUUGUGGAUGUAGACUCAUUGUAUUAUGGGAUGGAAUAGUAUAAUGACCGUCAUAGUGGUGUAUAGUUGUCUGGUUUGGUUAAGAGAUGAAACAUUAAAUACUUUGAAAAAGUAGGCAGUCAAGCAGCCUUUUUGGGUAAAAAGAUAGGGGAAGGUGAAUAGAGUAACCAGACGACAAGCUGUCUGGGUUUCCCUUUUUUUUUCUGCUAGUCAAAUCGAUGAUUUUUUUGGUCAAAUCGCACUAUUUCAAGCAUUAUUUUGACUUUUUAGGGUUUUAGUUAGGGAUUUGACUAAAAUUCAAUUUAGUCUUUCAUUGUUUUUUAUUUCUUUUGAUUACAUCUCUAAUUGACCUCAAACUUUUAUUUUAUGCAAUUUUACCCUUGUCAAACUUAAAUACCCACCCUGAAUCUUAGUGUCUUUUUUAUUUUGGUCCUUGACUUUAGAUUUAUGCAAAUUAAUCAUUAAACUUUCCAUUUUCUCCAAUUUCACCCAUGUUUUCAAAUGAAUUAAGUCCUUGAAGUUUAACUCCUUUUUCAAAAAGGUUGUUGGCUAUGAAUUUCUUCAAUUUAACCCUUAAUUGACUAUAAACUUUGAUUUUCUUGCAAUUUUACCCCUGAUUUCAAUCAAUAGACUUUGUAAAAAUUAAGUUUGGUUCUCUAAAAUUUCAAUCUUCUCAAGUAAACCCAAAUUGGGCUCCCAAAUUUAAUUUUUCACCAAUUAAGUCUCUAAUAAAAUUAAUUUGACCCAUAAAAAUAUAUAAUUAAGUCCUUGCACCUAAUUAAAUAUUUUAAUUUGACCCAUAUUAAUUCUUUAAAUUACACUUUUAAUUUGGCCCACAAUUAAAUCAAAUUGACCUAUUAAAAAUCUAAUUAUGUCCCUGGACUUAAUGUUUAUAUAGAUUCCUUGAAUAAUCAAUUAAUUUGAUCUUGAAUCUGCAUUGUCUCUCUAGUCUUGAGUACAAUGGUAUGAUUAGGCUUAUAAUUUUGUCGAAAACUCUAGCUUGAUUCUCACACGCACAUAUCUGAAACCCUCCCAACUUGUUUUUGCCAUGUCGCCAGUCUUUUUAUUUUUUAUGUUUAUACGAGAAAAACUGGUAAAUUUUGAGGAAGAACCAAGGAAUGAGUUAUGACAACGAUGACUUAUAGAAAAAAAAAACACAUGUCAAAAGAAAGUUGAAUUUCAAUAUAACUUAUUGUUAAAGGAUGAAAUAAAAAAAUGAUAAAAAAAGAAGAAGAUUUGAGCCAAUCCAAUUUAGCAUGAAAAACCUGAGACCCAAGUUGUGAGGCUAGGUCAUCUUCAUAGAAAGUAAAUAAAAAAAUCUCAUUUUCUAAUAAACCUAAUAUUGAAAGAUGAAAUUAAAAAAAAAUCGGUGUAAAAAAGAUAAAAAAGACUGAUGUCAACCCAAGUUAACAUUUUAUAAUCGUGACAUGGGUCAUAAAACUAGAAUUACUGCACUAGAAAAAUCAAGAAGUCUAAUUCAUAAUCAAUUCGAUGUUGAAGGAUAAAAUCGGAUAAAAAAAAUCAAUUUAAAAAAAAAGAAUCAAGGAAAAAAAAAGAAAAAAACAACAAUUAAGAGAAUAAAAACCAAAUCUGACAUAAAAAUAAAAAAUUGAUCUGUUGGGGAUUUGACUUUGUACGAUCUUAUCUCUCUGUAGUUUUUUUUAAGUGGUUUUGUGAUUAUCUUUAAUUUUUUAUAUAGGUUUAUCCCGAUCUCAAUGUCCAAAUCAUGAGUUUUCCAUAUUGCUUUUGAAUAUAAGGGUUUUUUAGAAUUAUUUUGUUUAUGUUUUAUUUUUCAAGAUAUUAUCCUAAAUCAUUUACAUAUAUAUUUUUUAUUUAUACAAAAAAGUUUAUUUUUUUAAAUAAAAAAAUAUUUAUUUUUCAAUAACAUUGUUGAUUUGUUCAGCCUUGCAUAUUUUUUAUAGGACACGAGUUUAUUCAUUUAUUUUCAUUUGUGUUUUUAGGUUAUGAGUUUUUUAUGAUGUAAAUUUAUCUUUUAUUGAUUUAAGUAAAUAAGUGUAGUGAACACAAUCAAAUGAAUAUAUUAUUUUAUGUGAUUGAAUAUCUUUUGGUUAUUGUCAAUGAAUUUUUUAAUUUUUUUACAUUAAUUGUUAUCAAUUUAUUUAGUUAGAUGCUUGCAUUGACUUUUUAAUUUACACUUUAAUUUCUUUAUGUUAAAAAACACAUUAAAACAACUAGUAUAUCCAAUAUUUUUUUUUUAAAAAAAACCAAUGAAGUAGCGCGAGUUAAAUGACUAAAAUACAAGUAAAAUGUGCAACUCUAUAAACAAGUUUUAGGCUUAAGGUUUAGGAUAAAUACUCUUUUAUUUUACCUUACACUUUGUAGUUUAUCUUUUUGUGGUGCUUACAUUAUCUUAUUAGUCUUUUUUUUUAAUUAUUAUAAUCUUUGUAAAGCUGUUUGUUUUUAAAUUUUAAAAGUAUUUUUAAAAAAAUUAAUUUUUAUUUCAUUUUUUUACUUCAGAUCAAUUUUUUAUAUUUUUAGAUGGUUUAUUUUAACGUGUUAAUAUUAAAAAAUAAAAAAUAUUAUUUUAAAAUAAUUUAAAAUAAUUUUUUUUAAAUAACUGUAACUAUAAUAUCAAAUAAACUGUCAAUCAUUAAAAAGUCACCUCAAUCAAUCAAGAAGACUUGUUGUUUAAUAGGCAUUACAAUCAUCCGAACACUUGAAAGCCACCAUCUGCCAUCCACCCGCUGUAAAAAGAAUUACAUCAUUCUUAAAGUUUCCUGACUUCAUCAAGAUGAAUAAUUUACUCAUUUUCUAUGGAUAAACUUGUAUUCCAGCUUGUAUAUAUUUAGACAAUGCUAACAAAAUCCAAAGAGAAUUGGUUUUUUUUUAAAUUAUUUUUUAUUUAAAAAUAUAUUAAGGUAAUAUUUUUAAUUUUUUUAAAAUUAUUUUUGAUAUCAACUCAUUAAAAUAAUCUAAAAAUAUUAAAAAAAUAUUAAUUUCAAGUAAAAAAAUAAAAUAUUUUCAAUUUUUUUAAAAUAAUUUUAAAAUGAUAAAAUAAACAGGAUUUAAGAGAAAAGGAUUGCGAGCUUCGAUGCUUGUUGCUGUGAUGGUUAUAUGAAAACAAUAUAUAUAUAUAUAGUGAAAUCUACUAUUACUCGCAUAAAGUUUUCAUUUUAGAUUAAUUGGUCAUUAUAGUUUAAGGUUUUUAUAUUUUUAUUUUAUUUUUUAUUUUUUUUACAUUUCAAUCUUUAAUUAUUAAAAAUAAAAAAGAAAGUUAUCCAAAAACAAAAAAAUAAAAAUUCUUUAGAUCAACCGGCCAUAAAAAAAAAAAAAAGUGUCAGUGAAUUCCUGUCUACAGUACAAGGGAACCACACUCUCCAAUUGAAUUGAAUGAGUCAUCGUGUGAUAUGACACCAUUCUUGAAUCAUGGCAUUUUGGAGCCUUAUCGGAAGUCUGGAAAUCUCACCAGGGAAGAAAAAUAUCUCACCGCAUACAUUUCAGCUGGUCAAGAAGAUAAAUAAAUUCAAUCAAUUUCAGCCAUCAUUGGUGAUCUCUAAGUUGCGAGGAAACUCUGUUUUUCUCUAUUCAUUGCUUUGUAUCCAUAUUUUAUAUGAAUGGACUUCUUUAUUUUUUUCAAAAAAAAAAGAAAAAUUGAAAAAGGAAAGAAAUAUCGAAUAUGAUCUCAUUGACUAAUAUAUAUAUAUGCCACCAGCCUGGACACCCACGUUAAACAAAAAACAAAAUUAUUGAUGCAACAUUGGUAUUUUUAAAGAAGUAAAAAAUUUAAAAUUUGAGUAAGUGAAAGAGAUUACUUAUAUAAUCAUUACGAAGACCCAAAAAAGAAAUAAAAAAUCAUAAAUUAAGUAUCUUAUUUUUAUAUUUAAUCAAACAAAAUAAAUAAAUUUAACAAAGAUUAAUUUUUCAAACCUGUAAUUUGUUAAAUUUUAGAUUUGGGUUCAACUAAAAAGUUUAAUAUCCAGCUAAUUUAGUUAUUAAAAUUGGAUUAAAAAAAUUAAUGAUGAAAAGAAUAUAUGGAGAAUGAAACUGAAAAAAUAUAUUAUUUUAUAAAUUAUUUUAAAUAAAAUAAAUAUUAAUAAAAAUAAAUAGCUAAAUCUAAAAAAAUAAUAAUUAAAGGAUUGAGGUCGGCAUACUUUCUGAUGACGAGAGAGUGAAAAAAAGAAGGUCAUUGUCAGUGAAGCAGGGGCGAUUAAAAGCCACACGCAUUGUUUGGGUAAAUAGAGGCCAUUGAGGGGAUUCUAUUGCCGCCCUCCCAAUUAAUCAUUUAAAUAAUAUAUAUAUUUGUUAAAAGAUGUAUAGACCCUUCCAUCAAGUCAAUUAUUACCCAAUAACCAAAGGAAAAAAUAAAACAAAUGCCCCUGCAUGUCAUUUUCUUUUCUCGCUUCCAAGAGCAACUUCGAUAAACUUGAAAAUACAAAAAUAUUAUCAUUUUGCUUUCAAGUAUAAAAAGAUCAUUAUUCAACUAUGAAAAUAAAAAAGAUGUGCAGACGAAUCAGCCCCUAAUUAACUCGGUAAUGCUUAAUUAAUCCCCAUAAAAAGACAAAACUACCCUCUAAGCAAGCCAAAAACACCGAACACUAUAUGAAAAAUUAAUAUGUUUUUGGUGUUUUGAGAUAUUUUAAUGUGCUGAUAUCAAAAAUAAUUUUUAAAAAAUAAAAAAUAUUAUUUUGAUAUUUUUCUAAGUAAAAAAUAUUUUUAAAAACAACCACAACCACACUUUUAAAUACGCUAACCAAUCCCAAUUACUAGCAGUCAACAAUAUUAAUUAAAAAAUAAUGCAUCUGCUCCCUUGAACCACCCCCAUUAAAUUAAUAUGACUAUAUGAUCGAGCUUCUUUAUGAAAUCUCAAAGUUGUCAAAUCAUUUGCAUGUCGUUGAAACUUCUCUUUACAUAUAAAAUACCAAUUUCCUAUAUAUAUCAAAGUUUUUAAUUGGUUUUAGAUCAAGGGUCGGGUAUGCUAAUUUAGAUUAAUUCAGGUAAAUUUAAAAUAAUUUUAUUUUAAUUAAAACUAUAUCUUUUAAUUAUUUUUUAAAAAAUUCAAAUUAUAUUUUUAUUAGAUUAAUUGAGAAGUUGAAUUACGGUGAUAAAUAUUAUAUCAUUGCAAAAAUAAAUAUUAUAUUAAGAUUUAGGUUGAAUUAAACUUAAUGAUAUUUAUUUUCACUUGAAAUGAUAAGUAGCACAUUAAGAAGAUGUUUGGGAACGCGGUGUAAAUCGUGUUCUUAAAAAAUUUAAUUUUUUUUUGCUAAAAUUUAAUAUGGUUUGUACGUUUUGGAUCGUUUUGAUGUGUUGAUGUCAAAAAUAAUUUUAAAAAAUUAAAAAAAAUCAUCGGUAUGCAUUUCAGUACAAAAAGUUAUUUGAAAAGCAACCGCUACCACACUGCCAAUCACCCUCUAAGUCUCUCGGAUUCCUCCUCUUCUCUUUAUCUCCCAUCUCUUCAGAUCAAACUGGCAAAUAAAAAGGUCAAUAAUAUUGGCGGCCCUGAUCGCUUGAUGAAAUGAGUGGUUGGAAAGGGUUGAUCAAGAUCAACAGGUGAGAUCUACAGGUCCAGGCAAUCAAAUUAGAGCAUCAAAUUAAAGAAGGGCACAAGGAGGAUAGAGCCUAGAGGACAUUAGAUUUGCUGGACAAAAUCAAAAGGGAAUUGGUUAUUCACUAUCAUGUAACAGUUGUUAAUCCUAGCUCGAGUAGGUGAAUUAUCUUGAAAAAUUUGGACCGUUAGCCCGACUAAAACAAGGUUUUUUUUGUGUGUUAAAUUAGAUAAAAUAUUGACUCAAUAAAAAUAGUAUUUGAAAAUAUAGUAAUGGUUGUUUUUUAAAUAUUUUUCACUCAUAAAUAUAUCAAAAAUAAUAUUUAUUUUUUAUUUUUUAAAAUUUAUUUUUGACAUUAGCAUAUAAAAACAAUCCGAAAACUUCUAAAAAAUUAAUUUUAAGCAAAAAUAAAUAAAUUUAGCAAACCUUUAUUUAGGCUGCAAUCCCAAACGAGGGUAAAACUUGGUUGAAUUCACCUGUUUUUAUUUGUUUAACCUGAUCAAACUUUGAUGAAUCAAUAUCAAUAAAAAAAAUAAAACAACAUCAUUUUAAUAAAAAAAAAUAGUUGAUUGGGUCAAUGAUUCAAUGACCCAUGCUAUUUCCAAGCUAGUAUACAUGUUGGCUCUCUAACUAUAAUGUUCAAGCCACAAGAAGUUCUUUGAUGGUGUCAUUAAACUCGGCCAGUGAGGCAACCUUGAAACUUUUAAAUCCGAUUUCUUUUCUAGUUUGAGCUUUAAAUUAAAAUGUCUAAAAGUUUUCCUGACAUGACAAGUUGAUUUGACUUGUUUAAAAAAACCCGGAUGACAGGUAAAAAUGUGAUUUGGAUUUAUAUAAAAAAAAUUCAAGAUGAUAUUUUUUUUUUGAUAUUAAGACAGAGAUCCUUUGGAUCGAUUUGGGUUUCAUGACUUAAUUCGCCAAAUUAGCGACCCGAGUCAUGGACUCUAUUGGGUUCAAUAACUGUUUUUUUUAUUUAAUUAUAAGAUAACAAAAAUAGACGUUUACAAAAUUAAGCACCUACCAAAUAUUAGAACAUUUACUUGAUACAAUGAUAAACCUAGAGAAAGCAAACCAAAAUAAAAUAAAAAAGAACUAAAUAUUGAAUGAUAAAAUUAAAAAAAUAAAUAAAAGAAAACAAACGAUAAAAACCAUGAUGGUAGGUCGUGAUUAGCUAUCGACGGUUUCUCUACCNNNNNNNNNNNNNNNNNNNNNNNNNNNNNNNNNNNNNNNNNNNNNNNNNNNNNNNNNNNNNNNNNNNNNNNNNNNNNNNNNNNNNNNNNNNNNNNNNNNNACAUCAUAAAACCUUCAUAAACACUCACUAUUCUAAAACACCUCAAAAUCAAUAAACUACUCACUAUCCCUAAUUUGAUUCACUUUUUGAUGCAUGUUUUUUUUAUUAAAAAAAUAUAAUAAUUGAACUUCACUUGUCGAAUAAAACUCAUUAACACCAAGCACAUUAAGUUUCAUUACUGAAAAGUGACAAUUCAUUAACUUUCUCUUUUCUUUGUUGUUUUUAGAUGAUUUUCUUUCUUCUUUCUUAAACUCAAGAACUAAAAUGUUAAAAAAGUUACCUUUUAGACUAAAAUUAAAAUUGAAAAAAUAAAAGGACUGGAUAGUAAGAAAAAGAAAAGUAGGUGAAAUACACAUAUGUUUUUUAGUAAAAUUGAGAUUCACCAUCAGAUCUCCUUUGUUUAUACUUUGAUUUUUUUAGUUGAAUUUUUUCUUAACAAAUUUUAACUAAUUGAUCAAUUUGGACACAAAAUAUUGUAAUGGUAAAUAAAAGGUUUCAGGAUGGAAAAAAAAAAAGUAUUGAGGAUUGCUACAGUGAUUUACUAAUUAUUUUAGUAUAUUUUGGAAUGUAAUGUAAUUGUAAUGUGUAGUUUAAUUGUAGAGUCAAAGGCUGGAUGAUAGUUUUUCCUAAGUUUCCAUGGAAACAGUUUUUGUUUCACAAGCACAUUAGGUACGUAAACGGCUAUAUAUGGCUGUUAUUUUCUUUUCAAAAAAUCCAAAGGCAUCCCUAGAAAUCAUCCAUUUAUUAUCUUAAUUUGGAAUUGAGCUCAAAUACAAAUAGUAAUAAUUAAAUUCUUCAUAAUAUAAUAUAACUUUUUUAAUUAUCGGAAGAUAUAUUCAAUGAUCUUAUAGCUAUAUACAAAGCAUAGCAUGUCUUUCUAUAUUAAAUUACUUCUGAAAAAAUUAAAAUCAAACCCAUUUUACUGAAGAAAAAUUUCGUCUGGUAUCUAUAAAAUGCAAAUAAGAUAUAUAUAAUCCCCUUUAUUAAAGCACAAAUUAUUUUUACAGUUCUUUAUGAAACUAAAAGCAUAUCAUCACUUACAACGUAAACAAGAAGCACCAAUGUGAAGCAUGGUAAUUUCAAGACCUCCAAAUUAAGGCAGGAAUAUUUUAUGGAAAAAAAAAAAAACAGAAAACUGUAAGAAUUAAGAUCUAGGCUUCAAACUGCUCCAUCUGGACAUCCUUGGACUUGAGAGGGAUAUAUUCCCCAAGAUAAACUUCAAGGUGGUCUGACAAGGAGGACUUGUCAAUAUUCUCAUGGUGAUAGGAUUUGCAGACAAAGUAGAGAACUGUUUGGAUGACAAGGCCGAAGAGAAUCACCUUAAACAGCAAUAACAAGCAAAGUAAUCCCAUUCCAAUUCUGAUUUCCAUUGUCCACUCAAGAACCACAAAAGUCUCGAACAGGAAUUGAAUUCCCACAAAACAUAUUCCAACCACAAUAAAAAUAGCAACUGCAAUUCCCAUCUUGCCUUUUAUCAAUUCCCUGCUCUUCAUCAUGGCUUUAAUCCCAUAAAAGUCUUCUAAAACAGAAAUCACACUCGCCAGAUGCCAAACUAUGGUGAUAUACAGUAACCCCGCAGAAUAUAAGAUAACAAGAACAACGAGAAACAAGAUCCUGAAGCCAGCUGCAGGUACAUGGUUGAUAAGUGUAAAAGACAAAAUGAUCAAAACCACUAUGGAAACAAUGUUAUAGAGCACAACAACAGCAAAACUCCAUAUAAAGGUGACCAUGAGUCUCUUCCAGACCUUUGGCACAACACUCAUGAUCUUCUUGAAGGUGAUUGGCUUGGCAGUGUAUAUGCAAGCUAUGGUAUAAACAACUGCAGAUGUGGAAAGAAGGGAAAAGAUUAGAAGGAAAGUGAAGUAUGCAAACUUGAAGAGCCAGAAGGCAGUCCAUUCCGCGGAGAUGGUAUCAGAGAGUUUAUCAUGUUUUGGCGUGCCAGAUUGGGUGAAGUCUAAGGUAUCUUGAUUGUCAAGGAUCUUGAAGAAAAUCAUUUGGGAUAUUUGCAUAUGAGCUAGGAAGAUGAAGGAUAGUGGAAGGAUGAGAGCUAGGGUUAUCUUGCUGAAGAUUUUUCUCCAUGUCAAGAUGAUCUUGAAGGAUUCUUUGAAGAUGCCAAAGAACCCAAGAAACUGGAGCUCCUCUUGUUCUCUGUCCAUGAUUUUUUCCCUCUCCUUCUUCACAAAGAAAUGGGUGAUGGAGGGAGGCAUUGAGUUGUUGCCUAGUUGGCAUUAAAAGGUCGAUUUCAGAAAACAAGAGUGGACUUUCAUUUGACAAAUUGCCCAUGGUCUUCCUCAUGAAUUACUUGUAAAACAUUAUAAUAUUGAUAAACUUUUGGAGGGUAAUGAAGGGAUUAUGAGAAUUAUAUUAUCGGGUGAUAAUUGGCUACGUUGCAAUGGCAGACACAUGGUGUUAAUUUUAAGCUAGCCAGUCACCAUCCAAUGAAAAUUGUGGGCACCUAUAAGCUGGAAAUUUUAGAUUAAAAAUAAAUUAGCAGUUAAUUAUCAUUUUUGCUUAAGCUUAAACGCAUCAUUUGCUGUGUGUUAACCAAUAGAAUCAUUUGAUAUCUUUCUUAAUUAUUUGAAAUUAAUUAAGUCUAGUUAUAAUUAAUAGAAAUGGUUAGAAGGGAGUUAAAGAUGAAACAUCACUAUAUAUGUGUCCAUGUCGAAUUACAACAAAUUAAUAAUAUUAGCAAUUCACCCCUACAUAAUCGAUAAAUUAAUUAUUCAAGACUCAAAAGCAGGACAUUUAUAAAGUCUACCCGGCGUGGACUUACAAAUGAAAAACCAGACGAGGAAGAUUCCAAUCCAAUCUAGGGCGGAAGAUUCCAAUCCAAUCUAGGGCGUUCUGAAUUCCAAUUUUCUUGCGAACAAUAAUCCACCGUACGUCUUUCGAAGGUGGAUUCCAUUAAGAAAACAUCCUUUUGCAAUAGUAAGAAAGGGGUUUUAUCGUUAUUUGUAGAAAAAAAAUAAUGCAUUGGCAGGCAGAGUCAAUUUUACUACUUUUCAUUUUAAAUCCACUGUAAAAUCAUCAUAAUAUCCUUGAGUUAAAAUUAUCUUUGCCUUGGGUCAAGUGUUUUUUUCUGUCCUAUUCGCUUGUUUUUAUAAUUAUAAUUAUUAUGUUUAAUCAGGGGUAAUUUAAUAUUUAGGAAUGUAUAAAAUGUUAUUUACAUUAAAAAAGUUGGUUGCGUGUGUCAUUCACGUGGACGUGGGUGGGUGCUCCCGCUCUCUUCAAACGACGCAUACAACGUUGCUCUGAGGUCAAAAUCCAGCUUUCACGAUUAUAUUUUAAUCCUCAUAGCGUCAACUUCAUUACUGGAUAAAUGCUGGGUUUUGCACCCCUUACCAUUUCUUCUUUUCCUUUUUUCUUUCAUCUCUUCUUGAUUUCAGAGGCUUCCCUUGUAUAUUUUCAAAGCAGCCUUUGAUUUUCUUUUUAUUUUAGAUUUAAUCUCUAUUCCUUUUAUUACAAUUCUUUUUUUAAAAUAAUCCAUAGAUUUGAGAUUUUCUUUUGAUUUAACAUUUCUUUGAUUUUUUUACCUUUUAGAUUUGGUUCUCAUUCUUUUAAUUGUUAUUCUUUUAAUCACUAUCUUAAUUAAAUUAUCUUUUCAAUUGUACCCCUCAAUAGUUUAUAUCAUUCUCUUAAUUGAAUUAUUUUUUCAAUUGCAUCCCUCAUUAUUUUAGUUCAUUUUAUUUUAUAUCAGAUUUGGUUCUUAUUCUUUUUAUUGCUAUAUGGUUUCUUUUUAAUCCUUUUUUAUUGGGACUUUCUUUUUUGAUUCCACCAUUCAACAUUUUAUUGAUUGGAAUUUCUUAAACAUUUUGGGUCACGGGUUUGAAUGAUUAGACCAGGUUGGCUUAGAUCUUUUUUUGAAGUCCUUUUUUAUAAUUGAUUUUUUUUUAUUCUAUCAUUCUAUGGGGUUAUCCUGAUCUCGUGUUAACCCAGUUUGACUCAGCCCAAUAUUAUGUUUUAUUUGUUUGUUUGUUUGUUGUUGUUUUCAAUUUUUUUUAAUCAUAUUAUCAAAUUAAUCGAGAUUUAACCCAAGUCUUGAAUCUUUCUUACUUCUUUAAAAACAUUAUCGUCACCUAAACAUUUUUUUUUUCGCAUUGAAAAUAAGUUUGGUCCAGCCAACAACAUAGGGCAGACCACCAAUCUAGUAAACAAAGCUAAAUGAGGAGGGGAAAUCAUUCUUCCCCUUCUCACAUGUAUUUUUUUUCUUUUUCCUUUUGUUUUCAUUUACAUCUUUCAAUUAUUGAGUUUAUUAGAAAUUGAAUUUUGUUAUUUAUAUUGGUUUUCUUUAUACGAGCUUAUCGUGGUCUCGAAAAAAAUAUCCUGACAUUAGGUUUACUAUCAUCUAUUUUCUUACCAUAUUAUUAAAUAAAAAUUGUUAAUUAAUUAUUAUGAUCUGGACUUCAUGAUUUAUUUCGAUUUACUUUUUAUAAGAUCAUCACAAUCUUAGAAAAAUGUAUCGGCAUUGGGUUGGUUCUCGGUUUUUUUAGCAUUUAUUUAUUUUUUAUAAUUUUUUAUUAUCAAGAAAAACAUAAUUAUUAGAAAUUAGACUUCACGAUUUAUUUUAAUUUAUUUUUAUAGGGUUACUAUGACCUUAGAAAAACAUCUCAUUAUUGAGUUAAUGCUUAUUUUUGUAAGUAUAUAUUACUUUAUCGUAUAAUUAAAUAAAAAUAUUUUCAUAAAAAAACAAAUAAAUUUAUUAAAUUCAAUGGAGUUUAUAACUUAGAUUAAGAGUAGGUUUAUCGGAUUGAUCCAAUAUAUUAUUAUUUUAAUAUGUUUUUUAAAAAAUAUAUCUUAAAAUUAAACCGCAACUGGGAUGGACCAAGAUAUGAUACAAUAAUAUAAUAUAGAAACACAAGGAGAAUCGAGAUGAUCUCAUUGAUAGUUUAUUUGUUUAUUUACAAUAAUACCUAAAUAAUCAACAAUGGACCAUCCCGCAACACACUCUGGGAUGCUUGGCUAGCAUGACUACAUAUGGUUUUAAGACCUCUAGAUAAAAUAGAAAGGAAGAUCUAGACUUGCAAUUGCUCCAUUUGGACAUCCUUGGACUUCAGAGCAACAUACUCCCCAAGAUAAACCUCAAGAUGAUCGGACAAGGAGGACUUGUUGAUAUUCUCAUGGUGAUAGGAUUUGCACACAAAGUAGAGAACAGUUUGGAUGACAAGGUCGAAGAGCAUCACCUUACACAGCAAGAAGAAGCAAACUAUUCCCACUCCAAUUCUGACUCCCAAUGGCUUGUGCAAAACCACAAAAAUCUCGUAUAGCAGCUGAAUUCCCACAAAACAAACUCCAACCACAAUAAAAACAGCUACUGUAACUCCCAUCUGGCCCUUGAUUAGGUUUUUGCUCUUGAUCAUGGCUUUAAUCCCGUAAAAAUCUUCUAAAACAGAGACCACACUAGCCAGAUGCCAAACUAUGGUGAUAUACAACAUCCCCACGGAAUAUAUGAUGAUAAGAGCAACAAGAACCGCAAUUCUAAAUCCGACUGCAUUUACGUGAAAAACAACUUGAGUCCACAAGGUUAAAAACACCACAGCUGCAAUGAUGUUAUAGAGCACAACAACAAGAAAACUCCAUAUAAAGGUGACCAUUAGUCUCUUCCAAACCUUUGGCACAACACUCAUGAUCUUCUUGAAGGUGAUUGGCUUGACAGUGUAUAUGCAAGCUAUGGUAUAAACAACUGCAGAUGUGGAGAGAAGGGAAAAGAUUAGAAGGAAAGUAAAGUAGGCAAAUUUGAAGAGCCAAAAGGCAGUCCAUUCCGCGGAGAUGUUAUCAGAGAGUUUAUCGUGUUUUGGUGUGCCAGAUUGGGUGAAGUCUAAGGCAUCUUCACUGUCGAGGAUAUUGAAGAAAAUCAUUUGGGAUAUUUGCAUAUGAGCUAGGAAGAUGAAGGAUAGUGGAAGGAUGAGAGCUAGGGUUAUCUGGCUGAAGAUUUUUCUCCAUGUCAAGAUGAUCUUGAAGGAUUCUUUGAAGAUGCCAAAGAACCCAAGAAACUGGAGCUCUUCUUGUUCUCUGUCCAUGAUUUCCCCCCCCUUCUUCACAAAGAAACGAGUGAUCGAGGAAGAGAGAUGCUGGCAUUGAUAAGGGUAGAUGGCAGGCUUUAAUUUGAUAGAUUGCCCCUGGUCUUCAUAUGAAUUACUCAUAAACCAUUAUAGUCGAGAAAAACUUUUGGAGGGCAUUGAGAGAAUUGUGAGAUACGUUUUAUUAGGUAUGGUGACAUGACAUAACAUGACAACGAUGACAUAUUCAUAUUAUCAUUAUAUUAUAUGUUACUCCAACACAUAAAAAUCAUAUCAAAAAUAUUAUUUUAAUAUAUUUUAAAAUAAAUUUUUUUUUUUUAAAAGUUAUUUAUACUUCUAAACACCACUAAAUAAAUAUCAAAUGAAAUUCAUCAAGAUAUGUAUUGUGAAAUAUCUAAUAUUAUUUUGCUUGAUUUAUAAUAACUUUAUUUGUAUAUCUAUUUUUUUGUCCUUAGGUCCCAAAAAGAAACGCUUCACCGCGUUAUCUUCAAGCUAAAAAGAAACUUUAUAAAUGGGAAUAACGCGUCUUGGAAACAUUUUCUAUUUCAUGAUAAUGAAUUUCUAUUUCAUGAUAAUGAAGGAUUUGGGGGUGAAUUUCUAUCUCCUAACUCGGAAGGUGGAAACUUUCUCUUCGCUAGCUUGUUAGUCUUCGCAGAGGAUACUAAUGAAUGAAGUAAGUUUCCAAGCAAGCCAGUGAGCUUGACUUCCAAGUCUUCGAGUUUUAAUAAUGUUGACUGGGUGUUUUCCAUCUUGAAUUUGGACAUACUUUUCGGCCUCCCCCACCUCGGCAGACGGGACAAUUUUCUGCUCUUAAACUUGAGUUAAAGCCAAGUUAUAUGCCUGAAAUCUAAAAAAAAAACCAUAAAAUUAAGUUAAAGACAACUUCUAUUACAAAUCCAGAGAAAGACACCCCGAAAAAGCCUUUGAACUGAACUUUUGUUUGUCCCAUUUUCCACAACUUGAACCAGUUCCUCCUUCAAAGUUCAGACAUGAACCUUCUUGGAUAUGUGGGCUGCCGAUCCAUUGCACAAAUCCUAGCCACCGAGCUAGCUGGGUUUCGCAUGCAAAUUUAUCUUAUAUACAAAGUAUAUACAAACCACAUGUAAGAGAAUGCAUUGCUAUAAACCUGGCCUGACUUUAUUGCUUAACUCGACAAACUUGGAUGAUUCGGAAAACUCGUAAUUUAUAGUCUGAAUUGUGUCUCCUUAGUUAAUUUUAUCGUUUGUAACUCUUGUGUGGCUUUUUUUUUUUAAUUUAGAUUUUAAAUUAAAUGAAAAGUUAUCUUGAGAUAACAUUAUCAAUUAGAUAGGUUAAAAAACAAAAAAAUCAAAAGAAAAAUAAAGAAAUAAGUCACGCUAACUUAAUUAACCAAUUAAACUCGUAACCUUAGUUAUGGACUCCACUAGAUUGAAUUAAUUUUUUUAUCUUAUUAUAUGAUAAAAAAAAUAUAAAAAUCAAUUUAUUACCAAUCUAAUAUUGAAUGAUAUAAUUUAAUAAAAAAAUUCACACUAAAUAAUAAAAUCCAAAAAAAUAAAAAAAGAAACCUCAUAAAACAAAGCCUAGAAGUGUGGGCUAGAGGGGGGUUGUAGGCCUAACCCGUUAUUUUUUUUAUAUAUAUAAAAAGUGGAUGAUAACACCCCUUUUUUUUUUUGAAAAAAAUUUACAUAGAAGACAUGUCUUCAUGAUCGAACCUAGAUAAUUCGACGGGUUGACUUAACAUAUAGCGUGUAUCUAUAAAAGUAAACACAAUAUUGUUCCCAACACGAAUCAAACUUGCGACCUUAGACAUAAAAGAAUGAGGAUUUAAUUUGACAUAAACAUAAAAUAAAAUCAAUUAAGAAAAGGAUUCAAAAUAAAAAAAUAAUAAUACAAAAAAUAAGAACCAAAUCUGAUAAAAAAAAUAAAAUGACUUGACACAUUGUAAUUUUGGUAGGUUGACGCAAAUCUUGAAAAAAGAAAAGGUUGUUGAAGCUAAUUCUUCGUCUCUCCGUCACCGACACACGUUGGACCUUCAAGUGCGCUGCUUCAAAAUCAAUAGUUGACAACGACUUCGAGGGCGUUUGUUUGCGUGGUUGCUUCUGUGUUUGAAGCAACCACAGCAAACAUAAUGUUUGGUUCCACUAAAAACGCAAUUUAAUUUUAGUGGGUCCCAUGCAAUUUCACAUUUUGGACGCGAAUUUUGCAAAGCAGCUUAUAGCUGCUUUGCAAAAUUCUGUGUUUAUGUGCACAGUGCAAUUCACUUGCACUGUUCGAGUGAACUUCUUCUUUUUUUUUUUUUUAGUGUGUUUAGUUUUUGUAUUUUUUUAAAAAAACUAGUUUAGAAUGAAUUAAAUUUACUCGCAUUGUCAUGUAAAUAAUAUUUUUUUUCCCGAAAAACUAGUGUAGAGUGAAUUAAAUUCACUCGCACUGUAAUAUCAAAUCAAUUUUAUUCCUGAUAAUAUUUUAUCUAAUUUUAUUACACGCUCAAAAAAUAAUAGAAACUGUAAUUCUUGUCGAAUGAAUUUUGUACGUAAUGGAAUUGUAGAUGGUUUAAUGGCAUAAUAAAAAAUAUUUUAUAUAAAGUAUUAUUUAUUUCAUGAAGUAAUAACAAUAGUUAAAUCUACAACAUUUAAAUUAAAAACCAUCAAUUUUAAUAUAUAUAUUUUAAAAUUAUUUUAUAACUUUAAUUUUAAAAGCAUUCUUAACCAAACACAUUAAACUACUUUUUAUUCAACCUCAAUUUCAACUACAGUUUUAACCAAACAUCUAUUUUUUCAAACCAACCUUAAUUAAAAGUACUUUUUAUAAAACAACUUUUUUCAAACCACAACCACAACAGCAACAGCAAUACCAAACACACUCGAAUCAUCAUACACGCUGGGGAGUGCGUUGCAACACCAACAAAUAUGUCCUGCCUAUUCUUUUAAGUCACUAGAAUUGUUUUGGUGUCAAAUUAGGUCCCUCAAGCCUCAAUUGCUUUGUAUUAAUUAGGUCCCCAUGUAUAGCAACGGAAAAAAACUACUAAGUAUAAUUAAAAAAAGCCUCAAUGUGAGAAGACCAGAUUGAAGAAAAAAUCAGGGGGCAAAAAAAGAUGGGGUUGAAUAUCUCCCUUGCUUGUGUAAUGUAGUCCUUGAUGCUUGCAGGAAAUAGGAGCUCAAUACUUGUCCAAUGUUUAAAUUCAGUCCCCAUUAUUUUAAUUGUUUUAACUUAAUUUAAUUUUUUUAAAUCAAACAUUGAGAGUCAAUUUUCUUUCUUGACAUUGCGAGUAGUCAAUAUCAAACUAAAUAAAAUAAAUAAUUAAGUUUAAUUCUCAUCAUAUCUAAUAUAAUAUGAUCAAACCCCGGAAAAAAAUACUAAAAAAAGGGAAAAGUUGUUUGCAUCCAUAAUAUUUCAUCACGUCGAGUAUAGUGAGUGUAGUAUAGUUUUUUUUUUAAUUAAACUAUAAAAAAUAGCAAACCGAAGAAAAACCUUUAAACUAAUAGGUCAAUAGUUGAAAUAAAUUUCUUGCAUUUAAACUUUAAACUUUAUUAAACUAUUAUUUUUUUAAAAUUCAAAUUUUAAGACUAAUGUUUAGAAAAAAAAUAUUUAUUUAAAUAUAUCAUUAUGAUAUGAGAGGUGUAUUAUCAAAAUUGUUUAAAACAGAAUUUAGUCAUGAUUACUACACAAAUUGUUCCAAAAAUAACCCUUUCUAUAUUAAAAAAAACCAAACAUUCUGAAUUAUCGAAUAAAAAAACAAAAUGCAACAAGCUUUCAAUUUAGAUAUUAUCUUUUUUAUUUUCCUUUCACGUAAACAAUAUUCAAAGCAUCAAUCAAAUAAAAAACAAAACUUCCUGUCUUUGCUUGGCUUGCAUUGGUAGGCAAAGUGGAUAUCCUCACGCAUCUUGGCAGACAGUGCUAUCAUCAUUGUUAUAUUUACAUGUAAGUCCAAUAGUAAAAUCCAAUCCUAAGUGGAUUCAGAGUAAGGUACGAGAAGAGUUUACUUUAAACAUUUUUUCUUAAAGAAUCAAAACUAUACUGUUUUGAUAAAAAUAUUUUCAAAAAAAAAUUAUCAGAUUGAGAAUUGGUUUCUGGUUGGGUUAAACCCGGGUUAAUCAUAUCAAUAAGUUAAUUUAGAAUUUUACUGAGUUAACCAAGUUUUUUUUUAUUCAAUUUAAACCGGUUUAUAUCACAAGUAGACCGACAAGUACUAUAAUUAUAUUAAUACUGUAAUUUUUAAUUUUUAUUUAAUUUAAAUUGGUUUAUAUCACGAGUAAACCCGACAAGUAGUUAUAGGUUUUACUACAAUCAUAUGAAUAAAUUAGUCUAAAUUUUUAUUAGAAGAAUCAAGUUUUUCUUAAUUAGAACUUCAACCGCAAAAUAAACAAGUCACCAGCACAUCACGGCCCACCUUGGGAUUUUCAUCAAUCACAUGGUCCCACAUUCUAAAUCAUGACUCUCCACGUGUCCCAUGCAUACAACCUCUCAUUGCGCCUCACACACAUGACAACAAAUCAUCUUCUUAGAAAGAAAAAUGCAAUCAACUCCCGUGAAUAGCGGCUUCUUGUCAAACCACCUUCCAUAAAAGGGAGACCAGUGAGAAGCCAGAAAGCCGUUUCAGUCCCUAAAUUAUUUUCUCUCUCAAGGAAACCCCACCACACAUUGCGUGGCAACAUUGUAGUGGAUGAUUAAUAUUUAAUUAUGAGAAUAAAAGAAAUUUUUUUGAACUGGACCCAGAAGCUGUAAGUACUUACAUCACAACGCAGACUUGCUGUUUCUACUUCUAGUAGUCUUAAAACACGCCACCACCUCUUCUUCCUGCGCGCGCGCGCACAUAGAUUUCCUCCUCCUCGUUCUCAGUCCCACAUUCCGUGUUUCAUUCGUUGUACAGCUGCCGCCUCUCCAGCACACGGUGUAAGAACACUGGGAUUCUUUCUUUAUUUGCCAAAAAUAAAUUUCUUUGUUUUUUUUUUGAUAUUCUUAGAAACACACUCUUAUUUGCCAAAUAUACAUUUUUCUUUUCAAGAAAUCAACCAAGAAAAGAAAUAAUAAUUCCUUGAAACCUUUGAUUUUUUCUUUUCUUUUAUGGGGGUUUGAAUGCAAUAAUUUGCAUGCAUGUUAAAGAAGAUGGAUUUUGAUGAGAAACAAAGUUUUGGUUUUGGUGGUAAUGCAAUGAUAGCUAAGGUUUCAAGAUUUUCUUGGUCACCAUUUCUUUUCUUGAUCACACUUAUAGCUCUUUUAUCUUUUCAAAUCACAACCAAGACCAUCUACCCUAUGAAGAUUGCAUUUAGUUCUACGUCGAAGACCGGUGUUUCAGCCGAUGCAAGAACCAGCUGUGUGGGGUUCUUUGGAGAGUUGCCGGAGAGAAAAGCUGUGAUGUCGAUAAGAGAAUUCGGUGGGGUUGGUGACGGGAAAACGUCUAAUACCGAAACGUUUCGGAAAGCGAUACGGUACUUGCAACGUUUCGGGGAGAGUGGUGGUGCCCAGUUGAAUGUGCCGAAGGGAAGAUGGGUGACAGGGAGUUUUAAUUUGACAAGUAAUUUCACUUUGUUUCUUGAAGAAGGUGCUGUUAUUUUGGGUUCUCAGGUAUUUUUUUAUUUUUAUUUUUUAUUUUUUGUUGGUUUUGAUUGUAUCCAUUGAUAAAUGAGUUCUUCAUAGAUUUCUAACAUGAAGAUUAUGUCAAUGGAUCUCCAAUAAUUUGAUGACAACCCUUUUUUUUUAUUCUCUGCAAAAUGAUGUUUAUUUAUUUAUUUACAAAACGUUGGUAUAUAGUCAAGGUGGGACAUUGGGAGGUCUUAAUGGAAACACAAAAAGCUUUGUAGAUGUGAAGAGAAAGAAUGCCCCUUUAGUUGAUUUUUUUUUUGGAUUGCAAAGGAAGAAAUGAACUUUGGCAUGCUUGAAUAUCUGUGUAGUUAGGCCAUGGUUAUCAUGCUUGCGGCUACUCUUUUAGCCUUUUUCUUACAAAAAGAGAAAACAUUGUUAGGCAGAUGCUGAUGUGCUAAAGGACCCGCAUUUGAGCAUCCAUCAAACUGCAUGCCACCUUGUCUAGAUUCUCUGAUGUGUAUUUUUGGUUACUUUUACAAGUGCCCAGUUGCUUUUCUUUACUGCAAAAAAAUAAAAUAGUCACUGCAUAUGUGAUUCAAAAUUUAUCCUCUUGUGCUUGAUACGUCAGCAUGUAAUUGAGUCAGCAUGCAUUAUGUAGUUAUCAGCUUUUUUUCCUGCUUCGUUUUGAUAAUUAUUAUAGUAAUAUCUUUUGCCAGCAUCAAUUCCAUCGAAUGAUCUUUCGAUGUACAAAGAGCUGCUUCAAUUUUAUGUUUUUGAUUGAUAGGACCCGAAGGAAUGGCCUAUUAUAGAACCAUUGCCUUCUUAUGGAAGAGGGAGGGAGAGAUUAGGGGGAAGACAUAUUAGCCUUGUUCAUGGAGAUGGCCUCACAAAUGUUGUCAUCACAGGUAUUCUGCCUGUUCCUUUUUACCAAAGCUAGCUUGCAUUGAAAGACAGAAAUAAACUUCUCGAUUCACACACAUGAUUUUACUGUACUGCUUGAUUCAUUUCAAGUUGCCUGGAUCAUUUGGCACAAUUUAUCAGUGAGUGUUGGCAUCCUCUAUAGUUCGUAUAGUUGGUCAUUAAAGAGAUUAUAUUCUUAUGGUGGUGUCAUGUCAGUUUGUUGGAAACUUUUAAUGUGCAUUCCCAAGAUAACGUUGUACUACCACAUUUCACAUAGAUUGGACAGGAAGUUUUAACAUAUCUAACAAGAACAAAGUAUUUUGAGUUAUGAUUCUCUUGCUGAUGUUUGUGUUGGGUGGGUGAAAUCUCUAUUCGAGCAAUUAAUGAAGUUUGAUAAAUUCGAAGGGGAAAAGAUAACUCUUAAUAUUUUUUUUACAAGUUUUGUUUCUCCUUCAGGAAACUCAUAGAGCUAAACAACUAACUUGUAGCUAUCUGGCUAUCUGCUUAUAGCAGGUGGCAUAAAAAUAAGCUGCUGUGGUUACUCAUUGUAUACAUGAGAAAUUAUGGAAGAGGAAAAACCUAUGGGUGAUUAAUUAUUUUUUAACAGUGAUUAGGUUCUGAUUCUUCUGUCUACAUUGCAUGCCAUCUGCUAAACUAGAAAAUCCUUUCAGCACAGUGAGAAUUAGUAGCCAUCCAUUCUUCUAUUUAUUCCAAAACAUAUCAAAUGCCUUGGUGAUAAAUGCAUAAUUCAAAAUCCAGUUUCAGAACAUGCUAUGCAGAAAAUUGUUGUCUUGUUUAUCAAACAGCUUGAUCAAAAUUUUGAUCUGUUUGAUUGGUUUUGCAGGAAACAAUGGGACAAUUGAUGGACAAGGGAAGAUGUGGUGGGAAUUAUGGUGGAACAGAACAUUGGAGCACACAAGAGGUCACCUUGUAGAACUAAUGAACUCUAACAAUAUUCUCAUCGCCAACCUCACGUUUUGCAACGCUCCAUUUUGGACCAUUCAUCCAGUUUACUGCAGGUUGCCACUCUCACCCUUUUAUCCAUUGCUUGGUUUCUGUUUUCUUUUAUACUGUAUUGCAUUAACUUAAAAUACUUCCACUGUAUUGCAUUGACUUAAAAUAUUUCAAUAAGGUAAGAGUUUUGGCCUUUAAAAAAAAUGUAAUGGUAUAAGAUCACAUGUAUAAUAUUGCUGAUUUAAUUUUGUAAAUGAGCUGAAUAAAUCUAUCCUACUGGAUGAUAAAACUUGGAAAAAACUGAACCGUAAAGUAAGAUGCUUUUCCCUUCCACCAAAUUUUCUACUGUUUUUGAGUUUAGGAGUGGUUUCCCAUGCCAGGUCCUUGCCCUUGAAAGUUAGAACCUGAGAGUUACCUUAUUAUUAUCCAAUUGGGUUUUGUUUUCUUUGCUUUGCUACGGAGACUUGGGAUAGAAAUGUAAUAACAAGCAUAAAUCGAAUGUUCACUUCUUUUUAUCUCGUCAUAGUUAUUUUCCUACUGGAAAUUGUAGCUGGGAACUAAUACUAUUAGCUCUGCAUUUGUUUCAGCAAUGUUGUUGUUAAAGACAUGACAAUCUUGGCUCCUCUCAAAGCCCCAAAUACUGAUGGUAUAGACCCUGGUAUGAUUCUUAUCCUCCCUUUUCUUUUUUCCUCCCUAGUUUUAAUUGCAUUGAAGCUGACUCAUGAAACUAAAAUGGUUUUUCUUUCUUUGUGCAGACUCAAGCACAAAUGUGUGUAUUGAGGAUUGUUACAUUGAGAGUGGGGAUGAUCUUGUAGCAGUGAAGAGUGGCUGGGACCAGUACGGUAUUAAAAUGGCUCGUCCAAGCUCAAACAUUGUAGUUAGGAGAGUAUCUGGCACCACCCCUACUUGCUCUGGGGUUGGAAUAGGUAGUGAGAUGUCUGGAGGGAUUUUUAACAUAACUAUUGAAGAUUUGCAUGUCUGGGAUUCUGCUGCUGGUGUGAGAAUAAAAACUGACAAUGGCAGAGGAGGAUAUAUAGCAAAUAUCACAAUAAGUAAUGUAACAAUGGAGAGAGUUAAGGUUCCGAUAAGGUUCAGUAGAGGCUCAAAUGACCAUCCUGAUGAAGGAUGGGAUCCUAAGGCAGUUCCAGUUGUGAAGGGCAUUUCUAUCCGUAAUGUGAUCAGUUUCAAUUCAACAAAAGCCCCUGUAUUGGAGGGAGUUGAGGACGCACCAUUUGGUGGGAUAUGCAUGAAGAAUGUUAGCUUGCUUGGAGUGGUAUCAUCUUUGUCAUGGCAUUGUGAAUUUGUCUCAGGUUUUGCAGAUGAGGUAUUUCCAACACCAUGCCCGCAGCUGCAGAGUAAUAUCUCUUCAUCUUGGUGCUCAUACUCUUGGGCUUCUUCGGUCAAUCUCAAUUGAAGUUUAGGGAUUCACUGGUUGUUUUCAGAGGCCAGUUUGCGUUGAGCAAAUUAUGAUUGAAAAACAAUAUUAUGGAAGUGGUUGGGUUGAUCACUAGAGGAACCACAUUAAGGGUCUGAACUGAGCAUUUCGUAAGUUAUAUUUGCUUAAGCGUGGUAUGAAGCUGCUGCAUGGAUGAGCUCUCAGAUUAUACUCUCGGUACCAAACACCAAUUUUGGCAAAUUUGUGGUUGCCUUUUUCAGUUUUGACUUGCCUUGGUGAUUUUCUGACCUUGGAUUUCACUAAUUCUGUCAUUGGUCACUGAUUUCUGUGUAUGGAUUAUUGAAUAUAACAGAAUGCACACCUGGGGAUUCAACUAAGCCCCAACCACAGAGAGAACAAAGGAUCGAUUACUUAUACCAAAAGAAUACAGGAAAAUUUAAUAGAAGGUACAUUUUCCAGCAUUCCUGGAUCGAUUACUUGUGCUAUAGGAAUGCUUGGAAAUUCUUUGUAGGAAUUUAAUAGAUGCUGUAUUCCAGGUUAGCUCCAUUUAUUUUUUACACCAUAAUUUCUUGUCCAAACAAGAUAUGGAGUCACCUCUCCAACUCAACUCUUGGUUUCUGUUCUUGUAAUGAAAGAGAUCUUAUUAACUUGUGUAGUCCUUGUUUUGUUUAAUGUUAUUUACUGACCACCCUGGCAAACCAGGUUCUCUUUUAACAGGUUAUAAUGCUGAAAGUUCCUAUAAGCAUUUAUUUGUAAAGGUAGAAUAAACGGAGGCAUUGAAUAACUUAGCAUAAAUAGGGCAACCACUAACUUAGCAUAAAUAGGGCAACCACUAGAUUUGUCUUGCUUAUUCAAUGAAUAGCUCUGACACUGAUGAACUUACUGGCUAUAUUCCUAUUACAAGUCCUCAUGUUCAUCUUAGGAACAUCGUGAGCUAGUUCUAUCAAGAAUAUGUGGUCUGAAUUCAUGUGAUGGAUCAAGUCAUCCAUGUUACUUUGAGCUACCUUGGAUGGAACAUGGUUGGUUGAAUAUACUUUCUUUCCAUGUUACUUUCAGCCAAGGCAGUUUCUCUGAAUUUGUUCUGCUUUCUGUAAUGUUUUCUGCGCAUGGGAAAUAACUUUUCCUUUAAACCUUAUGAUCUACUUUUUAUAACCCAAAAAAUUCAUUUUUUUUUUGUUAAAAUUUAAUAUGGUUUGUACGUUUUGGAUCGUUUUGAUAUGCUGAUAUCAAAAAUAAUUUUUUAAAAAUAAAAAAACAUAAUUUACAUGCAUUUCAACAUAAAAAGUUAUUUGAAAAACAACCACUACUAUUCUGCCAAACAUCCUCAAUUAGGUAAAAUUACUCAUGGAAAUUUGGAUUUGUUUGUCCAAUCUCCAUGUAUUCUCCAUGGAUGGAGCAAAAUCGAGCAAGGACAAAGGAAAAUAUAGGAGAGAAUCACACAGAGAAACUAGAGAUAAAUGGAUUGUAAAUUUUGUUACAUGGAAAACUAGAUACAUGUUGGAAAAUGGAGAUUCAAAGACAAAGCUCACCCUCUUCACCAUUUCCAGAAAACAUUGGAACCACACUUGUAUUUGUCCUUUCCUUCGCACUCCAAAGCCAAAUCAUCUGAGAUAAAUGGCACUUUCUGUAACAGCCAAAGAAAACCAAUUAAAUGACAUAAUCAUACGGUCUAAUCAAUAAGAAAUAUUACUCAUAAAACUACACGAGUUGCACCUUUUGCUUGGCAAGAUCUUGGCAGCCUGUGAAGUUCUCGGGGAACUUGCAUGUGCCAAAUUGAACUGUGAAUGCUCUUGCAAAAUUUGCUCCACUAGUGGCCAAUCUCUUCUUGUCAUUCAAUUCCUAUAACAAUAUCACUUCACAAUCAACAUCAUAAUAGAAACAGAUGAUCUGAUAAAUAAAAAGUUCUGAGAAAGGCAGGGUUUUGCAAACAAACCUUGUUAGCUUUGCUCUUUUCAAGGUACUCUUCGAUGACUCCGGCAUUGGCAGAAGAAGCAGCAGCAGCUGAGGUGAAAAGGGUAGCUGCAAGAUAAACCAUUGCAGCUCUCCUUCCUUCACUUGCUUUCAUUUCUCUAGAAUCAGCUCUAGUCUGUUGGGCUCUGAUCACAGGCAACUUGGGGCCAGACACAACAAGGGAUGCAACUGCAGGCAUGGAAACAAUCUUGGCAUUAAGCUCAGAUGAUCCAGUGCCUGAGAUAGCAUAGUUGCAUGCCAAAACACUAGAAUUCAUGGCUGCCAUUGCUUGCAAAAUGUGUUAUUACAAAACUGAGAUUCUACUUUCUUAAGAAAGAUGAGACUAAUGGUGAUGAGAGGGCUAUUGCUUAUUUUUGAGGUUGUGGAUAUUUGAUAAGGAGUGAUGUGGAAGGAGGGGGUGAUGAAUGUGAUUACGGUUGUGGUUGGGGUGUGGAUAAGGUGAGAUCGCCUCACUCCUAUUGGCAAUUUUGCUUCUCAUGCUUGUUUUGUGCUUGUCGAAGUGUAGGUGGGCUUGGAUUUUGGGCCCACUUUGAAAUCAAAAUGUGUGCUCUAUGUCGUUUCUUUAACAGGCCAAAAAGACCAGCAAUCCACCAUGUGGAAAUUAACCACUAUGGAACAUGGACAUAUUAUCCUCUUUGGCAAUCCUUGGAUGCUCAAGAGUCUACAGAGUUGGUAUCUAAUCAGUUACUGUAAUCUGUUUCAUCAGUCUCAAAUUACCAGGAUUGACAGAUUCGUAAUGACAGUGCAAAAAAAGAAAAAAAGAAAAAAAGAAUUGACAUUUCAGGGUUAUACUGAUCUUCUUGAUAGCAAUUGAUCCAUUCUAACUCUGCAUGACCUAGCAAUUUUUGUAAGUAAUUAAAAACAAGUGAAAACAGGUCAAUAGUUGUAUAGAAUCUACACAAAUUUCAUGCAAUCAAAACUACAAAAAUUGAUAAAUAUAAAUUCAAUGGCGUAUUUUUCACCAAUAUUUCCUUUCUGAACAAAAAGAAACCUAAGAGACCUCCAUGUAUGCAGCUCUAAGGAAUGAGAGAAUGAAAUAAUCCAGUCACAUGCUCAAGAAUCCUUCCAACAUUUGAAGCAAAUGAUGGCAGCCACCUCCUGGAACCUGCUGAGGAAUGUGCAGAAGCGUAAGUGUUCAGACACGAUUUGAUGUACCUCAAGGCACAUUUAUAUUUGCAAUUGCAGCGAAGAUAUACCAUGCAUAGCAUCAAAACAAAAUUAUGGUGGCUGCGAGUAUGCUGAUCUUGGUCGAUUGAAUAUAGAUCAAGAUUCAGGUCACUCCCCCUACAGUGGAGUUAAGAUGACAGUGCUCGACAAGCUUAGAAACCAAAGCGAUCAUGAGCACGUUUUCAAUUGGCAGCACGGGUCAGAGACAUCCACGAAGACAUCUUUUAUCUACUAGCUGAUGCUACCUCAAUCUUGACAAUCUUUUACGUUUUUGACUUUUCUUACGUGCAACAGCAUUGUUUGAACCACUCUUGGAACUGGAUGGAAGAGCCAGAACUGAUGAUGGAAUGCCAAUAGAUGUUCUUCCCUUCUUUGAAACCCAUUUCAAUGGCAUGUUAUUUACCACAGUACCAAUAGUUUUUGAACUAUCCAGUUCAACAAGAUGUUUAAUUUGAUCCAGCAUCUGGUGCGCCCAGGCAAUAGACAAAUCUAGACCAACCGAGUCAUCCAUUGGUUUUUUCCAGAGGCUUGUCAAUAGCUCCUUGAAAGCCCGAAAUGACAUUGAGGGUUGAUAACCUUCACGGUUUUCACAAAUCAUAUUGACCUUGAUAACAUGCUUGCAAAGGUUUCCCUGCAAUGACCAUGCACAAUCACAAAAAGCAAAUUCUGAUCCGGGAUUCCACACUAUCCGUGUUACGUUGUUGUCCUUUUGACUUGAUACCUUGGCAAAGAGAUGAUCCUUAUCAUCCACAGUAACAGAAGAAUUGGGAAUUUGCAGAGCCCUGUGCCAUGAUGUAGAUGCAAUAUAUUCCUCCUUGACAUUUUGAAAAGAAUCACUUUCAUCAGCGUACCUAUCCAGCCAGUAACUUGAAUGCAACUCAGUUGUCAGCUUGUGCACUAACCAAUCCACCCUUUGGAGUGCACCAAGAUGUGAAUCAUCAAACAAUUUAGCUUUCAGCUUUACAUGAUAAGCUUCUAUGGCACCUGAAGCCUCUUGACUUGCUAGGGGAAGAGCUCUCAUAGUCGAUAACCACAUUUCUGUCAAAGAAGCAGACAACAAAAUCAUGACAUAAGAAGCCAAUGUCAUUCCACAUGACUAAAACAAGCAUGCACAAAACCAAUGCAUAUUAUCUAGUGCCUGCAAGGGAGAGAACUAACCAAUCUUAGGCACCCAAGAGGCUUUGAAAUAUUGUAUGAAUGCAGUCUGAUCAACAAGAUCAUGAGUCAACUCUUCCAAGGCAGACAAAGUAUCGACUCCACCCCAAAUGCUGUAAACUAUCUCUCCCAGACGUUUGAAAAUCUCUCGCUGAACUUCAAUGUUACCACACUUUUUGACAAUAUUUCUCAGCCAUGAUCUACGAACUCGCCAGAGGGAAAACAAUACAGGACAGCCAAAUAUAUCCCUGAAAAUCCAGAUAAUACAAGGUAUGAUAAGACUACUGUACAGUCUAUAUUCUGUAACCACAGAUGAAAACAAACUGUAUAGCAAAAAUAUCCUGCCUUAUGGGAUCAAUUUCUGCAGCAGCAUCAUCAAUCAAGAAUCCACUGAUCUUCCAUCCAGGCUCCACACUUGAUGCUCGACCAAGUAGAGCCUUCAUCCACUUAGCAACAUCUGGCUUUGCAGAGCUACGCGUGAUGAUCCAUGCAACAGGAAGUGCAUGUUGUCUUGAAUCAAAAACAAGAAGUGUGCACAACGGAUACUAACAUUCAAAUACACAAUGCCAUCAACAACCACCUAAUAAUGUUUUUUCUAGGUUACAUAAAAAAAGGGCAUGCAUAGAAUACCUUGAGUCUCUUAAUGCCAAAUGUUGAAUCUGCUGCAAUGAGACUGCGGUGACCAAAACGGAUCAUUUGCUGCAAUUGCCAUUCUGUUUGAAUUCCCAGAAUGAAAGCAUCUGAUUCCAAAGAAUCUUGAUAAAAGAAAAUGGAUUUCUUAUUGCGUUCAACCCACAUCCUGAUGCUAGCUUGAUCAUCUAGAUCCAACUCAUGAGUAGACCGUUUGAUGAUCAUUCCAAGUUUAUGGACAUAUUGUGAAGCAAGGCUGUUGACUUUUGGAUUUGAACCGCAGUAUCGUUGAAUCCCCUCAAUGUGUUUCUCCAACACAUUCUCCUCAGGAAUUCCAAGAUAAAUCAUAGACAUUGUUUGCUGCUGAAUUUCAUUACAAAUAUAUGGAAUUUUUUUGGCUCCAGGACCAAUGGCAUCUCUGUCAAGUGGUCCGUGGCAGACAAAACCAGAUUUGUUUACAUGACGCCUUUCAUUGUAUAUAAUUAGCGCCUGUGACGGUCGGGCAUACAAGCGCUUCACUACAAAGUGGCAUGUACAGCCACGCAUGGAUUGGGGCCUUGCAGCACGAUUUCGGGUAUUAAGACGAUAUUUUCGACUAGGUAAUACUCCUCCACCUUCACCAUAAUUUUCAGGACCAAAUGAACACCAGUACCUUCCAAACAUAAAUGAAAACCAACAUGAGAACUUAUAUACAUAGUUUAAGCAACAAAUGCCACACAUCAAAGUUGACAAUGAAGCAACAAAACCAACAUUGACAAUGAAGUUGAUGAAUAUGAUGAAGGUGCCAGCCAUUUUGCCUUUAUUACUCACAUGUCAUACAGUAAAUUAUACACCUGAGUUAAAAAUGCAUAUAAAAAAACUACACAUAUUCACGUAAUGCAUGUUUAGUACUGUUUUGGGAAGUGGUUUUGGUCUUAACCAACACUUCCAAACCCAUCCAGUAGCAAAAAGAUAAAGCUGAAAAAAUGCUUCUAAAAGCAUUUAGAGAAGUGAAAUUACGCAACUUCAAAAUGAACCUUAGUGAUGUACUGGAUACAUUCAUGAAAGAUGAGACUUUUCAUCUUGCUACCGAAGAUGAAGCGGAUUGGUGGAGAUGAUUUACAAAUUCAAGAAUCAGUUCCUACAAAAACAGCUAUUGUGGGAAAGGAAACUUUUUUGAACCUCUUUGUGGUGAUAUCCUUCCAAGAUUUUCAAGGGGCUUUUUCCGUUGUUGAUAUUUAGAGGAGUUAGAAAGCUCUUUUGUUUCAAUUCUUUUCAUCUUGGAGGAUGCCUUAUUCUCCUCUGUUAUAAUUUGACACUCAUUCUAUACAAAUCUCCCCUUCUUUCCUUUUCCCACAUAAUAUGCGAUGAAACGAUAAGAUAUAUUCAAACAACUUGGAGAAAAGCCAAUAGGGUGCCCUAUCAAAGCUAGAAAAAAUGAUGGCAAGACAUGAAGAGUGCAUUAGGCAAAGAGAAAAAGGAAUAAUAAAUUCUAUAACAACAUGGAGAACAGAUUCUUUAUCGAAGGAAAAUGAUACAACAAAGCAAAAUGGAAUUCGAAGAGGACUAGAAACUUACAACUUGUAUUCCAAAUAUUCAUCAGUCUUGUAGUCCUUCAAAGUGCCUCUGGCUCGUUUUCUUCCCCUCUCGAUAUGGAAGCGGGUAGGGCACUCGGGAUUAGAGCAUUCUCCAAUUAUAAAGGCAUCAACACGGUCGUAAGGAAUGAGGGCAACCUCAUCGUGAUGCUCAGCAGUACCAAACUUAGUCCAGGUCAAAUCGGCAGCCGAAAAAUCCUCCUCGGCAGGAUUUUGGACAGCAAGAUUGAGUACAGAUUCAACUAUAUCCAUCUCUCUUGCAUCAACAACUGCUUCUGAUGCUCUUGUAUUUACCGCCAACAUAAUUAAAAGUGAAGUAAGGAUAUCAAGUGGCAAUUGCAGCAAAAUAAACUUGAAAAUUAAACAGAUUUACUUGUAGUAAUGAAUUAAGAGGAAGACAGAGUAAGGACGAGAGAGAUACCUUGAGGGAGGAAGUAGAGGAGAGAUAGACGGCGUCGUGGGAGGGGGUUGGAAGUUUAGAAGGAGGGAGGGAGGGAAGCAGAGAGUGAUAAUGGGUUUUGGUUUUACCUAGAUAGAUUGUAUCUGAUGAUGAAGCAGCCCAAUGGGUGGGUUCUUGCCUUUACCUUAGCGGCAAUUUAAAACGGCGCUGUUUUAUUGUAUUCAAAUUUGGGUCCUUUUUUCUAUGACAUUACAGCCAAAAUGCUGAUAGCUCAAAAUUUAAUUUUUUUUUGUAUUUUUAAUUUAUUUUAAUAUAUUGAUAUAAAUAAAAAAUAAAUUUAAUAAAUAAAUAAAUUAUUUUGAUGAGUGUUUGAAACACAAUCUCUAAAUAAACAUUUAUUACAUAAAAAAAUCAAACAAUCGAGCAUCCACUGCAGAUGAAUUCAUAAGGUUCAGAGCUUAAUUACAGGAAAAAUUAAAAUUUACAGGCACAAGGUUACAUGAUAUAUAUAGACUGCAAAAAAAUAAAAACAUGAAGCAUAUUAUAAUUUAAUUCAGCUGCAGAGAAGGAUAUUUCUGUUUAGAAAUAUGGUUUCACCCGCACCCAAAUCAAUGCUCGGCUAGCUUGUUUCCGAUGACUAUUUAAGGUAUUUUAAAAAGUUGUUUUUUAAAAUAUUUUUUAUUAAGAAUAUAUUAAAAUAAUAAUUUUUUAUGUUUUAAAAAUUACUUUUUAUAUAAGGCAUCAAAAUAAUUUAAAAAUAUUAAUUUUAAAUAAAAAAAUAAAAAAAUUUAAUUUUUUUAAAAUACUUUUUAAAAUGUAAAAUCAAACCAGAUAUAUAUAAUCGUAUGGAUCAUUGGACAGUGAAAGAAAGAAAAAAAGAAAAGAGGUUGGUAAUCUCUCCACAGACGCAUGAGGGUGUUUGUUCAUAAAUCAAUUUAAUUAACAUCCUCACACUUCACAUAAAAUAUGAACACAAAAACACCAGUCGUCGGUCACUAAAAAGCAUUGAAAACAUAUAAUUAAUAAACAUUCAACGACCUGCAGAGUCUGUCACUAUCUCCCCUCCAUCACCACAGCAAACUCAAAAACACAGCACUCACCUCGAUCAUGGCAGUCGGGCACAAUACAGCAGAGUCUCCCUUGUUGCCUGUUAAUCUUCCUGACUAGAAUCCGGUACAGAAAUAGCUUAUUAUUAUUAUUAUUUUUAAACAUAUAUAGUUUCAUAUAAAUAUAAAUAUUAAUUUCAUCAACCUUUAAAAUUUUUACUGAUUUUCAGUUAGUAAAACAAUAUUUAUACACAAUUUAAAACUCGGUUUUUUACCAAUAAAGUCUUUCUCGAAUUUGACAUUUAACCCAAGUUAUCUAUAGAAUUUUGUUUUUGGCAAGUCUUUUGUAUGUUUUGUGAUCAGCUCUUUCACUCCUGAUUUUUUUUUUGGUUAUGUAGUUUUUAGUUUUUUUUUUUAGUUUUUGUAAAUUUUUUUUCGUGUAUCUUGUUUUUAACGACCUUUUAGUUAUAGUCUUUUUAAUAUAUCUAUUAUUUUAAAAUAAAAUAAAAUCCAUAGAAUUUAAUAUACAUUCAAGUCGGAUUGGAUUGUGUUGUCAUUCAUGAGGUAUAAAUGAAAUUGCCACCCUUACUAAUUUAACAUAAUAUCAAUCUAAGAUAAAAUAUAUAAUUUGUUAAUUUAUCGUUUAAUUAAAUCAACCUCUUGACGGCAUUUUUUUUUUCAACCAGGAAGAAUUAUAGGAAAGUGGUUAAAAUCUUGAUAAAAUAAAGUGAUGGAUUUUACUUUAUAUAUAUAUAUAUAUAUAUAUAUAUAUAUAUAUAUAUAUAUAUAUAUAUAUAUAUAUAUAUCCCUCUUGUCCUCCCAACAAAUUCAAAAUUGAAAAAAAUGAAUUGAUAAUUAUUUUGGAUGAAGGGAGUACUAACGGUGUCUUAAUAUUCAAAUGCCAAGUAUUUAAUUGUUUAAAUUGGAUCGUCAUGAAUAUUUUUAUUAAAAAUUGACAUCACAUGAGAGUUUCUAAUGUUAUAUUAAACAAAAGAUAUUGUGGAUGAUUGAAAGAUCAGUUAAGAUGAAUUAAAACACAUUAAUAUUCUUGAUUUCAUUACAUCCUCUUUCCCAUAAUUCGUACCAUCAAUAUUGUAACCCAAAAUAAGGAGUAAUUUAAUUAUUGGCAUCCUCAUUAUCCUAUAAAGUUUUUGUAUUUUCAUAGAAAAUGUUCAAUAUCUUCUCUAUUUAUUUAUAAGAUUAUAUAAAAAAUAAAAAUUCAAUUAUCAUUAAUAAUAUCGUGCUUUGUUUUGUUUCGGAUUAUUUUGUGAAUUAUUUUUUUAUAUAUUUUAAAAUUUUGAUUUCAUAAUAAAUUUUUCUAAUCUUACUUUCCCAUGUUACUAAACAUUUCUAUAUGAAAUACUUUAAACAUUUAUAUUUAAAUUACAAAGAAAUGAUUUUUUAACUGAAAAUGAUCAAUUUGAAAGAGACAUUGAGAAAUUAAUUAUUAAUUAUCAUUCAAGAAUUAAGUAUCUGAUUUACAAUUCAGAAUAAGGUAAGGUUAUUGUAGAGAAUCCUUGCAGAAAAACACAGGAACGCAUAUGAGGAUAGCUCUCAGCGAUCACAACCCUAAGGGAGACAAAAUUGUCAACAAAUAACUUAUCAAUCCAUUUAGAUAGGAACAUGUCAACUAACUGAUAAAAGGAUGAUUAAUAUACUUCAAAAUAGCACAGAAAUAUCUAUCAUGGCACAAGGCCUCGAAGCAGCAAAGUAGUAGUCGAAAUUAUGGCACAAAAACUAGAGAAAUAAUUAUUAGAACACAAUUAAUAUAUAUACCUUCACUUCUUCUAAUUCAUGGUGCAGGGUUUCAAGCUCGAAUGUGUCUAUAGGGAGUUACAGAAGAAAGAACUCAUUAAACAUCUAUAAAUCAAUCAAGAUUCAGGUUUCCAUAAAUUACUUGCUCUGCUGCUACCACCACCACUACAUCAUCCAUGGAUGACAGAAAGAAAACAAAGCCCGUACAUAAGAAAUAUCAUUUGCAGAUUGUACCUAACUGAAAAUUACAGCUGAAACAUUGAAAGUCCUAAAUGAGGGAUGAAAGCAAAAUGUAGCUGCCUCCUCCUUUUGCUUAUUCUGAACUCAUCAGGCACUGCCUAAUAUAUAUAUAUGAACCAGACGUCUGACCAAUAUUGUUAUAAUUGGAAAAUUGGAAGAUUAUCAAACCCAAGAUUAUGCUCGUCAUGAUGAUAAAACUGAAGCUUGGAUAAUAUAUAUCUUCGAUAAUUAAGAGAUUCCCACACCGAGAAAGUCUAUAAAGGCAACAUCCUGGUUCUUUAAUUGACCUCCAUGAUCUUUUUCUUCUUGCUGAGAAGCCAUUGGCAAUUUCCACAAUGCAGCUGGCUCAUGAUUAUUGCUAUUGAGUCUCACUAACUGGCUUUCGGUAAUCUUUUCUUUAUUGCUUCCAUAACCAUCACCAUAACUUGUCAAUGCAAAAGGAUUAUUAGGAUCAACUUUCUUAGCAUUAGGGAUCUGCUGUCCAACAACAUUCUGGUAGUUGUUAUAAAUGGUAGAACUAGGAUGGUAAGUACAGUGAAGAGAUUCAUUCAAAGCAAGUGGUCUCUCUUUAGGAUGUAAUGAAGAAUUAGAACUUGAGUAUUGAAUAUAAUCCUUUCUUUUUGCAUCAAAGACGUCAAAACUUAAUGAGUCAUUUGUGAUGGUUGAAGCACUAACGUUAGUCCAAGAGGGUGAUGAGUUUGAAGAGGUCAUGGGUAUGUUAGUACCCUUUCUUUCAAUAAUAUUAUUCUGAAACCCUAAUUUAGAACCAUAAUCAAGUGACACUUGAGGCCUAAAGAACCCAAAAUUGCUACCAGGAGGAGUACUGCUAUUUCUGUUGGACCGAAGAUGAUGAUCAGUAGAAUAUUGGACUUGGAAAUUAUUUCUCUUACCAUGGAAAGUCAAGCAGCGUUCCCGCUUCCUUCUUGCCAUAACAACAUGGUAAUGAUUCUUGACAGCGUUGUCAGUUCUACCAGGAAAGAGCCUAGAUAUCGAAGCCCAUCUGUUUCCAUGAAUCUGAUGAGCUUUUAGGAGCCUUUCUUCCUCAUCUUCUGUAAAAGGCCUUUUGUUGAUAUUUGGAUCAAGUUGGUUGUACCAUCUCAAUCUACAACUUUUCCCUACAAAUCAAGAUAAAGAAAAAGAAGCACAUAUGAAAAUCCCAUUUCUUAGAACUUGAGCAAUGAUGAGAGAAAGAAAAGGAGAGGUGAAUUCUUUAGCUCUAUCUUACCUGAUCUUCCUUGAAGAUGUUCCGCGAUGAAAUUCCAAUUCUGAGGACCAUAUUGAUCGACAAGUUGCCGAAGUUUCUCAUCUUCAGCUGGUCUCCAGUGCCCUCUAUGACAACUAGUCUUCCCAUCAUCACUGCUUGAGCUACCUUUAAGAUCUUCCAUCACAUGAAAGCUUGACCAAACUCACCUAAAUAUCCCAACACAGCAACAAACUGUAAAUUUAUGGCACUAAUCGGCACAAGAGGAAGAUCUUGAACAGAAGUUUGAGGAAUAUAAGAAGUUGAAUUGGAAGAAAGAGAUAUAGAACAGGAGGGAAUUGGGUUUAGGGUUACAGAUGAGAGGUCACUUUUCUUAUAUACACAAGAUAGGAUAUGUAUAAAUACAUGUACAUGUAUAAGCACUGAUUUUUUUUUUUACCUAAAUAUCAAUGUGUAUUAAAUGUUACCAUUAGCCUAAUCAAAUUAUUUAUCCUUGUAAUUCACUUCUUGACAGCUCAGUACUCUCCCACAGAGACACAACAAUCACGAACACUCAAGUGCCCAUUUCUGGGCAACGUAAAUGAAAUUAUUCCAUUAGAUGAGCAUAAGCAUUGAUUACAUGUGUAGCAAAGUUAGAAAUUAUUUUGUUGCAUGCAGUUUAUUAUUGGUUAUUUAAGAGGAAAUUAAUGUUAAUUUCUGUAAGAGGGGAGGGGAGUUGGUGAAUAAUUUGAUGUCAAAAUAGAUAGCCACAAGGUUUUCGCUUUUAUUUAAAUGGUAAGCUACCAAGGUCGUCAUCAUCUUCUUCUUCUUCUUCAGGCUUAACAACUUGCUUAUAUAUAUAUAUAUAUAUAGUGUUUCCAUAUUAGUGUUUUAGAUUUUUUAAAAAAAUAAUUUUGGGAAUUCUUGAAUUUAUGUAUGCCAUGUUCAUUGAUUAUUGUAACAAUUUAUAUAUAGUUUUACUUUCAGUCAAGUUUAAAAAUAAAGAGUCUGCUAAAAUAUUUCAUUGUUGUAUAGCUUCCUGGAGGGUAAAAAUAACUUACUUGGGAUGUCAAGUAUUUUCAAACCUCAACGUUUCUCUUAUUUUAUUUAUUUUCUUUUUUAUAUUCAAGAAUACCAUUGAUUUAGCUUUCACUUAUUAAUACUCUGUUCAUCUCUUCGAGUUUAAUAAAAAACAAACUAUAAUUAAUUUUAUAUUUUUUUAGCGUAAGAAAGGAAAGAAAGAAGAAGGGAGGAGUGAAAUAUAGAUAACAACUUAUUUAUAAAUAAUGAUAUGUCAACUUUGUGAUAGAAUUGCUAAUUUGUUUUAAAUUUUUUACUUCGGCAGUAAUUCUAUCAGAAAUUACUGAUGAAACGCAAUCCACUGCUAUUUUCAUCAGAAUUUGUCAACAAAUAUUUCCAUUGGCAAUUAGUAAUAAAACAUUAUUUGUCAGUAUAUAUUUUCAUUACUAUUUAUUAAUUUUCUAGCAGUUCAAUUCAUGAAAGUUUUACUUUUUAUUACUUAACCUCGUGUUUAACCUUUGCUGACUAUGACCUUUGCUGACUAUGGCGGAGGCAGCCCUUACAGAUAUAUAGCUGCUGAAAUUAAGAACUGAAUUCCACCAAAAGAUUGAUUGCAUAAAAGACAAGAAGGAAAGACUGAAUAGCUUAUACGAACCAAACACAACAUGGAUUCUUACAUUUAAAGCACAUGUGGGAAAAUCAAGUAGAAAAGUUUAUAUUUUUCAUAGGGCUGCUAUAUUAGAAGAAGGACUGCAACAGCCCGUAGCUACGAUUACCAGAGAAGGGAAGCGCCAGCCAUUGUUGACAAAACUACAAGUACUGUAGAUCUGGAGAAUUGUCAGAGGAGAAUACUAAGCUUCAAUUUAUUUACUUUUAACCGAAGAUGAAAGCUUUAAUUUGAUACACAAUAUUUCAUCUGUCUUGUAUAUUUCUUAGUUUCAGCUGAUUCUCUCAAGAAAACUUAAGUACUCUCUCAAUUUCUCCAGUAUAGGAUAUAUGUUUUUAUUAUAUUUGAUCUUUGAUAUGCAGUCAUUCUGUGAGCAAACUCAUGAUUUUAUCUCUGAAACACUCAUUAAUUAUUUGAUCAUGCUCUUUUCAAUAUCUACUCCCUUUUUUUCCCUUUCAAUACAAAGGAGAUCCCAUCAGAGCUCACUGUAUAUACCUCCCAAUAUCUCUCUUCAUCUCGUUUAAUUAAUCUUCAUGUUUCCAGCUAGGGUUCAAUAUAGAAAGUACUCUUCAACAUUUUCUUCGUACCUUUUAAAACAUUUAUUUGUUAAGUUAUUUUUUCCCUGUUGAAUUCAUAUUCGUUGUUAAGUUAUUUUUUCCCUGUUGAAUUCAUAUUCGUUGAAACUUUAUUUUUUCCCUGUUGAAUUCAUAUUCGUUGAAACUUUAUGCCAAGGAACUUAUAGCUUAAUACAUAUCCCUCAUAUAGAGUCUUAGGGUCGAACUUUAUUUUUUUUUUACCCAUUAAGAAAAGAUUAAUAGUUCAACAGGUAUAUAUAGUAUAUGCGCAAGUGAGUUACUAGCUUAACUGAUAAUAGCCAAGUCGUAAGAGUCAAUUAGAGAGAAGAUAUUCCUGAUUCGAAUCUUACCACUUAUAUUUUUUAAUUUAUCCGUAGAUCGUGUUCAGGAGUGUAUCUGUUAUAUAAAAAAAAAGAAUAUAUAGUAUAUGCUUAUAUGUGGCAAAUAUUAAUGAUAAAGAGGUAAGAGGAGGGGAAGAGUGCAAGGUAGCAUGUCUUACAUUUUGCUCACAUCCAUGUAGAUGAAAGGUCAAAAGGAGAAAGCAAGUCCAUGCUUAUUAAAAUGUUGUUGGUGCAAGCAAAAAAGAUGGAUAAAGUGAUUUCUUAACUGACUGGGAUUUUAUACCCCAUGAAAUUGAUCUCUUCUCCUCUUAACUAAAUUCUCUUCCUCUUCCUCUCUCUCUCUCGCUUCUCGGUUUUAUUAUCAUUACAGUCACCAUAUUGCCAUUAAUUUGUCCACAUCACAUUACCUAGAUAUUCUUCUUAAGAAUUUAUUAAGUGCUCAUCCAGGGCUGCCUAGCUAGCUUGCUAGGUAGCUGUUUUCUCUUACUUUUUCUCUAGUCUAAAAAUAUUAUUGAAUUAUUGGUCAAUCUUGCUCUGUAUGGUGGGAUUUGGGUGAUUCAUGAAAACCCUGUUGAACCUAAUCUUGAAAUUAGAAGUUAACUCUUUGCUUGCUUAAUUCUUGCUCCUGUGUGCCUUUACAUUUCAUGUGCCUUCACUGAAAGCUGCUUCACGGUUCUUUCAGUUUUCUUCGCGUCUCCUUUCAUAAACUGAUAUAUAAAAUAUAAAUCCUUAACGUGAAAUAAUAUCCACUAUGCUAUUUUAAUUCCUCACAAUUAUAGAAAGGUCAUCUGACUGAGACUUUGUUGUUGUUUCUCUCAGGUUAUAAAUAAGGGAAGUCUUCACAUAUUAUAUAUAUAGCUAGCCUUAGUGGAUUACUAAUUAAUUGAUGCCUGAUCUUCACAUAUAUCAAGUGGACGACCGUGAUAAUUUGAUAUAUUCUUCAUCCUCUCCAUUUUACUAUAAUAAGCAGCCCUUUCAAGGCCCCAUGUACACAAACAUGCAUGCGUUCUUGAACAGUUUUUAACCUACAGGAGUUUUUAUUUGAAUGAGUAAGAGGUGAGGGAUCAUCAUCUGCAGAACUGUUUCUCUCUUUCAACUCCAUCAUGAUUAAACAAUUUGAAUCAGAUUGCACUGUGUAGCACUAUUUUCUGGAUUCCAAAUAUAAGAUUCAUUGGCGAACACCUCCUAAAAAGGCUGGUAAGUGCAUCUACGUACAAGCGAUCUUUGGUUAGUUUAAAAUUCUACUUGAACGUGUGGAUUGUCAUAAUUAAACCUGGUUGAAAAGGGAUUUAUUUUCACUGUACAAAAGACUGGCGCAUGAUCAGGAUAUAUACCUAGCUAGAGUAUUAAAGCUAGGAGAGCAUGAUUUGUACCCUAAAGUUGGGAGUUGAAGGAAGAAACAUGAAAUUAAAUCUCAACAAGUUUAAUUAGGCAAGCACGAUAUUGAUUGGUAACUUGUAUACCAAAAAAUUGACAAGAAAUAUAGUAUUGUAUACUCUAGCAAGUAAUCAUGUAUAAUAAUCAAUUAUAAAUUGGUUGAAAAAUCAAAUGGGAGUAUGCAUGUGUUUACACACAAAAUUAGGAAAUAGUAGAUGAGGUAAUUGAUCCAUGUUUACGAAAACAAAUCCAUUCCGAUUAAUAUGAUGAUCUGAGAAAGCCAUAGGGCAUCACAUCUAGCUAUAGGGCACGUUCCUCUCGGUAUUAAAAGCAAAACUUUAUGCCUUGAUUACUUGAAAUGGAAGCUUUUUCUCAGUGAAAUGCUUACCAGCUAUACAAAAUAUAUAUUGAAAUUGUUGAUUGUAUCUUAAUUAGUAACAGAAUGAUCUUUCAUUAAUUUACUCACUCUAUCUGAAUCCCUUGUACAAGUCUUGCUUCCUACACAAGUCAUCGGAUGACACCAUACAAGAAACCAUGGAAAUUCCAUGUCUAAAUUAUAUAUGAAGCUCAAGCUGUUACAUAUAAAAGACUUCUUUUUCUUUUUCUGUAGUGUUCCAAAUACACUGUCCUUGCACAUCAUUAAUUUGAUUUUUAGAUAACUAUAUGCACAGAGGGUUCUUACCUUCAAAAUGCUAGCUUUCAUGCACCUCUAUAUAUAUCUUUCGGUGUCACAAUGGAUCAUGGUUGUGUUUUCUCUUAGUAGUUAGCUGCUUAAUUGCAAUGAAACGGUCUAGGGUUUAUACAAAAAAUUGUUCCAUCCAUCUCUCGAUUAAAUUUAAAAAAUGGUUUGUAAUUUGAUUCUGUGUUUUGAUGUCUUCAUUUCUUGGCAUUAUAUUUUGUGUUUAAUACUGUAUUAUAUAUUAAUUAAGUGUAAACCAAAAAGAGAAGCAUAAAUUGAAGCACAUCUAGUGAUGCAAUUGAAGUUGUAUAAAUUAGAGGUUCUAAGUAUUUAAGUGAGAAUUUAUAUUGUCAGAUGCGGAUCCAAGUAGAUUAUAUAAUGACUUAAUAGAUAUUUUUAUGGACAAGUAAGAUAUGUUUAGGCUUAAAAUAAGACUUGGUCAUGCCAAACUAAGUUAUCAACUUAAAACUUAAAUAACAGAAGAUCCGAUUGUUAGAUCGAGGUUAAAUUUUUUCAAGUAGUUCUACAAUCAGUUUUCUGUGAGAGGUCACUUAUCAAAUUAUUGAAUUUCUCGGAUUUAUUAUUUUUAUUUUGGAUUCUAUUUUAAUUUCCUUAAUAUUUUUGAAUUUUAGGUUGUUUUCUAGUAGAGUUAGUUUUUCUAGUCUAUUUAAAGGUCUUGUAAACUCUUAACGAGGUAGCUACUAUAUAUUUAAAUUUUAAAAAAUAAAAUUAUGAAUUUAGAAUUUAUAUUUACAAUUUUUUUCACUCAUUAAAAUUCUUGUAUUUUCUAAGUUAUUGAUGUCCUAUUAGACCUAGCUAGGUCCAUUUUAAUAUGAAGAAUUCACAAAUAUGCAAAAUCAGUACUAAUUACUAUUUCAAUUACUAAAAAAUGGCUUCUGAUUUGAAAUUAAUUUUAAUCUCCUAAUGAUAAAUUAACAGGGAAUUACGAGCUUAAACAAGUGGGAUUUUAACAAACAUUCUCCUUAAAUAUUAAUGGGACCCAAUAUCUCUUUUAAACCAGGAAAAUUAGAGAGUUGUGCAUAAUUAAGUGCGUAAUUAAACUCUCAAUUCUGCCUUCUCUCGAUGAAGCAAGGCAUUGAAGCAACAAACAAAUCCCAUCUGCCUAUUAAUUGGUCUUCUUGUGAAAAUCAUCAGGUACCUUAGCCUACCACACUGAAAAAAUGACCAAUCAAGCAACACACCUUCCCAUUUCUCUUACUGUUCUUCAACAUUUCAAGCUAACCCAUCUUUUCCCAACCACACUGCUUGUGACAUUCACAAGCACUACAACGCACCUCAGAAAAAACAUUAAUUUUGACCUAAAUAUUGAUGAACCAUCACUGCUUACCCUCCUACAAAAUCCUAUUAUUACAAUUUGUGGUCCCUUUCUCAAGCUUCCAUGCAAACCAAUCUCUUUCCUAGGAUUCUUCUAUCCAUCUUGCAGGAUGCAAUUUGUUACAUGGAAUUCCGGCCUCAAUAGAAUAUAUAUUCUACUUGGCUUUAUUCAAACAUAUAUAAUUUUCUCCAAGUGAUGUCAACCAAUGGUCAUACCUUCUUACGGCCCCAUAAAACUAUGUAGAGUCUUUUUAGAAUUUGAAGGCGAUCUUCCAUGUUUAGGUUACACAUAAUGGCAAUUCCCUCCCUUCUUUUUCCUCUCAAAUCUCUCCAUUAGGGUAUUCUCGACCAGUUUUUGCAUAUCAAGACUAAAAUCCCUCUUUAAUUGAGUUUUAGAUAAGUUUUAGAUUCAAUGUCAAAUCACUUUCCCCAGAAUUAAUUUUUUUGUUAAAUUAAAAUUCACGUUUGGGUUAAGACCUAAAAUUCAUAAUUGUUUUUCAAAGCAAAAGAAUCGCAAGUUUCAAAUGGAAUGGUCUUAGCCAGUCACCAUUUUGGACUUUUAAGUUCAUAAAUUUGGUUUGUUUCAACCGAAAGCCAAUUUCGCAUAGAACCCAGGAGAUAAAGUAGCUAGAUUUUCAAAGUUAACUCUACAAUUUCGCAUAUAUAUAUUCUUCAUGAGAAGGUGUCAAGCAUUGACAAUAUUGGAAAUAAAAUAUUUUGCAUGAAUACUUGAAAACAUUGCUGAUCACCAACAAAAUGUGGAAAAAAAUAUGGCAAAUUUGUAGAGAAAAACUUAAUCAAGCACAGGAUGUUAGUAAUAUAUAUCUGGAUGAAUUAACCAUCAUCCCUACGAACCCAUCGGAAUCCGGUGAUGUUUCAUCCUGAUGUUGCUUAAAAUCCUCAGUUGUCCCACACCACCACAAGUACCGUAUAUGCUAUGAUUAGAAAACUGAUAGCUUCAUGAAAAAACCCUAACUUUAUGAAGUGGGAUCCAACAUAAGAUAAUGAUUAAAAAAAAAAAAAGCUAACACAGGGAAGAUAGGUUUGAUGUCAAUUUCUCUGAGUCUCUACAUGCUUUCUAGCUAAAACUAACCCUAUUUAAUCCCUGCUAAAAUACUACGUAAGAUAGCGACCCCAAAGUACAGUAGGUGGGUCUUCUGGGGCUGUCUCUUUCAAUUUGUUUAUUCACAUUUGGUAACAAAUUAACUUGCACAAUUGUUUCAUUGUACCUCAAGUCAUUAAGACACAUACUUCGGCUCUAAAUAGAAAAUGACAGCAGAGCUACUCUUACUUUUUCUCACUUCUUUAUAACUCAUGUCCACAAUUAGUUAUUCCCGUUGUAAAAACUCUUGUUUCCAAGUCCAAGAAGUUAACUUAACAGUAACCUUUCAUCGUUCGUUUUGAAAUAAACUGCAUUUUCAAUCCAGCUUAGAAAACCAGUAAAGUUGAAGGGCUAAAAUGCAAUUGCAUUACUUCAAAUUUUUUUUUGAUUAACGUAGGUGUUUGGUCAAUUUGCGCACACCUCAACUAAUUUUAGGGGUCCUGAAGUUAUAACCAUGUAAGUCUCCAGUAACCCUGAGAUUUGUGAAACUCGAACUAAUAAUUUUUAAAAAGCAAACCCAAAACCUGUCUAGUUAAACUACACCCCGCAAGUUGCAUUCCUUUGAUUUUCAUAGCACAAAACAUGCUAUUUUAAAUAUGAGACUUGAUCGGGCUGUAACAAGAGUAUUAGACAAGAUAUCCCAAGGAUGAGGUGGCCUCCGUACUCCUGCUUCUACAUUGAAGAAUAAGUCACAAGGAAUCGUGAGAAUUCAUAUGUUCAUUGCUUAUGGGGUUUGUGUUUUGAUGCUUAAAAACGUUGGUGGCUGCUGGUAGUGCUGCUCCCGUCUUCAAGGUUUUGCCAGAAUCUGGUGACGGGGAUUUGGUGGCUAGCUAGCUAACUCCCCUUCCCUUUUCUUGCAAACUGAUAAGUAGAAUACAUCCCAAAUGGGGAGUCUGAAUUUAUGAAUCCCAACUCUGAAGGGAAGACAUGCAAGCUUAGUGUUUAACAACAUAGAAGAACACCUAUGAAAGUCGUUCACCAUAUCAAUGGGAGGUUUCGUCUCUUAUGAACACUUCCCCAUCCAUUUGUUAUCGUUAGGAUGACAAUUACAUCAAUGCUUGAUGCAUGAUGGAUCAUCCAAACCGACCCAAACAAAUUAAAUAUUCUAUAAAUAGUUAUUGUUUAGAUCAAAUUUGGAUAAUAAAACCCCAAAAAACCACCAAAGUUAUAAAUAAUAAAUAUUAUUCUAUCUGACCCGAAACUUGAUAUAUGUAUAUGGAUACAUCCAUGAUCCAUAUCACAGGUGUGCUCAUUCGACCGGCGACUUGUGGAUUUGAGGAAUUGGAGGUUCUUUGAUGGCAUGAAUGUUGCACAAAUUAUCAUGUGUCAUAUAUAGGACGCGUGAGUGGCAUAAAAGAGUAACUGAACAUGUGAGGAUAUUGAAUGAAGAGAAAGGUUUUGUUGUUGCUAGCAUGAUGGAUACUGAAGGCAGUGAGAUCGAUUCAUAUGGGCUAUCUUGGUGGUGCUUCAUCUGCUGAAGCUAAAGCAGGGGUGAGAAAAUUAAUUGAAUUAUUCGGAAUAUCAGUAAAAACAACCUAAAAUCAAUCAAAUUGAACAGUUUUAUGAAUUUUGUUGGGCAAUUUCGAUUAAAAUUAAUCAAAUUGAUUAUAUAAUUUGCAAAAUGAUUUUCUUAUUAGAUUUAUUUAAAGUAUGCAUUCAGAUUAGGAGUUAUUUUUGCAAAACUUGGUAACUAUUUUAACCAAAAAUUUGAUAAGAUCAGCUUCAAAUAUUUAAAAUCCAUACCUGCCAAUGCCAUGUAAUGAAUUGGAUUUAUCUAAUCGUUUUGGAUUCGAAUAUAAAUAUGGAUAAUAUUAAGUUCCGAAUCUUGAGUACCCAACUGGCAUAUAUGCCAUCUUUAGUAACACGAGGCCCAUUGACUAAUGAAGGCCGGACAUCCUAAAGACCUUACAUGCCCAUUAUCUUCAAGGGCAUCUUGAAAUUUAACAGUCCAGAGACCUCCACGAUAUUCAUGGUAGAGCUAUAUGUGAUAUAGGUUCAGAGUUUUAAGACAGAACCAUGGUGAUGGUAGGCUUUUAGUUGAGCAACUAGCUUAAACCUUAUUAUGCUUAAUACCUGUGUUUUAUGGGACUAAGAAUUAAACAGCAUGCAAAUCAAGAAUCUCUGUAGCUUUCUUGAAUCAAUCAAACCAAUCAACAACUCCGAACCAGACAACUAAUGACAGCUUAAGUUAUUAUCCAAGUAAUUACUGCCAUCGCAGUGUAAGGGCUAGGGACUUCAAAAAUUGCAGACAUAAACAAUCCAGAUGCUUCUUGUAGGAAAAAACAUAACAAGGGAAGUCGAAACUAAACAUAUACCUUAUUCUAAAAAACAAGCAUAGGAUAUGAGGCUCACCAUAAAUCUUCUUUCAUUUACUUCGGGGGAUAAAUACUUCAACACAGACAGUGUGGCUGAAAAAGACAUAGCAAUUUAAGUUGCUCCAAUGACAGAAUGUGUUCAAAACCCGACAACAAUGCUAAUAUAGGAAAGAAAAAGAAAAGGAACUAAAUGAUAGCUGAAUAGUGUCAUAUAGAAACUCAAAGAGACUGGAGAGAAAGUUUAAAGAGUCUUUUGUUUGUUCUUCUGCAACUAUUUUGUAUGCAUUCAAGAUGUCUUUAAAAAGACUUUCAGUUUGACAGAGGUAGAGCAGAAAUGCAACAAACAUCCUAGUAGUUAGCCUGUACAUGAUAUACAUUCGAAAUUGAAAACUUGUUAUCUUUAUCUCCUUUGUUUCAGGAGUCUGCUGCUGGAUUUGAAAAGGUCUCAUUGACUUGUUUUUCUACACGCCCCGCAGUCGAAAGGGUAAGGAAGAACAUUGAGACUGUCAUGCAGGAGCAUAUGACUAAAUCCAACCUGUCAAGCCUAAUCUAUCAGCAGCAUUGUACAUUCGUAGUUUAUCCUAGCCAAGGCCAAAGAGUUGCUCCCCUCCAAUGGAAAAUGUUAGGCCCACGAAAGAAGAAGAGUUGUAAAUACUGUGAACCCAACUGCUAGCUGAUCUAAGAACAUAAUCAACAGCCAAAACCAACCUCAACAGAAAGAAGUUAAGUUCAUGCUUCAAUGGUAAGUUCAUGAGAGCAUUAACUACAUUAUAGAUCAUUGCUACAUAACAGAUGAGUUUGAUGGCAUUCUUUUCACCUAACAAUUUUUUUUUCUUGCCAGAGGUUCCCCUAACGUCAACCAGCCCCAAAUAAGAUAACACAAUCCCCUUUUUUUGCAAUAUGAAAAAAAACUAACAAAGUGAAACAAUAUCAAGAGAAAAUGACUCAGUAAGGAACACUGUUUUCCCUAAACGUUGCAAGGAAGGCAGAACAAUACCACUUGAGCCACAUACCUCACUCGUUCAAAACACACACUACUCAUACAUAAUAUAGGCAAUGUUUACACUCUGUUAUCCAAGAAAGACAGCAACUAUUCAUUAAACUAACCAACAAAAUGGAAGCUUGCAAAGAAGUAAUCAAUUCGAUCUCGGCAUACAAAUUUCAAGUGAAACAAUCCAAAUCAUUUACAAUGUUGCGAGAUUUGGAAUUUUUUUUACCUACAAGGACGAAUGCGAGGGAAAGUGCGAGAAUCGAAGAGAACAGGCCAGAAGUAGAAGCAACUGACGGCCCAAAGCCAAGGCAAGAAUGCGAAUCCGAAUUUGUAAAAUCUACGUGCGUAGGUUAACGAUUCGUCUUCUAUUAGACCUAGUGGUCCAUCGAUUGUUGACCACACUGGUGUUGACGAUAGUAUUCAGUUAGUGUUGUUAGGGUUUGGAUUGGCGGUCGAUGUGGUGGCGGUGUUAGUUUCUGAGGCUUCCAUUGAAGCAGAAACGACGUCGUGAUCGUGAAGGAUUUAAACGACAGCACGGUUCUUAGCUCUCUCCUCGUUGAUUCGUAACGAGGAAAAAUGGGACCAGAUAGAGCAAAUACGCCGUCGCUUCUUAGAGCCAGAAUUUUGUUCAAUAAAUUAAAUGCACGGUUUGGUCCCAAACGUAUGACUCCAGUCUCAAUUAAGUCUUAAAUAUUUUAAUUUUAUCAAUUGUAUCCUAAACCUAUUUCAUGUCAAACAAAAUAACUCCUCAUCCAUUCUCUAUUAAACUAACUAUCGAGUAAGUUUUUAUAACUAUAUUUUUAAAGUUAUUUAAUUAUAUUAUCAAAUUAAUUAAGUUUAUUGAACUAAGUUAAUAAUUAACUCAGAUCUUAGAUUUUUCUUUCUUUUCUAAAAACAAAUAUUGAUGUCGCCUAAACAAUAUGCUUUUAUAUUAUAAAAAAUUUGACCCGGCUCACAAUAUAACUCAAGACACCUAUCUAGUCUAAUAACUAUAACACUUGUAUAUUUUUUGAAACUUAUACUAUAUUAUUAUCGAAACUAUGUCACGAUCCUUUCAUAUACAUAUAUGAAGAUAUCGAUUUUUUGAAAAAUAAAAUCUGGUUGAUCAUUUUUUAAAAUUUAAAAAGCAAGGCAAAAAAAAUAAGGUACAAGGAUUCCAUUGGAAAUUUUGAUGAACGUCAUGCCCUGAAAUUGUAAUCAAUUUUGUUACGAGGUCCAAAACGACACUUCGUUUGUUGUGAUGAGUGAGGAUGUCCAUCGUUCUGAAAUUGAAAUCAAAAUGGCGUCGUUUGCUUCGGCAUUUUAUACUAUAGAAAGUCCAAUAUUCCGUUUAUAUUUACGAACCUGCCACUAGCUGUAAACACUGACUCGCAGGGGGGACAGCGGAUUUUCUUUGUUUCUGUGCAAGAUUAUGCGUGAACAGUUAAGGACAUAUAGGAAAUUAACCAGUGCCUGCAUUUCAUGCAUCGUUGAAUAUGAAUCGGAGCUUAAAAAAGAAGAGAAAAAUCCUUACAAUUUAAUAAUUAAUGGUUGGUUGAAGGUUGGAAAAAGUGGAUGAAGAGUACUGGCUUGACCUUGAACAUGAUCAUCAUGGCCAACUUUUCUUUUUUUAGUAAUUAAUUGAGGAAUAAUAUUAUUAAGAUUUAGUUAGUAUCAUUAAAAUAUAUAUAUAAAUUAAUUGACUAAAAGAAAAUUUACAAUGUGAUCAAAGUUCAUAGAUUUUCUAGUUAGUUCAAACAUCUUUAGAUAUUCUAGUUUAGUUGAAGGGAGAUGGAGGACUAAGAAAGGUUGUCUUGUAAGAUGACUAAGAAUAUUUUCUAUCUACUUUGGAUGAAUAUCGGUCCCAUGGGAAUGGCAGAAAAGCAAGCUAAUUGGAUGGAAUUUUAUCUAUCUAACCUAUUUAACCUUUGUGCACUUGCUUUUGUUUGUCCCUUUUAAGCUUCAUUUAUUUUUUUGAAAAAAAAAACCCAUCACUUGCAAAAUAGUAAUUAACUGAAAGCUUUUUUUUUUUCCUCGUUAAUUUAUUAAAAAAAUUGAAAUCUAUCUAAUAAGAGAAUGAAAUAAUGAUUGAUUAUAAUAGUUAAAAUUGGGAUUUGUAUUUAAGGAUGAACUGUUUUUUCUUGGAUCCUUUCUUAGCCUUGCUGCCUUCUUGUUUCUUGAUUCUUUGACCUGUGAAGCUGUUUGGUGUAAUAAUUUAAAUGGAUAAUCAGAUUGGUUGAUGCAUGUUCACUUUGGCUUUUGCUUGUUCCCAUAACCACUGCAUCGAUCUGUGAGUUGCAGAAUGUACGAUAGUGGUGGAAUUUGACCUUCAGGAUUCAUCAUGAUUCCUCGGUAAUUUUAUGUUUCCCAAGUUUAGCAUGAAUCAUAAGAAUGGUUGCAAGUUGGACUGCAUAGCAUCAGAAAUUGAGGGAUUGAGGGAUUGAUGUUUGCAAAAUGUUCUGAAGAUUGUACAGAUAUACAUUGAAGGAAAAGGCAAAAUCUUAGUCGAGACAUGUUGAGCCACACUCGGUCACGCAAUGUUCUGGCAAUAAGGUGAAGGUUUUCGCCAAAAGUCCAGAAAGAAACUUGAAGUAUAUCCUCAACGAUCCUAAUUUCUGUGCAAAUCUUAGAUUGCUUUUAUUGAUUCCUUUUCACUUUCACCAAUUUCACCACAACAAACCCUCACUUUUGUGGGCCUCUAAAGUGCUUGCAAAGCCCUAGGAGGGUUAUCAGAGAAAGCAAUAGUAUUUAGCACUCAUAAAAUGUCAUCGAUCUAGCUACCAUCUGUUAGUUGAAUCAGAAAUGGGAAAUGGGAAAUGGGAUGUAGUCAGAUUGAGUUGUUCUGAUCCUUAAUCUGACAUGAAAAGGGACUAAAGCAAUUGUUAUGCUCCCAAACAUAUCAAAAGAAGGAAAAAGCCAACACCUUUGUAAAAGUCAUUGCUUGAAUGCACUCCAACUUAGGUUACACCAGGCAGACCAAAGCUCUCCUAGCUAGUGAUGCGUUCACAUGCCCACCUUGGUGGUGGCUCCCUUCCCUCAUGAUUUUAACAGUACUGCCAUAGACUUGUGGAUGAGAAAGGGAGAGGAAUCUCUCUGUACUAUGAAGACGGGAAAUAAAGGUGGUAGGCAAUGAGCAAAAAUCAGUGUUGGGGUCAGUUCCACCCACUAUUGGAGACUGAAUUGCGUCUGGUACGCUAACAUGGGUGUAAAAGGAGCCUCUUGGAUCCUACCAUGGGUGGCCUAAUACCCAUGCAAAUUAUCUUUUCUGGUGAUCAUGCUUUUGACCAUUGGAGAAUUUCAGCUGGGAAUGUUUUGACUAUUAAACUCUGAUCUUUUGUUUAAUCAUAAUCACCUCUUUUGCAUAAUCUUUAUCAACCAUUAAUUACAUUGAUCUGUGCACACUUCUUCACAAGGAGAAAAGCACAGCUCUAGUUCCAUAUACUAUAUAUAAUAACACUUCAAUACUAGGACAAACAUCACAGGAUAUUAACACAUACCCCUUCUUAACUAUGUGUAUACUAUAAUACUUCUUACACAUAAUAAAUAUCUUCGUAACUAUAAUUAAAGACUAGCAAAAUUCCUACUCAGCAAAUAUUCGGGCCAAAGCCUACGAAUUCAUUAGCUUCGUCAACAGAAAUUUGAAUCCCUUCUUGUUGAAUGUUUCCGAGGAUGGAAAGCCCUGAUGGGGAAGGAGCAAAUGCAAAACAAAAGGUUCCUGCAUCAUCCACUGGAAUUAAGAAGUUAUUUGCUGGAAUGGUUAGGAUUGGCCCGCCUGAGAAGUAAAAUGAAACAGUCGGUACCCGAACUGACAGAAACCCGAAUAGGUUAUAACAAGUAUCAAAUAUGGAUACUCCAGAAGCCCGGGGGAGGUUUUGGGUUUGCUCAAUAAAGGCAUUACGAAACGCUUCGUAAGCCACCGUAGGGAACCGAGUCACAGCCGUCCCAGUGUCCAUAACAACACCUCCACUUCCCAGUUCAUUUAAUUGGAAUACAUCUUCAGAUACAGGCACCCUCGUGUCUCCAACUCCGAGACCCAAAAGUCUGAUAUAGUAAAAACUCGGUGCCCGCGGGUUUCGAACCAAAGGGAUCCAUGCAGCUCCCACGGGCAUUGCUUCAGACCCGAAUUCCAAAAAUCCAUUUGUAUUAGUCCCCCUGCUCACUAAACAAUAACUAAAUGCAUUCCCGGUCUGACCACUCAAUUGACCCAUAAAUGACAUGGAUCCACCUCCAAGUCCCAAUAAGCCGGCAGCACCAACAAACAUGCCCCGAUUACUAUGCCCGCAUCCGAUAGCCACAUUUCGAACCACGGUUCGUCCAAAUGUAAGUGUUUCGAGGGCAAGAGUCCCUUUUGUAUACGAUCCAUCACCAUAUGAUACCUCGUAGCGACACCGACCCGAAUUACAACCCGCAUUCUCCACCCGGUCACAAACUGCCGAGCUACAAGACACCCCCAUAAAUGAUGCUGAGUCUGCCGGGUCAAAUAGCGGGUCGGUUUGAUGAUAACAUUGGGUGCAGGGUUUACAUUGAACCCAAACAAUAUCACUGCCCGAAUCAAUAACCAUGUAUUGACUUCUCGGCGGACUACCAAGUCCUAUCCUAACAAAAUAUUCUCCACUACCUUGGUUCAUGCCUGACACCACAUCUGACCCAAAAUCUUCUACCUCAUACUUGGCGGCGCUGCCACUUGAAAGGCGGUGUAUAAGGCUAGCCACCCUCUUCACGUCUCUAUGCAUGCGUGCAUGAAAAACGUGGCUAUGGUUAUGUAACUUGUUGCUGAAAGAUACCUUGUCUCUGUGGACAAGUUUUAGUUUCUGCUUUCCCCCACUUUCGCUAUCAUUUGGAUUGGUCUUGAAUAGUUCUUGAUACUGGGAUGGUUUUAUGGGCCUAGUUUUUGUUUCUGUUAAUGCUUGUUUCACGUUCAAGAGUUGAAAAUCAGGGUAUAAAGUGGUUUUGGUUUUGGCUUUGGAAAUGUUGUCAUGAUGAGUGGUAGCGGUAGAGGUGUUGGUGGAGGUUUUGGUGGUGGUGGUGCUUAUUGCAAGCUGUAAUAACAUUACCACCACCAAGACAAGUAGUGCUUGAGAGGCUGGCAUGUUUUUAAUGUUUUGGUUGGUAGCUAGCAGUACUUCUUGCUCUGGGGAACGAACGAGAGGGAAGGGAGGGAUUUAUUUGGAUUGAGUCAUGGGAUGUGUAGAAAGAAAGGGUGUGUGUGGGGUUUGAAAUAAUUGGAGUGAUGGGUUACUGUAUGUUUCUUUUGGAGUUUUGUUUUUGGAUUGACACUGAGAGGUGUUUUGUUUUGAGAAGAAAUUAGUGGGUCUUCUGCUCCUUAACUUUGCAGUAUCUCUUUUCUACUUUUAGGAAAAGUUGAUAUAUACAUAUAUGUAUGGCGACCACAGAGGGCAUCGAAUCAUGAAUUUGACCACCUAGCUAGCUUUCGCAACACAUAUUUAGUGCAGCAAGCGAAGUGAAUUUUCUCGAUUAAUUAUCUCCUGUCUUUUCCCUUCAUCUCAUGAUCAACCUCUUAAUUUUUUACUAGCAUAUACGUACUCAUGGCAAAGGUAACUCACGUGUGGAUUAUUGCAGAGUUGUCAUUCAUAUGUGAUCAACUAAUCCGUCUGUGCUAUUAGUUUUAGACGCAUAAUCUUUGCUGUCCAGGCUAACUCAGGAUACUUCAGUAGCAAUCUUUGUUAUUUAGUGAUGUAGCUUUGUGUUGGCAGCAGUGGCACUUGUAGUCUAAUGGCACCUUCAUUCCAUCCCUAUGGAGACAUUUCGAGCAAAAUAAAAUAGAAUUAUCAUUCCUGGAAUCAGGAUUUGAUAGUGGGAACAAGGCAAGGAAUUGGUCAGUACUGGAUCUCCUUUUACUCGUGUAACUCAAAAACCGUAAAAGGGGACAAUAUAUUGUUGUGCUCUUUUUGGUCAAGGAUUGAUAAUGAUUUCACUUGUUAUUACAGCAAAUUACAUUAUAGAACAUAGAAUGGACUAAUAAUUACCAGAACUCAAAUAAUUGUUUCUCUUAAUAAUGAUGCUUAUCAAUUAAAGUUGUGUUAUUAUGCUCUUGAUUGUUCAAAAUAGCAAGGGCUCAUGUUUUCAGAAAAAAAAAAUCAAAACAAUUAUCUCAAUUAAAAAACUUAAACUUAACAUAUUGAAAGAGACUUUAAAAGAGAUUUUAUAUUAUUUUCUAAUAUUGUUUAAUUUUUAUUUAGUAAAGGGUGAUGAGUAUUGAAUUUGUGGUUGUUUGCAAAUCAAUAAUAUAAUAAUAUAUUAAAAAAUCAUUUUAACUAAAAAAAUUUAAUUAUUGAAUAAAACACUGAAAAUAAUUUAUAUUAAUUUUUAACAAAAAGCUACAUGUUCAACAAUAUUACUACGAAAAGUUUCCACUUGCACCACUUGUUAGUUUGAUAUUUUUUGCACAAGAUAACAAGGUGUCGUACCCCCUUGCGAGAGCACGACAUCACGUCAACCUUUCCCGAGCGAGUUGAGAGGUCUUUGUUUGGAUAAGGAGUCACCGUCUAGUGUUAUGGUUACUAGAAAACCUAACUAGUCUUUAGAGAUUCUAGGCAAGAGACUGGUUGCGUAAAUGAAAGAUAUUAGCACCCCUAGUACGUGUUACUUGAGGUAAGUUACAUCAUUUUUUGUUUGUGAGUUUUAUGAUUUGAUGGUGUUUCUAAAUUAUAUCAGCCUACCAUGACGGGUUUGCUAUGAUGAACAAAUUCAAGUUUGAUAGAUCAAGAAAUUGGUCUAAAAGAUCUUGACUUAAAAAGAUAUAAGAAGAAAGCAAGCUCAUUCACAACUCAUGUGCCGCAAAGGAGCUGAAGUUAGAAAUCCAGAGAGAUUUGAUCCUAAAUAUCACAACAUUAUAGUAAUUUGUCCACAAAAUUAUUUAAGGUUAUGAAUCGAACUUUCAAGGUGUUUGGUGUG
RNAcentral lists this long non-coding RNA (132260 nucleotides) under Populus trichocarpa (black cottonwood). RNAcentral's name for it is "long non-coding RNA (PTRI_LNC002023)". Lineage: Eukaryota; Viridiplantae; Streptophyta; Magnoliopsida; Malpighiales; Salicaceae. The record is from RNAcentral.